AAACUCAGCCUCAAGCCAAUUGGCGUCAACACAUCCCAACCAACGCAGACAGACCAAACGACAAAAGAAGUAAACCAGUCAGUUCAAUAGAAUAAAAUCAGUUCUCCUAGGAAGACUAAGACUACUGAACCUACUAGUGCUUAUUUUUCGUAGCUCUGAUCGAGCUGUUGUUCAGGGUGGAACCCAAGCGUUACAGACAGUUAGCUUUAAUCCUUGGAAUUCAUGCAUGCUAGGUGCCGAGAGAUCCAUACAUGAGGAUAUGAGAGGUGCUAACUAACUGCUAAUUCUGACGAAUUGGCCCUAAUAUCUGUUCAUGCAGUUUGCAUGGCAAGUUAUGGCUGGAGCCCGGUGGAAGUGUUCUGCAAUUUGAUUUCGUACCUUUUAAUUUGAACUCCUUGUUCGUGUUCAGAGUGAGGAAACAAAUCCACAUACUGUUCUGUUUUUCCUUGAGCAUGUACCUCUUUCUUGGUUCAAAGAACAAACUGUAAUAGAACUUCUCAUGAAUUAACUCUUGAGGCACACAUGAACAGAUUGUAGAGGCUAGUAGAUGCUGAUCAAUAAUCUUAUAGAGACCCCCCACCCCCCCUAAUCUGUUAUGUUUCUUACAUAUUAGAAGUUGUACAGAACAACGUGUGAUUUACCAUAUAUCAUUGGUAAAAUAAAUUCGUAAAUAGAAUUCCUAUCUAACAAUGACCUAUUGUAAUGUUUUUUUUGUUUUAUCCAGGAUAUUGCAAUAUAGUGGAGCUCUUGCUUUCUAGAGGGGCUUCUGUUGAUGCAUUAUCUAAUCGUGGUACACCACUGCACCUUGCUGCUACUAAUGGUCAUCAUCAAACAGUGAAGAUUUUGUUGGACCACAACGCUGAUGUAUGGGAUUAAUGCCUUUUAGUUCCUCAAUGGUUGUGUGAUUUGAUGAAAUUCACAUUUUUAAGAUGCUCUUUUGUUUCUGCUCUUGCUCAUGUUCUGUUUGAUUCAGUAUUGCUGGGCUGAUUUGUGCUUUCAUUCCUGUUAUGCUCUUAUUUUUUAGACCAUUACGGGUUGAACUAAAACAUAAUUUUGAGCAUUUUCUGUUAACAUGUGCAUAUUUCCCUUUUUAAUGCUCUGAAGUCUCAAGUCUAUAUACCUACCAACCUACAUGACUCUUCUUUGGCUCCCCUAAUAAUUGUCAUUUAAGAAUAGAUGCUAAUUGGCUUUAUGUUUCUUUUCAGUGCAAUAAGAUUGUGAAUGGUGUCUACACACCUCUCCUUGUAUCUAUUUAUGCUCCGUCACUAAAAUGUGUGAAGCUACUAAUCCAGGUAUUGUGGGCCCUUUAGCUUUGGUAGUGUUCAACUGUUGAUGACAACUUGAUUAGUAUGUGAGGCUAUUACUGUUUAUAGUUAUUUCAGGUGGUGGACUCUGUCUACACCCCAAAGAGUCCUUUUUAACACUGUUUCUUCUACAUGAGCAUCUUUUGUUGGCUCCAUAGGAUAUCUUUGGGAGAGCUCCAAUGCCAAGAAUUCUUGAAGCUGGGUAUCCCUAGCUCCAAGAAAUUUGGGAUUUUGGAGGAACCGUGUCAAAGAUUCCCCUGUUUCUUUGAAGCCAAAUGUGCCAAUGGCCUGUAGCAACCAAUUAUUUGAACACCAUCUCAAUAGAGACGAGGGUUCCUCUUGUAGAUAACAGAUAUUCAAAUAUAGUAAUGGAACCUCAGCAAAUGUCAAAAGGUCCCAGUCUCCCUGCAGCUUUUGCUGACCUCACAAGCAAUUGUCUGAAUCCUCAAACUCUUCUUCAGAAACAUACUUCUUUCAAUGUGUUUGUAUUCCCAUUAAACAGCAUCCAAAGAAAUAUUUUCUGCUGCAACAUGCACUUGUUCCUCCAAAUGCAACUAUGAACAGAAUAAUUUUGCUGGUUCUGAAAGAAAACUUAAAAAGAGAUGAACUCCUCAGAAUUUCAUGAAUAAGACCAUAUGUAUCAUACCAAUGGACUAGCAUGUGUUCUUAACUUAUUGAAUUCAUUCUGGUUACAUGUUUAUACUGCCCAGUGGGAAAACCUAACAUUUAAUCUUGAUUAUUAACUGAUACUUUUUAUCACACGGAACUAGGAUACAAAUACGUUUAUGGCGUGUAAUUGUUGUGAUUUUGAACAGCACGUUAUGUCAGAAUAUCUGAGUGCUAUUUUUUGAGAAUUAAAACCAUGUAAAGAUAUGUCCAAAACAGCCUACAGGUGGAGUAGGAAAGAGCACAAAUUAUGACAUGUUUAAGAGGACGCGCAUGUAACAUUUUUUCAUAUAUAGGCUGGUGCUGAUGUAAAUGGUGUGGGUAAUAUAACCCCGUUAAUAGCUGCUGUUGGGUUAACUGAGUGCAUGAAGUGCUUAUUGGAAGCUGGUGCUGACCCAAACGUCCCUGAUGAAGUAUGUGUCUUCUCCUUUGUUUCCCCAUUUCUGCUAUUGUCGUCAGCAUCAUGCAGUUAUCUUUGUUACUUGUGAAGAUAUCUUAUUCAAUAAGAACUUGUUUUAGUCGGCCAUGUAUUAGUAAAGAAUUCCUACAACAAUGUAAUUUAACACAUCGGUUUGUCUAAGUUGUAGAAUUGCUUUAUUUUAUCUAGUUAAUUUAAAAAGCUUAGCAUAUAUUGGUGGAUAAUAGCCCAAUACAUCCGGGCUGUUACGCCUCAUUUGUUUUACUUUCCCUUUUUCUUUAGCAAAUUUCGUUUCUGGACUCAUGUUCUCUUUACCAUUAACAGUUUGGCAGGAUGCCAAUAGAGUUUGCGGCAAUAUGUGGUACACGAGAAGAUGUUGAGAUCCUAUUUCCUUUAACUUCUCGUAUUCCGUCUGUACGUGAUUGGAGUGUCAAUGGAAUAAUAUGUCACGCAUACUCAUUGCCAGGGCAAAAGGUAUGAUUGUAUGAGCUGGGCGAAAAGGCUAUAUUUAACUUUAGACUAAUAAUGCUAGUGUUCAAGUUGACUUAUGAUCAAGUUUUGGCUUAAAGAAACACCCUCCUGUUUUAUAGUUUAUUUUGCUCAUCAUUGAAAUGAAAUGUGCAAGUGCUGGAAUAAGCAUAUCCACAUGUUAUUUAUGAAUGGAAAUUUGAAACGGGUGCAGGGGAUAUUUUUUAAUUUUUAUAUGUGAAAGGACCAAUUCUUUCUGCAGGUAUAGAAAUGAUGAGCAAUUGUAUUUGGGACAUUUGUAUGCUAGCUUAGCUACAUUUCUUACUUUUCAGCUCAAUUUCAGGUACUUGCUUUGUGAUAUCCUUCUCCAUAAAUCUUUGUUCAAUACCUGUCUUUCUUGUUCAGUUCUAUGAGAGGGGGUUGGAAAGGGACACCACUAGUUUGAAAUUUCAAGGAAGAAAGGCACUCGAGAGAAAGGAUUAGCAUUCUGCAAUUGAACUAUACAUUAAGGUAUGAUAUCCCACAUUUUCGCCAUUGAUAAUUGAUUUUCCUUCCUAGGUUAUUUGGAGUGCUUUCAUAGCUUCAUAUUUUUCACUCCCAAGAUUCCUGUUCCCUAUUCACCUGUUAGUCACUGAUUAUACCUGGAAAUCUCAGAGACCCAGACACGUGUUUACUUGAACCUAUGAGUGUUCUGUUCAUAGAAUAUGUCAAAUUUUACUUUUAUCUGUGAUAAAUCUAUAGGUAAAACAAGAUCAUUCAGGAUCAGUCUUUGUAUCGCUCUUGUGUGUUAACGUAGGGACCCCAUAAAAGACAAACUUAUCAGUUAAACUAUGAUACACAUCGAAUUGGCAUGUUUGCAGCUGUGAAUUUUGCAUACAUUGGUUGGAUGUUUCCCAACUAAGAGCGCGUUUGGAAAUGUAGUAUUUUUGGUGUUUUGAAAUGUAUAAUGGUAGUUAUGACGGAGUGCAGCACCGGGGAAGACCGGCUUGACCAUAUUAUAGUCUUCCGCUUCCUCUUAAGGGAUGCGUGAACUUGAAUAAGGUUUAUUUAUUUUGUCUUACGUCGAUGCAGCCCCUAGGUAUGUACGCAUGGAGGUUAGUGAGGAUGAAGCAACCCCUGGGUCCGGCAAAUAGAGGGAACACUACGAGACAACCCCUGAGCUGACUACUUGGGGUUUCGCUUUGCGCAAUGCAACCCCUGAGUCUGGCUACAUAGGGAUAAGUUUGGUUUCAACACAUAAGUUUAUUCCAAGGGGUUCAUUUUUAGUUUUAGCAAUAAAAAACAGUAGAUAAAGGGAAUCACAAGGCUCUUUUUAUUGGGAUGUAUUUUCUUUCAAAAAACGUUUGAUCAAGCUAAACAAGUAUUCGAAAGCCUAAAAGGAAAUAACUUAAAGCAUAAAAAAGACGUAGCUAGGCAGCGUUCCACGUGUGUGGUGUAACCCUUCCAGUCUUCCCGUUGUGAAGCCUAUAGUCUCCAUCGCUGAGCACCUCGUGGAUGAUGUAAGGUCCCUCCCAAGGGGAGGAAAGCUUGUUCUUUGGUUUUUGGUUCAGACGCAACACUAGGUUGUCAAUGUAGAACUCGCAAGCCCCGACACACCGACCUCGAUACUGGCACAACUUUUGCUGGUACAAAGCCGUGUGUUUGAGGGCAAUCAAUUUAGCCUCCUCUUUGGCGUUGAUGUGGCUUUUUCGGGCUUCCUCUGCAGCAUCUUCGUCGUACCCCCGGAUGUGUGGUGAAUCAUACUUGAUAUCUCACGGGAGGACCGCCUUGGUCAUGUACACCAUUAAGAACGGUAUAUAUCCCGUUGACCAGUUUGGAGUUGUGCACAAGGUCUUGAGGAUGAAGGCAGCUCGUCCACCCACUUCCAACCGCCUGCUUAAUCGGGGUGAUGAGACGAGGCAUGAGGCCCUGCAUUAUGAGCCUGUUAGCCCGCUCUACAUGUACAUGGGACUGUUGGUGUGAUACCGAUGCAGCAGCAACAACAACAACAACAACAACAAAGCCUUUAGUCCCAAACAAGUUGGGGUAGGCUAGAGGUGAAACCCAUAAGAUCUCGCAACCAACUCAUGGCUCUGGCACAUGGAUAGCAAGCUUUCACGCAUCUCUGUCCAUAGCUAGCUCUUUGGUGAUACUCCAAUCCUUCAGGUCUCUCUUAACGGACUCCUCCCAUGUCAAAUUCGGUCUACCCUGCCCUCUCUUGACAUUCUCCGCGUGCUUUAGCUGUCCACUAUGCCUGGUGAGUCUGCCGACCCGUUAGCUUUUUCCCUGAAGGCUUGAGGGGCCUGCGAUUGGGAUAUUUGUGUGACAAGCAACGUCAAGCAUAAAGACAGAACAUUGGGCCAACAACGGAAACUCACCCAUUUGGGUUGGAUGGCUUGCGCACCCCCACCUUCGGUUGCUGGGAGGGAUGGGUGCAUUGCCCUGAGGCACUUCCGAGGUAGGCAUUCCAGAUCCUCUAUGGAAUAGCGAGAUCGGCUUCACCUGCGAUCUUCUUUGGGCUUCAAGCCUCUCAGCUCUCGUCUUGCAAGCUCCAUUGAGGUCUUCUGAGGUGUGCAACCUCUUCACAAGCAGCACAAGGCGGGGCACGACAACAGAUGUGCCAACGCUCCCUCCGGACUCUGCUCCUGAUACCAGACGCAUUAGUCACAACAACUCUGUAGGUGGCAGCUUACCGUGCUGUGGAGGCAGGGAUAUGAGAAGAACUUGAAAACUUGCAUGAGAGGUCGGAAUGUACAUAAGAUAGGUACAACCAAGGCAAGAAAUUUGUAAGGCCCAAAGAAGAUCGACCCUUACAUUGUUAGGCGAAGCCCAUGAUGGAAGGGCUCCACUGCAACCUCGAGGUAAUCUCAUCCAAAGGGACGUGCAUCACAAAAUGCAUGUGUGACUUAAGCUCAGAUUUCGAGACCUCCACGCGAUUCAGGCAAGGAUCGUUCGGUCCUUCGUAAUCAAACAUUGGAUGUACCCACGCUGCCAAAGGCUGGAAGUUUCUCUCCAGCUAAGUCUUCAGAAUCUGCAUCCCUCCAAGGCCGCCGUUCUUAAGCCAGAAGACCUCCUGAACGAGCAGACCAACUCCUUGAUAAGGUUUGUCUGCCUCCCAGGAUUCUAGUUCUCGAGGAGGUGAAUUUUCAAAGGGCGGCGGACAGUUACGUCUAUUCCUGCGGGAUGGUCCGGAGUGUAGAUCCAACCUCUUUUCCACUUCCUUGUCGCUGUAGGCACCGAGAUGUUGAAGUAAUCUAAAUCCGGGCAAGGUCGAAUGGCGACUCCUCCAGAGUCCGUCUCCAUCUUGAAGAAAUAGCACCAAAGCCCCAAGUGCAGCGAGAUCCCCAAGAGGCAUUCACACGGCGUAAUAAAGUAGUCAAGGUGUAGAACCCCGUUUGGUGUGAUGUGAUGCAAUUGGCAAUUGUAGAAGAGAAGGUUGAGCACAAAAUUAUGCAGGGGCAAGUAGAGGCCGUGGCAGAGAAAGGACGUGUGGAUAACUCUGUCCUAGCUAGUUGGAGUUGGAACAAUAUCCACUCUCUUGGCUGGCGUCCACAGAAGUACACGCUCCUAGGAGGGAGGAAUCCUUGCCUUACCAGAUCUGUCAGCUAAACGUAAGUAUUGGUGGAGAUGGACCACCUCCCCUCACCCUUGCUGACGGUCGACGCUCCGGUGGCCGACAUUGCAAUGCGGCUCGUGGUGUCCAUCGCCGCCGUGCCAUGACACUCUCCGCGAUUAGCACCCGGGGUGGUCCUCCUUGACAUGUCACCUCCGAAGGCGAUAGCUUCGGAUCCAGGCCUUCACCGUCAUUGGAGGACGAGAGGCGCAAGGAGGAAGAAAGAUGGAGGGGGCGGCGUGUAGGCUCUGUCAAAUGGCACGGGAUACGGAGUGAUGACCCUUUCCGUAAAGGCUGUGUCAAGAUUAGCUGACACGUGGGGCAUGAGCACGAGGGGCAAGACACUAUGUUGGCGAAAAUUCGGGCUCCUCGAUGGGCCUUGGACUACUUAGUGAGAUCCCGGCCUGGCCCAAGCAACUGGGAAGCGGAACCCCCGUCGACAUUCAACCUGAGCAGAGUCAAGACUUUCGAGGCCGGGUUUUUUGAAGAAUCGAAGAAGGAACCAACGGGCAUUGCAGUCCAUCGGAGGUCACAAAGGAGCCCGCCAGGAUGUCGCCUCAAGAACUCAAGAUCAACUACCAGUCAGGCAAGAAUUCUAGACGAGCUCGGGGCUACUGACGGUGUGCAGCACCUGGGGUGGCCUCUCGGAUGGCAAACCAUACCAUGUGCUGUGGGCCGACCUCAACGCCCAACGGGUCCGGGCGCCUUCCAGAGCCCCAGUCGUGCAAGAGCCCUCCCAUACGAAGAAACCUGCCUUGACAUGCAAGUCAAGGCUCUCCCACCGAUUGAAGUCCUAUGUCAGUUAGGAAACUUGUAAACCCUAGGCCUCGCUAUAAGACAAGGCUAGGGGUAGUUCGAGGGCCAUGGACAUCAGAGUCAUCUUCUCGGUAGCUAUGAUUACCUCAUACUUGUAACCCCCUCACACGAGGCGUUUCCCACCAUCAAUUAAAAUAAAGCAGGAGUAGGGUAUUACCUCGACCAUGAGGGCCUGAACCUGGGUAAAUUCCCUGUGUGCGAUCCCCUGUGGUACUUCCGGUCGCGCUCUCCGCAGUACUGACUGACGGUUUUCAGUAUCGUCAAGUUGCAGAAACUAGGCUGUUCAGUUUGGACAUAUAGGUGCAGCAAUUCAUUUGUGCUCCAGUGUAAUGUGUUUUAUGCAUUUGUGCUGUACAUUACAGCUGCAUGAUGUUUGGCGCGUUGGUCCAUUUUAUUACAAGUCUAAUUCCUCAGAAUGGUAUCAUAUCUGAGUCGUGUCAGGGUUAGUGUUUCCUCUUACCUCCCACCCAACUCCCUUCUCCAGCCACCAUUCACAACCAGAUUGUGUCCCUCUUAGUGGGAACGGCUAAAUUUCUGUUCCUCUUAGUGGUAACGGCUCAAUUUCUGCUGGUGAUCAGCUUGGAAUUUAAAAAAAUAUUUGGCAAUUUCGGUUGAAUACAACUGGUAACUGGCCCUUUUUUUCUCUUCCUUUUGAGGGAAACUAACCGGCCUGUUCUUGAUAAAAGACAGAGUCUUGUAUUUUACUCAUUUCUGCUUUUUCAAUCCUUCCUCGGUGGUAAUGUUGAAAUUGUUUUUAGGUGUUUCAGUCCAGUCAUUCAGUGCAUGUUUUAGCACUCAGUAAAUGCUAGUUUUAUUUGGUUGAGUGUAGGCAAUGGGCCUUGAUUAUGAGGAUGCGACCCUGUACUCAGAUAGGAGUGUCUGUUUUCUCCAAAUUGGCGAGGGAGACAAAGCCUUUGCGGAUGCUUAUACUUGUAGAAUGAUGCGCCCUGACUGGCCAAAGGCCUGCUAUCGGCAGGGAGCAUCUCUAAUGCUGAUGAAGGUGAGCUCAGCCGAACUGUUUUAUCUUAAAAUCAUUUUCAUAGAAAAACUUGUAACUUUGUAUACGUUCUUUUUUGUUUGUCCAGGAUUAUGAAAAGGCCUGUGGUGCCCUUUUUGAUGGUUUGAAAAUGGACCCACGGAAUCUUGAGAUUGAGAACGCUUUACGGCAUGCUAUAUCUUUCAUACAAUUUUACUGCACAUUGUAUUUUAUUCAAGAUGCCAACAGUGCUACACUAGCAGUCACCAGAGCUAAAAAUCUUUGAAACACGACCACCAAGGCCUUUUUUCAACUUGUUAAUAUCAUUUGGUUAGCAACUGCUGUGGAAGACAUGAAAAAACAGAGAUAAUUCAAAAAGUGGCAUACUCUCGAAUCAUCAAUCUCUAAAUAUGAACAGCGUUUCCGGUUCCCGGCGGCGGUAUUGGGCACCAGCUAUACCGCUGUGAUCUUGAACCCUGGUUGCGUGGUACUAGUACUUAUGACUGCUGUGUAAUAUGCAGGGAGGCUAUGGAUUCCUUGAGGAUAUCUCGGGGCGCUAAGAAGACUGUAUCGAAGUGCCCAUAGGAGCUUUGUUUACCGCCUGCCUGCAGUCUGCUUGCUUGUGCAUGAUUUUUUCUGAGCUCUGCCCAUAUUCUUUUAUAUUGUACUCCCUCCGUUCCUAAAUAUAAGUCUUUGGAAAGAUUUCACUAUGGACCACAUACGGAGCAAAAUGAGUGAAUUUAUACUCUAAAAUGCAUCUAGAUACAUCAAUCUCUACAAAGACUUAUAUUUAGGAACGGAGGGAGUAGACAGAGAAGCAGUUAGAAGCUUCAUUUUCUGAUCCCACCUUUGUCAUGCAGUCCCCAAAUUCCUUGCUUUUUACGGCAUGGUCUCUACCAGACCACUGCAGAAGGCAAAAUGGAUACAGGAGGGACCUCCAUUUGUGUUUGGUCUCAUUAUAAAGGGCUUGAAGUAAUGUGGAGUAACUUUUGCUUUAGAUCAAGAGAUACGUGAUUUACAUCUACUGCCAAUUUGCAACUUCUCUCUGUUAUGAUCGAUAUGGCGGAGAUAACCCCUUCACCCUACGACAAUAGCAAACGACCAAGGAUCCUAAUUAAAGUCCUAUACUAUAUGAAUUUCUUACUUCUUUUCGCCUGUUCGGCAUUGCCACAUGGGCGACAUAUGUGUGGAUGUCCUAGCCGAUGUGUACUAGCCAACCCACUCCACACGGGUUCUUGUUCAACAAGUGGAGCCGCUUUCUAUUAUACGGUUUGACCUUCAAGUUCAAGGUACCACGGCGGCCGCCAUGCCUGCUAUUUAGGCUUCGGCCUAACAAACAGUAAACCGUAACCCUUCAAAUUGCCUGCUAUUAUGUUUGAGCAUGUUGGAACUUCAGUAAUCAUUGUUAUUUCUUUGUGCUAUAUGAAAUGAGUAACAUAACGUAGAAAUUUGUUCUUAGUGUGCUCUAGUUUCUUCAUUGAUGCUUUGGUCAGUGAUUCCCUAAAUUAUCAAAGAAUAUUUAAUCUGAAUUACUCACUAGACGCAUUUAGAUUUCAAGGGGAGUAUGGAACAAUCAACUAAUUCCAGACUUUGAUUUCUUAUUUUAUUCUAAAUUACAGAGUAGGGCAUCUGGACCACUGUUCAAGAAAUCUUCCGAUUCACCAAUUAAUCUUCCGAUUUAUCGCUAAUCGGAGGGUGACCGAUAUGAUUAUGCCUUAUCUUUGCCGUUUAUCUUUUGGACCGAUUUAUCAUUCUGGCAAGCGAUUUAUCGGGAAUCUACCGAUAUAUUAGACCUAUUCAUCGCACUAUGUUGGUAAAAACUAUGUUUAUUUAUGUUUUGUGGACCUUGUUACGGAAUAUGUACUAUUGCCCUAUUUUUUUUGUCAUUUUAGGAGGAUUCAAAGGCUAGAAAUCAAGGUAACACUUCUGUAAAAUAUUGUUUUAGUGUUGAAUAUAGUGUAUUUUAGUGUUGGGAACCUGAUAUUUGCAAAAAAAAUAUCCGAUUAAUAGUCGAUCGAUAAAAUCAAUUAAUCGGUCGAUUUUCGAUGAAUCUCUAAUCCCUAGCUGACCGAGACGAUAACGAUACGCGAUAUCCUCAAUGUUGAUCUGGACUGCAAAAAAAUGAAGGUUGGAACAAAGCCAAAUAACAUGUAUCUCUGACAGUAUUUAUUGGAAAAUUUCUAUAGAACACUGCACCUGAUUAGCAUAUGCCAGACAACACAAGAUGAUGUUAUUGCCCAACCACAUUAUAAAGUUGUAGUCAUUUGCUGGGCACUUCUUAGAGGCGGAGCUAUGUGUACGGGCUGUUGCCCCAGCCUUGGAUCAUUUCUGAAGGAAUUUUUUGAGGAGGACUAAGGUUAGUUUUUCAGAGGAGGACUUUGAUCAGACUAUAAGGGUUGGAUGCGCUUUGCUGCUCAGUUGGUGUUGCUAGUUUCUUAAUAUAAAAAAAUUAGUCCCUCUGUUUAAAAAAUAUGAAAUGUAUUACUUUUUUUAAAAGUCAAAUGACCUUUUAAGUUUGAUCAAAUUUAUAAGAAAUAUAUCAAAAUCAAUCAUAUCAGAUCGGUAUGGUUAGAUUCAUCAUGAAAUGAAGUUUCAUAUUCUUUUUUAUUUAAUAUUAUGGAUCUUGAAAUUUUUUGCUUUGAACUUGAUCAAAAUUGAAGACAUUCGACUUUCCAAAAAAUAACACCCCUUAUAUUUUGGAACUGAUGGAAUAUUUAGUUUGGCGGGCGCGGAAGAUGAUGGAGUGCGUUUUAUUUUUAUUUACAAUGCGGUGAUUUGAUGGGCAUUCGUGGUGUGGUUCUGUGUUAUCCGCUAAUCAACAUAUAUUUAUGUGAAUUUUUUUCACAUUGAUGGCUGCAUGUACGAUCGGGGGAGAUGAUGGACUACUAUAUUGGUGCUACAAUAUCGCAUAGUGGUGCUUCUUUUUCUAGGUGGUGAUAGGGCGCGCGAGAUUGAUAUAUUUUAGGGCAUUCUUGCUGAUUGAUUUGAAAAAUCGUUGGCCCAGUCAAAACCGUAAACUAAAUCCAAAAUUAAAUACCUUAUAAUUGAAUAAAAGAGCUUCAAAAUCAGGGAACAUAGGGUCGAAAUUGGGUGUGGCCAAUUCUAAAUUGAAGACCCCAAUUAAUUGGGAGGCCUUAAAAAUUAGAAAUCACAGUGUGUAUAUAGUAGUACAAAAGAAAUGAACGAGAGAUAUUUGAGAAAUUGUUGACUCGGGUCAAAAUCGGGUGACACAAUUCUAAUUCGAAGACCUUAAUUGAAUUUGUGUUUUUUAAAACUAAAAGUAGGGAGCAUAAUGUUACCGGGGACAGUACGAGAAAAUGUUACCGGGGACAGUACGAGAAAUUGUUGGCUCCACCGUCAUGGCCACAGGCCACCGCUCGCUCCCCGUUUCCUCUGCUCUUCCUCUGCCGCCCCAAAACCCUACCAACUGCCGCCGAUNNNNNNNNNNNNNNNNNNNNNNNNNNNNNNNNNNNNNNNNNNNNNNNNNNNNNNNNNNNNNNNNNNNNNNNNNNNNNNNNNNNNNNNNNNNNNNNGCUAAACCGCGGGUGAGCCCUACCGCUGACACCCGACCCCUCUCCUCCCCCACCCUGCAGGUCCCGGCGCGCUGGAGCGGCGGCUUCUCCAGGCGGCGGCCGAAGGCAACCUCCAGCUCUUCAAGAGUGCGUGCUCGCGUCCCGCUCCGCCCGCGGAUUUUGGUCUCUGGGAGCUGGAUCGAGCGCCGAUUUUGACAGAUUUUUUCGGAUUUUGUUGGGUCCGUACAUGCAGGGACCGCCAGCGCGCUGGACGGCGGCAAGGGCCGCCUCAGGGACGCGGUGGAGGCCGUGACGCUCCAAGGGCGAGGCUCCGGGGCGCUGCACUUCGCCGCGCGCCGUGGGAGGAUGGCGGUGUGCGUGUACCUGGUCGAGGAGCUCCGCGUGGACGUCGACGCCACCGACGAGACAGGUGCGCACUUGCUCUCCCUCCCUCCUCGGUACGAAAGCAAGUCCCUUGUUUUCUUUCCCUCUAGAGUAGAUGAUUUGAGGUUGGUUGACCUGGCUGCCUUGGUGCUUAUAUAUAUAUAUAUAUAUAUAUAUAUAUAUAUAUAUAUAUAUAUAUAUAUAUAUAUAUAUAUAUGCCACUUUUACCUUGGCGAUUGCCUUGAAGUGGGACGGGAAUUGAACUAAUUUAUGCCAAAAAUGUUGUGCAUUUUUCGGACUUGAUUUAGCUUAUUUUGUUGAGAAAUCUAAGGCUUAUAACUUGUCAAUUGGCCCUGAGUUUCAAUCAUACAUCACAUUACUUUGUUUGCACUAAUCUCAUCAAGUUCAUUUAUUCCAGAUGCAGCGUGUACUGUUUUGACAGAGUUGUUUCAGUAGAAAGACUAUUAUUGCUCCUAGUUCCGACUUCUGAAUGUGCUGUUGUAUGUAAAAAGUUUGCAUGUGUAUUCUGGAAACAGAUGCAUGUUUAUAUUGCAAAACCUUUACAUGACUUUCUUCUAUUUCUUGGGUAAUUUUCUGUUGUUUCGUUUAUGAGUCUCUUAUUUAGUUUCUUCUACUUUGAUGUUCCUGAUAGGCUAUACACCUCUGGCUCAUGCAAUUAUUGCUGGCACUGUGGACACUUUCCAGUAUCUUCUUGAUCAUGGUGCUAAUCCAGAUAAACCUGAUGGACAAGGGUCUACGCCUCUCCAUUUGGCUGCUGCACGAGGUCUCUCCCUAUGUGUACUUAUCUUGUUCCUCUGUGUCUUGAAAUUCUUUGUUUGUGUGUUCUGGGGUGAUGUAAUGAAACUUGAAACGGAUCAUGUUAUAUACUCCCUUUGUAAACUAAUAUAAGAUCUUUUAGAUCACUAAAGUAGUUAUUUAGAAGAUCUUAUAUUAGUUUACAGAGGGAGUACAUUAUAAGUAAGAAGGUAGGAAAUGCACAUGUCCUAAUUGGUUGUGCAUGUGCAUAGAUAUGACAGUGUCAUCUGAGCAUUUAGAGCUUUCUCUGUGACAAAUGAGUUGUUUAUUAAUUGCUAUCUUUUAAGUCUAAAAAAUCCAUUUAUCAAUGUGCAUGUGUGUAUGUAUCAUGAAUUAUGUAGUCCUUGCCACAAAAUGAGCUGCAUUACAUAAAUUCAAUAUAGGUAAAUUCAGAAGUGAUAUAAUUUAUUGCAUGUCGGACAAAAAUAGUAAAAUAUGAAUUUAUUUCAAGCCACUAUUCAUACUUGUGAGGGUAGGCCUGGCGCAGUGGUGAAGUCCUCCCCACUUGUGCCAAGAGGUCCUGGGUUCGAAUCAGCCUCUCUGCAUUGCACUUCGCAGGGGUAAGACUAGGUUCCUAUAAUCCCUCCCCAGACCCCACCUUGUGUGGGAGCUUCUAUGCACUGGGUCUGUCCACUAUUCAUACUUGUGGGUAUUUCACUGACAUCUAUUCAAUUAUGUAAAUCCAGAAGUUACCUUGUUUAUACCCCUAUCAGCUUUAAGAUAGCAAAUAUGAACUUGUUUACAGCCACUGUUUGCAGUUACUGUUGCUGGUUAUACAUUUAUAAGUGAGUGAUGUCACAUUCAUAUAUUACCUUUUUUUAUUAGUUGGUUCUCAUUGCAAUAAUUUUCCCGAUGUUUGCAACGUAGUUAUUUUGCAGUUACUUCCUAAGGUAAAUGAAUACAUAUCCAAAUCUUAUGUUGCAUGAAAAACAUAAUAAAAUGAACCUCUUAACAUUGGAGGUGUAGUUCACACUAGAUUGUCUUCCGCAGAUUUCAAUGUUUACAUAUAGCAAACAAAUCUAGCAAAGAAGUGUGAGGCUAUGCACUCCUAUUUUCUCGAUAACUUGGUACCACGUGGGUUCCUAAAUUGUUUAAACACACUGUAGAAUUUAUACUCAUUAAUUUACUGCCUCUGUUUAUUUUUACUUGCGAUUUAGGACAUUGACACGGUCUUUGACAAACAUGUUUGGCCAUUACAUUUCAUAGCUAUUUGUUAGUAAGAGUUCAUAAAAGUUUGAUUACUUGAAAAUAUUUUCUGAUAAAUCCAUGGGUCAUUUUCAUGUGCCAAAUCAUAAUAAUUCUUUCUUAUCAUUUAAUCAUUUAGGUCAUCGACAUGGUUCCUGACAAACAUGUUUGGCUGUUACUUUCCAUAACUAUUUGUUAGUAAAAGUUCAUAAAAAAUUGAUGACGCGAAAGUUCUUGUCAUGACAAAUCCAUGGGUCAUUUUGAUGUGCUAGAUCCUAAUAGUUCCUUUUUGCUUAUCAUUUAGGAGAUUGACACGGUCUCUGUCAAACAUGUUUGGCCAUUACUUCUCAUAACUAUUUGGUAGUAUAAGUUCAUAGAAGUUUUGUUACAUGAAAGUAUUUUUCAUGAAAAAUCCAUGGUCAUUUUCAUGUGCAAAAUCCUAAUAAAUCUGCAGGUGGAGUAACUAUUUUCAUCUAUACCAUCACUUAUGUGCAACUUUCAUCUACAAAACCAGGUUGUGUCAAUGACAUGUAGGGUCUGGUCCUACAUGUCAUUGACAUAGGCUUGGUGGUAUAAAUGAGAAGUGUUUUUCCCCCCAAAGUUCACUGCACGCAUUCUAGCAUGUCAUUUAUUUGAGAACGGAGGUAGUAUUCCUAUACAACUAGCUAAUUGAACAUAUUGCUUUGAAAACUUUGAUCCCAUAUUGCUUUCACUAACAAAAGGAAAUUCACAAUAACAGCAGCAGCAGCAAUACCAAAUAACCUGUUGGAUAUUAUGUAUUAUGCAAAUUAUCUAUGGAAUUUCCACAUUGUUAUGAAUUAAAACCUGCUUUGUAUUUCUCAUUCAGGAAAUUGUGAAAUAGUAAAAGCCUUGCUUUCAAAAGGGGUCAUGUUGAUUCAUUGUGUGAUACUGGAACACCACUGCACACGGCUGCUUUCUGUAGGCAGGAUGGUGCUAUGAAGAUUUUGUUGGACCACCAUGCAGAUGUACGUCACUUGUUUGUGUACCCUUCCUUCUUGGGUUAACAGGGUCCACAUUAUUAAAUACAUGAUUGUUUUGUCUGGUACUACUUUGUCAACUGCCCAUAUACUAACAAAGAUAUCUUUUUUUAAUGAUAAAAAGAUCAAACAUGUUUGCCAACAUUCAUCAUGUAAGGGUACUGAUUUUCUUAAUAUUUCUUCUCAGUGUAACAAGAUAUUCAACACUGUCUAUUCACCUCUUAUUGCGGCUCUCAAUGUUGGCUCUCUCAAUGUUAGCCCGCUGAAAUGUGUGAAGCUUCUGAUUAAGGUAUGGUGCAUUCAUCUCAUUUCAUUGACAUCUUUUGAACUGUUGGUAAGUAUCACAUGAAAAAGGAAGGAGGACAAAUGAUGGCAUGCUUAUUUAGAAGGGUCUUUGCAACCUUUUCCGUGUUAGGCUGGCGCUGACGUGAAGGGUGUUGGCACUAUGUCCCCCUUAAUAAUUGCUGCCAACAAUGGCUUAACUGACUGUUACAAGUGCUUACUGGAGGCUGGUGCAGAUCCUGAUGUUGGUGAUGAUGUAAGUUUCAACUUUCACUCCAGCAACAUGGAGUGGCUUUUCACGCAUGGUAAUUAUGUUAAGAAACUAAUGUAAAACUGUGCUGUGUUAAGAAACUAAUGUAAAACUGUGCUGUGUUGUUAAGGCUAAGCAAUACUUAGUCGUCUAUUAUUUUCACCCUCAAACCCUAUCUAUGAAGUCCAUUAAUGAUUCCGGUUGGUCCUUGGUGACCAUGAAGGCAUGAAUUUACACCAUUAUUCUUAGAUGCACAAUCGAUCCAUAUGCCAUCAUACCCGAUGUUCCAAUUGAAGUGCAAUCCUUGUGGUUAAUAUUAUAUAUUUCUAUCAUUUACGAAUGAUGUGAAUCUGUACAAGAUGAUGUCGCUGGAGUGACUGACAAUAAUUUGGUGGAAUGAUAAGUGAGUUCUUGUUCAGUGCUUUGAAGCAUUAUCUUCUGAAGUUCUAGUCAGAUGUGUAAUUACUGCUUUAAGAUGUUGCUCUAUUAAAACUGAAGGGGUUUAUUUUUUCUUAUUUAUUUGAACCAUAGUGUUGAAUAUCUAAAUAUUUUUAUCAUAUACCUCGUGUUCAUACUUCAUUCCCUGGCCGUGCUUCUGUUGUAUUACCAUUCUGCAAAUGCUUCAGUGAAACUCAUGUUUGUUUUAUUUUCAACAGUUUGGCCACCUUCCAAUAGAAAUUGCUGCAUAUAAUAAUAGACGGGAAGAUGUUAAGAUCCUACUUCCAGUAACUUCACGUACUCCAUAUGUGCGAGACUGGAGCGUUGAUGGGAUAAUUCGUUGGGUGAAAUCAAUGCCAUCAGUGGAGGUAUAACUUGAGGCAUCGCUGCCAAUAUAAGUUGCUUUGUAUAGGUUCUUCAGCAUGUCCUUAACUUAAAAAUAGAUACUUAAUCCUUGUGGGAGGAUUUGAUGUGAAGCUUACUGUGGUAUGUGAAAGAAGUAGUUUAUUGUGCAGUCAUAUAAAUGAGUGAACUGGAUCAAUAAAAUGUUCAGAUCAUAAAUAUUUUGUCUUCUAAAAUCUUCUCAUGCCCUUCUGAUGUAGCUCAUGUAAGUAUGUAAGUCUUAUGUCCUUGCCACACAUCCUCAUUACUUGUGCCAAAUGAUUUGUUUGCUGUUUCAGAAUGAUCCCAUGAACCAAAUGAAUCCAGCUGAUCUCAAGUUAGAAGGAAGCAAGGCAUAUAAGAGAAAAGAUUAUGCUACUGCAGUCAAACUUUACUCUAUGGUAAAUUAUUGCACCAUAUCUUAGCCUACACUUGUUUUGCUGUUGUAUGAUAACUAAAACUUUAAAUUGAGAGUUGGUGUGCUUUGUAUUAUUUUGAAUCUCUAGUAAGAAUUUGGUAACACUAAAGUGUAUGUGCCUCCUUUAUUUGUUCUUUUGCUGUUUUAAUUUUCUUUCUAUAAGGAUUGCAUUUAUGUUUAGAAAGUCUAUUGAUGCAAAUUCCCUGCAUGGCUGUUACAGAGAACAAAUUUCUGCUGUGCCUAAGUACAAACGUUACUAAGUUUUUCUGCAUUAGUAACAGAAAACCCAGUAGGAUAUAAACACGGUAGAUUUACUGCAAAAUUUCAAUUGUAACUCUGGCAUCAAGCCAUCAAAUAGUAUAUCUGUUAGAAAAUUGCAAUUUCAAUUGUAACUCUGGCAUCACCAUCAAAUAGUAUAUCUGUUAUAGAAAAUUAUCAGUAGUUCAUCUUAUUAUAUUGGAUUGGAUAGAGGGGAGUAAAGCUUUGGUUUCGAUGGAUGGGUCUUAAUUUCAGCAUCCUAGCGUGUAUCGAUUAUUGUUUCUCAGGUAAUCAAUAGCUAGUUUCCGCUAGCCCCAGCAAUUUUCUUGUGUGCGUACCUGACAACAAUGCAGUAGUAUAUGUGGGUCGUAGCAAUAACCCAGUGUGCUAAUUUUUUGUUUGUUUGUUUGUUAAUGUAGGCAGCAGACCGCUGCCCUGAUGACGCAACACUGUACUCAAAUAGGAGCCUUUGCUGGCUUAAGAUGGGUGAAGGAGACCAAGCUUUGAUGGAUGCUGGAGUUUGCAAGAUUAGGCGCCCAGGUUGGGCAAAGGCCUGUUACCUGGAAGGAUCUGCUCAAAUGUUACUGAGGGUACCAUUUUUUGCUACUCAUGAGCGCAUUUGCUCGCUAUGUUAAAUGCUUUUUUAGUGAUGCAGCAACCUUUAUGCGUGCAGGACUAUGAGAAGGCGUGUGAUGCAUAUCUUGAUGGACUCAAACUGGAUCCAGCAAAUGUUGACAUCGAGAACUCAUUACGGUAGCGUACUUACCCUGGCAGUGUUGAUAAUCCUAUUCGUACAUCUCAUGCAUCUAUUUCUUUCAUGUUGAAACAUACAUGGUGACUUUGUCCAAUAGAUUAGAAUAACUCUUUUUAUGUGGUAAACAUUUGUUUCCUGUUUGAAUCAUCUAGAACAUCAUCAACGCAUCUGCAUUUCAAACGCUUUAGUAAUUGCUGUAAUUUGUUAUGCAGGGAGGCUGUAAAUUGCUUGAAGACAUCUCAUGCCCCGAAAAAGUUGUAAGAAUAGUCAACUAUCAGGGGAAACCUUGCUAUUCACAGGAGCAGCACGACUGAUGCCAGUUCCCUCGGUGCGUGUGCAACGGAGUGUUGAGUUUAAAACAUAACUUGCUGUUGUAAACUAGGGUGGUUUAAUUUUUGCCAAUGCUCGAUUAGGCCGGCCAUGAAGAAUUACCAUGUUUCUUGUUUGUGCCUAGUAUGUUUAGCCUAGAAAUGCUGGACACGCAUGUGGGUCACCACAUAACAUGCACUACGUACGACCUUACUUGGUGCCAUUGAAUGCUAGUCGAUCAGUGGCGAGCGAGAUUGGAAUGGAUGCUAGUUGAUGUUUGCAUGCCCGCCCACUGGUGUGGUUUAGCCGUUUCAUGGAAUGUGCAGUGUAGUUGUGCUUUAGGAACACCCGGUGGAUAUGGAUGUGAGGCUGCUUUUGCUAUUGAGCUUGGAUUCUUGAUACUAGUAUUGCCGAUACUUUUCUACUCCCUCCGGCUGGUGUCAAAAACGUUCUUAUAUUUUGCGGCAGAGGGAGUACUUUCGAGUAUUGGAGCCCUUGUGUUUGUCUGCCUCCUCGAGAUGAUAUCAUCAUCAGGGGUCUCUAGCGGAUACAAGAGCAAAUAAAUGUAUUAUUAGACUCAUUUUAACAACUUUGGGAGACAACGCAUCACAUGAGGUGGUUUGCGUUAUGCUUGGCUUGACCUAAUUAAUAGGCUGGCUGUUAUGCUUGGCUUGACCUAAUUAAUAGGCUGGCUGUACCAACUGCAAGCACAAUCAGCACGUGAAAUUUGUGAUUUUACAGGCAAAUCAUGUAUUAUGAUGAACAAUUGUAUCAUGUAAGGAGUAAAACUAGCUUAUUUUGCUUGAUUUAAUAGGUUGGAGGGUACAAAACCAAAAUCUGUAGAUUAGCGAAUAUUAAUUUUAUGGAAAAUCCAACAUGAUGGAAUGACUUUCAGUCGUGGUAGGCCUAUUUUUUUUUUUAGAACGAAGGUUCAAGAGAACCCGACUUUGAAUUAACAAAGUCAUCAACCGGCUAGGAUUACAACCACAUCAAUACAAACUCGAACAAGCAAAAGAAAACCCAGAAAACAAGGCAAGAUACAAGGGUGCUGGUAGGCAUCUCUCAAAACCUCACACCCUACCGCUAGUAAGAUAGUGAUAAGCACAAGUUGAAGCACGCAGAGGUCCUCGUCCACCCAAGGAUCUCCUGGGCUUCGGGAAGCGCCUGCCGUCGAGGAUAGGACAUGUUAGCACUCAGCACCAAACAACCAAGGCCCUGGAACAACAUCACCAUCAAUUCCCACUAUCGAAGGAGGCCCCUGGGCCUCCUCACCUGGCUCGAAAGGCGCCGAACCGUCGACAUAUGGGGUUGCUCACCCUAGAACAUGGACGAAGGAUGCAACCGGAGGCAACGAAGGAGUAGGAACAGAGCACACCCUACCCGACUAAGAAACUUCGCCAGAAACACCGCACCACCGCCGCCCACUGACGAUCAUAUGGAGAGGAGAAAGAUGCCGGCCAGACAACAACAGAGUGUCCAGGGAGGAAGGAGCAACGAGGAGGCAGGACCAAGGCCGAGGAUUGACGCUCCGGCUCUCACAACGCACUGCUGUAGCCGCCGGAGGAGGGGAACCCGAUCCCCUCCUGGCCAGUAGCCGUCGGACCAAACUGACACCAGAUGCACAUAGAGUACCAGCAGAAAACCUGACCACUGCCGGACCUGCAAAGCUGCUACCGCCGCCACUGGGGACAUGUUGUCGCCACCGCCCGACAACCACCACACCGCAAUGCCCACAGUCCAAGAAGCAUCCAAGACGACGACUUCAACAAGCAAACGACGCCAAGAGCACCGUCGCCACCCAACAAAGUUCGAGUUUUCACCCGAGAGGCUAGGGGAAGGGGAGGGUGGAGCAAAAGACCUGAAUGGCGCCUUCAAGAAGGGGAGCGGCGUCCAUGGACGUCGCCGCCAUGGAUUUCUCCCGGUCAAGGCUCCACACCACCAACACCCCAUCCAGCUCCAGGCACCGGAGAACCAAGUCAACCUGGUCCAGAUCUGAAGGGGUGGAGCACGCAGGGCAGCAGAAGGGGGAAGGGGCGGCCAGAUCUGGAGCCGCAAGAGGCCGGAAACCCCACCGCCGGCGCCGCGGAUCUCGUCCGCCGGAGAGCUUGCUGCCCGCGCAACCAAGUCAACUGGACCACACCCGCGCCACCAAACAACCGAGGAGAUGGCGNNNNNNNNNNNNNNNNNNNNNNNNNNNNNNNNNNNNNNNNNNNNNNNNNNNNNNNNNNNNNNNNNNNNNNNNNNNNNNNNNNNNNNNNNNNNNNNNNNNNNNNNNNNNNNNNNNNNNNNNNNNNNNNNNNNNNNNNNNNNNNNNNNNNNNNNNNNNNNNNNNNNNNNNNNNNNNNNNNNNNNNNNNNNNNNNNNNNNNNNNNNNNNNNNNNNNNNNNNNNNNNNNNNNNNNNNNNNNNNNNNNNNNNNNNNNNNNNNNNNNNNNNNNNNNNNNNNNNNNNNNNNNNNNNNNNNNNNNNNNNNNNNNNNNNNNNNNNNNNNNNNNNNNNNNNNNNNNNNNNNNNNNNNNNNNNNNNNNNNNNNNNNNNNNNNNNNNNNNNNNNNNNNNNNNNNNNNNNNNNNNNNNAUUUAUACGGUUUACCUGACCUUUUACAAGCUACUGUGUAAGUGUAACGUGACAAGGUUUGGGAGGGCGACUGAGCAAGGGUAUCAAGCUCUAGAAUGAAAGCGGCGAAAAGCAGCGGCGUAAAAAUUUGUAAGUCAUUAACUGAAAAAAAAACACGUCCCAGGAGAUGAAGGUGACGCCAAGCAAAAGCACGACCACUGGGCCAAGCAAGGAAUGGAAACAUGCCGGGCUAAGCUGACCAGUCCAGCUUUUAGUUCUUGAGCUUGGAAGCAUAGGCAUAGGCCUUCAAGGAGGGCCGGGAAGAGGAAGAAAGAGAUACUCUAAGAGCAGUAGGGAUGGGAACAUGAAGGAAAAUCUAUCCAUCCACACCUUCCUAUCAUUCUUAGGUGCUCCUUCCCCUCCCGCUUAGUUUACCACAUGCAGUUCUCUUAGUGUUGAAACGAAAAAGUACCCAUGUACUCCCUCCGUUCCUAAAUGUAAGUCUUUUUAGAGAUUCUAAUAAGUGACUACAUACGGAGCAAAAUGAGUGAAUCUAUACUCUAAAAUAUGUCUAUAUACAUCCGUAUGUAGUCCCUUGUUGGAAUCUCUAAAAAGACUUAUAUUUAGAAACGAAGGGAGUAUCAAUUAAGUGACGAGGCCACGGAGGGAGGCAAGAUUUAUUUUUGUGUUUUCCCAAUGUCUCCCAUGCCUAUUGUUCUUGUGUGCUCGUUCAUCUUUCUUUUAGCUAGCAUAACUAUCUUAACAAAUGUUAUGCACGUGGAUGAUGAGGAAGUAAAUGCAAGUAAGGAAGAGGAAGAAAAUGAGCACCUAAGAACAUUGGGCAUGGAAACAUAGAGGAAAGCCUAGAUUGGCGAUACCCUCAAUAAUUUGGUAGCAAUAUCUUUCCGAGUUUUCCCAAUGCCUCUCGUGCUCACUCUUCUUAUGCGUUCCUUCAUCUUCCCUUUGACUUGCAAAACAAAACAGUUAACCAAGUGUAAACAGACAACUUAGUGCCUUCAUCUUGGUAUCUAUGCUUGGUCCCACGAUGUCAAAAUGCAAUAGACAACUCCUAUUAAACCGGGUAAGAUGAUGAUUACUCUGAAAAAGUGUGACAAACAAUGAUUUAACUGGAUAUAUAACCUAAGAGCUACUAAGCAUAUACAUGAACAAUUGGUAUCAUGUCAAUUUGGCAACAAAUCAUGUCAUGUAUGGUGGAAAUCAACAACACAGAUGGUAGAGAAACUGAAGAAGCGCACUCAUGUAGGGAUCCGAUUAGCCGCUUUCUUUUGCCGCACUGAAUCAAGAUGGCGCACACCAAGCAUCCAUCCCUAAUGCGCGCUCCAUAGCCACAUCAAGCAACCGUCAUCAUGCAUACCCGCGCAUAGGACUCACUGGGCCGAGAGCCGAGCAAGUGGUAGCUGGCGGUGGUCAAACAUGCAUAGCGACCAAAUAAUAUUCCUUUUUCCUUUUUGAGGAAAUAAAAUUGUUAUUUUUGCUUUUCAGAGAUUUCUUUUCAUUGAGUUAUUCUUACUGUAUAGGGUUCUUGGGAUUUCAGAUACCCAUUGGGUUGCCCAAUUAUGGAGCAGGCUUCUGUCAAGAAAAACAAAAUGGAGUCAACUAUGGCUUUAUCCGUUAAAAAAUUGUGCUAUAGCCCCACUGGCUAUUGGCUAUGAUUGAAUAAAUCCGAGGCCACUGGCGAUCAUCCGAGGACCAAGCAAUCACAUUAGCACGACGCCGAGAUUUGUUAACGAGGUUCACCGAUAUGGCUACAUCCCCGGGCCUGACUAUGGGCGCUCCUCCUCAUGAUACCGCUACAAUACCGCACCCGGUCGCCCUGGACGCCGGCACAUGCCAUCGGCUUCCCCUGCGUUUCGGUGCUAUUAUGUUGGCAUAUGUUACAUCGUUGUCUAGCCCUGCAAUAUAUGAGAGGCCUAGGAUACAAGUGUCCUACCAGGACACGACUCCAUAUCCUAUCUAAACACAAUACAACUACAAGUCCAACUGUAACCUAUCUUGUACAUUAUAUUCGACACAACUCCAACAAACUCCACCUUGGCGAAUAUACUCCACCACCCUGGAUUUGUCCAUGCGUCAAACUUCCAUGUACAUUGGACUUGAGCUUAUCCCAUGAGUAUCACUGCUACUCCAAAGACUCCAUGUGACUCCACCUGCAACUUGUAGUCCCUUCUUUUUUUGACCACAGUCAACACUCGAGUAAAAUUAAGUUCCUUGUUACUCUAGUUUGUGCUCCCAACUUUCAGAGUAUCCGUCCAACGCCAUCACACACUGAUCACUGACCUGCGUGAUAGUGAACAACUCACUUAUUGGGUGUCACACAUAAGAGUUACCUGAACUCAACAUCACUGCUCCUUUCUUGACUGCCUGUCUGAAACUUGAAGAAAUUUCACCAUUGCUUGUAGUCAUCCCGAGUCAAAUUCGCAGUUGUCUCAUCACAUGUAUGACCACCAGAGCCCUGGCCCGUCUCCAUGCUCCCGUGCAUACCGCACGCCUCGCCGCUAUUACCGUGUCGAGCCUCCGCUGUCUCGGUCGAGUCUCAAGGGUCGCGAACCCACACCACUCAACCCCACUGCAGAGUACCACCAAUCAUCACCGACAGAUGAUGAGUUUCACGUUUCCAUCAGACCACCGGGCUCCAGUCCAAACUGCAUGUCACUCGCUUUUCCUCCCGUCCCCGCUGAAUAGGCUUCGACUCUCUGUGCACUUACGCCGUAGCCCCUCAAUCAGCACCGAGUGAAGUCUUCCCUCAGACCCCAGCUCCACCUUCAACAUGACUCCAUGGUAGAUGAUCAAUCCACCCUUGCGUCCCGUCGACUUCAAGAUCCGUGUGUAAACCACCUGGAAUCAACCCCGUGCCAUAGUCUUGUCGAAGUCACACAAGCCCUCGGACUUGCGCCACGUGUUUCCACGCCCCAGAAGUCGGCCACCAUCAGCAUCAUGCUUCUAUGUCGUCGUCGCCGAUCCCAUCACCGUCUUCUGUACCAACCGACCCGCGUCGAUCCGUCAGACUGCCUAGUCCGACCCAUCCGAACUCGUUCGACUGUACGACACACUCGAGGCUCUCAAAUCAUCUUCUGCGAAUCUCCAUCCAUCACUUGAUAAUUUCAUCUUAACUGACAUGACUUCCCGCAACGCCAUCAAGCAUCCCUAUUGUGCCAACAAAUCUCUCAUCCGUGUCUGCCAUAACCCAAGGUUUUUAGUUCCAUGAAUUUCUUCACCUCAAACCUGAUACCCGUUGGCGCCACACAGUUCUUUGUACGUCUGACCCUGCGAAAAGUUAUCCGAACUUUCCUCACAUAAUGCCCAAGUACAUGAGGUUGUACUAGUAGCUAAUUCCAACCAAAAAUCUUUCUGGUCUUCACGUCAUCACGUGUAGCGCUCCCUGGCACAAAAUUCCAAUGCUAAGCUUUGCUUCGCCUUCUGCCAUUUCCAAUGGAUGCCAACGUGAAUACGUGAUGGAUUUGUUUUUCCUCGCCGAAUCGAUCUGCCUCUCGCCGCGUCCACGAGGACUCGGUCCUCCUUUUUUUUCUUCAAACAAAUCUCGUACGUGUAACUUGCACCGCCCCUGCACACAGCUCCUCACCCAGCCUCGCCUGUGCGUGGUCUCAGGCAAACUCCACCGCGCGACCCCAUCUUGUCCGGGUGCGUCCGUUUGGGGUAAAACGAACGAAUAGCGCGUCCCAACGCGCGGCCUCAAAUGGACAAAUGUCCGGAAUCCGUCCGUUUUCGACCCAUCCCUGGCCUAAAGUUGCGCUCGGUUUGGGAUGAAACGAACGCGCGCGGACGGCCGCGACGCACGCCCUUGUCCCCCCGUUGCCCGCCUGUCGGGGACACUAGCAGUCCCUUCCUCCCAACGCUUCGACCCUCUCUCUCCCGCCCCGCCCCGCCGCCGACGCCGCCGCUAUUCUCCGGCCGCCUCCUCACCGCGCAGCCCCCGGCCGUCCAUACCAAACCACGUGUAGACAUGGUCGCCACCACGCCCGCGCUUUCGCCGUAGUUUUGGCCGUCGAUCGGAGGAGGUUCGGUCGUCGCCGUCUUUGCCGGUGGCAGAGGAGACACGACCGCCGGCGACGUACCACGGCGGCCGCGGUAGCUUCCGACGGCUCCAGAGCGGCUAGUAGCCGGCCGGCAACCACCCCUGCUGUGUCGAGGUGAUCAUCGCGGCCUCUUCGCCACCACGACCACAAGGUGUUCGACAUUUUGCCCACAAAAGGUAAGGACAGUGGAGACGAGUUCUUCUUCCACCACUUCCUUUGUUCAUCGGACGAUUCAUCGUCGGAUGAUGAAGAUCUUGUGGUGGCUGCACUGGUCGUUCAUGACCACAUUCAACGGCAGCUUCCUCGGUACAGGGGGUCAGUCCCUGGCCGUGCUCCCAACCUGAACCGCAACAGGGAGAGAGGCCACACGCUGCUCUAUGCCAAUUACUUUUCCAACAAACCGCUCUUCAAGCCGGAUAAAUUCCGUCGCCGUUUCGAAUGGCAAGGCAUUGGUUCAAUCGUAUCCGAGAGGGAGUGGUUGCUCAUGACCCAUACUUCGAGUGCAAGACGGAUGCCCUUGGCAAGCUUGGGUUCUCCUCUUACCAGAAAUGCACCACGGCCGUCCGCAUGCAUGCCUAUGGAAUUCCAGGCAAUCUGGUGGAUGAGUACGUGCGUAUGAGCGAGACAACAUGUCUGAUGUCAAUGUACAAGUUCUGUCAGGCUGUGAUCGGGGUGUUUGGCCCAGAGUACUUGAGGCAGCCAACUGCCGCUGAUACAGAGAGAUUGUUGGCGACCAACGCAACUAGAGGCUUUCCAGGCAUGCUUGGCAGCAUAGAUUGUAUGCACUAGGAGUGGAAGAACUGUCCAUUUGCUUGGCAGGGCCAAUACAACGGGCAUGUCAGCGAGUGCACUGUCAUAUUAGAAGCGGUGGCAUCGCAGAAUCUCUGGAUAUGGCAUUCUUUCUUCGGCAUGGCAGGUUCUCACAAUGAUAUCAACGUGCUGCAACGUUCUCCAGUCUUCGCGAGGCUUGCAGAAGGCCGCUCCCCACCUGUCAACUUUGAGACCAACGGCCACCAGUACAACAAAGGAUACUAUCUAGCUGAUGGUAUAUAUCCUCAGUGGUCAACUUUUGUGAAGACAAUCUCGAAGCCCCAAGGUGAGAAGAGAAAGAGAUUUGCCCAAAUGCAAGAGCGUGCUAGAAAGGAUGUGGAACGUGCUUUUGGUGUGCUUCAAUCCCGAUGGAGCAUCGUUCGAUACCCUGCACUGUCAUGGGAUGAAAGGAAGCUUUGGGAGGUGAUGACUGCAUGUGUGAUCAUGCACAACAUGAUCGUCGAGGACGAGCGUGAUGACAGUAUCUUCGACCAAGGAUUUGAUUUUCAAGGUGACAAUGUUGAGCCCCUGCACCAAGAACCGGCCACGUUUGAUCAGUUCUGUCAGUUCCAUCACGAGCUGCGUGAUUGGCACACUCAUAAGGCUCUUCAAAAUGACUUGGUUGAGCACGUGUGGGAUCAUAUUGGCAACCGAUAGAUGUAUUGGUUCGUUUUAUGUUCAUAAGUUCGAUUUGGUUGUAAAACUAUCUUUAUUAGAGACAAUUUUGAUUGGGUUGUAAAACUAUUUUAAUUUUCAAACAAUUAAUAUUUGGACGUGCAAACUUGUUUUCAUAUGAAAAUAUGGGCAUUUUAGGCCCUGGCGGACAAGAUGGGGUAAACGGAUGCGGCCGCUCGCUGGGCGCACGACCACCGCAUCCCAGGACAGACCCGGACAUGACCCCAUUGCCCUAUCCAAACGGACAGAAUCCGUACAAAAUGAACGUCCGUUUGGGGUCGCGUGGUGGAGUUGGCCUCACACCCUGCACUGCUACGCCUAGUCCACAGCCCGACCACGUGUAGCUCCAUGGGCCACCUGCCGUGCAGCGCUCCAAGGGCCUUGGGCCAGCACGCUUCCACGCAUCUGGCUUAGUAGAAUCUCGUCCGACUAGGCUUCCAACGCAUGUGCCUUGUGCUUCGGAUCGAAUCCGACCUCACUUCCAUGUCGAUACACGUCGCCGCCAUGUGCACACGACGCCUUACCAAAUCGCUGAAGUCUCCUGCAGUCCUGCUAUGACGCUGCCGCCGUAGUACGCUCGCCCGAUCUAUCUGAUCGCCGCACGUCUCGUCUGAUGCUGCCGCACAUACACGCGCCUUCCACUGAUAUGCUUUCUUCAAUCUUGCCGAGAAACACGCCGCAACCGGCUGCAUCUCGAACUCGAUACUUUCUCUGAAUCAACAAUCCACAACCUCCGAACAACCUAGCUCUGAUACCACUUGUUAGAAUAAAUCCGAGGCCACCGUCGAUCAUCCGAGGACCAAACAAUCACACAAGCACGACACCGGGAUUUGUUAACGAGGUUCACCGAUAUGGCUACAUUCCCGGGGCCUUACUAUGAGCGCUCCUCUCCAUGAUACCGCUACAAUACCACACCCGGUCGUCCUGAACGCCGGCACAUGCCAUCGGCUUCCCCUGCGUUCCGGUGCUAUUAUGUUGGCAUAGGUUACAUCGUGUGUCUAGCCCCGCUAUAUAUGAGUGGCCUAGGAUACAAGUGUCCUACUAAGACACGACUCCAUAUCCUAUCUAAACACAAUACAACUACAAAUUCAACUGUAACCUAUCUUGUACACUAUAUUCGACACAACUCCAACAGGCUAGUACACUACACUUUGUAGAUACUAAUUUCCAACGAAAUGAUCAGGCUGGCCGACUGAUAUGGAUGUAAACCAAAACGAUAUUCCCUAUAUCUACUACACUUUCUAAAUACUCAUUUUUAGUGAAAUGGCCAGGUUUAGAGGUAUUGUCCUCUCACGUAAACAAAACAAAAUACGUGGAGCUAAAAAGUUAUACCAAUCUUGCAGUUUGAUUGCAAGCUUAGCUUUAGGUACAUACCAUACACUCUUCAAGAGAUAAUUUCUCAAGUGUAGACCUUUAUGAUAUUAGAUUAUACUCCCUCCGUUCGGAAUUACUUGUCUCGAAAAUGGAUGUAUCUAGAACUAAAAUACAUCUAGAUACAUCNNNNNNNNNNNNNNNNNNNNNNNNNNNNNNNNNNNNNNNNNNNNNNNNNNNNNNNNNNNNNNNNNNNNNNNNNNNNNNNNNNNNNNNNNNNNNNNNNNNNNNNNNNNNNNNNNNNNNNNNNNNNNNNNNNNNNNNNNNNNNNNNNNNNNNNNNNNNNNNNNNNNNNNNNNNNNNNNNNNNNNNNNNNNNNNNNNNNNNNNNNNNNNNNNNNNNNNNNNNNNNNNNNNNNUGUUGUUCCUAACACUUACACACUCUCACGUUAAGCACCAUGGGAUAUAUAACCAUCUUUCGUUUGUGCAUGCCCUCAAUGCACCACCUCAUGUGAACUUCAUUGCUCACAACAUUGCACUAGGAUAAUGGAUGUCAGUAUGUGGUACACCGUACACCUAAUAUAUCUAUAUAUCGGUCGACGGUUCAGACUUCCAAAUCAGAAAAUCUUGUAGUCUUACACAAGGAGCACGAGUAGGGAAGAGGAAGAAGCGGGUCUAAGAGGUGUAGGAAUGGGAACAUGAAGAAAAUCAAUUGUAUUCCCUCCUCUGGUAUUGGAGGGGAGAAAUGGUCUGAUGUUUCUGAUGCCUCCCAUUCCUAUGGAUCUUAGAUUCUCCUUCCUCUUACUUUUUGCUCGUACAAUUCAGCUGGUAAACGAAACAAACAAUCCUCCCUCAAAAAAGAAAGAAAGAAAACAAAGAAUCCUACAUGGAUGGUCGUGAUGCGUCUUAAUAGUGAGUCGGAAAGAAGGGAAAAAUUAGAAUGAACGAACACAAGGAAAAUUACAAUUAUUUCUCUUCUUACAACUUACGGUUGAGAUAUAACAUUGUAUUUUUCCUAAUGCCUGUCGGUCAUAAUGUUCUUAAUUAGAUGCUCUUUCUCUUCAUUUUGGCUUGCAUAUAUACAUGCAUAACAUCUUUAAAUCUAUGCUAAGGCUAUUCAAUACAGGUUUUGUGUAGACCCAUGAAAAUCACAUGUAUGUAGCGUCCACCUUCCUUCAUUAAUUCCAAAAAUGAGCUACCAAACUAAAACAAAUUAACUACAAUUUCCACUUUGAACUCGAAAUGAUGACUCCGACCAUAUCUAAGCAGCAAAUUUCAUAUUGUUUUUAGAAGCUCUUAACUUCUUAUUUUGUCCUACACAUAUACAUGGACAACCUUUUUAAAUUUGUGGUAAGGGUGUCAAUAACAGUUUAAGUGAACUCGUGAAAAAUUUGUAAGUAGUGUUUUCCUUGCUUCAUUAGUUCCAAAUUGAGCCACAUUCUCAAAAUUAACUUACUGAGUUCUAACUAAAUGAAUGAGCUUAUCUACAUUCCAAUAAAUAGAAUAAUAUGCACUUGCGUGCUUUGGAUGCAGGGGCUAGGGUGUAGUAAAGAUCUUCCUUUUCCAAAAAAAUAAGAUAUACAUUGUUGUAAAGGAGAGCCAAGAACAUGGUUGAGAUGCUAUAUGACUUCACUGAACUCCCUACAUGUUGAAUACUUCCUUCACAACAUCCUUGAGCUGCAGAAAGGAAUACUGUGACACUCUACGUUCAUCAUGUUUUGUGCAAGUAGCAAACAUAUGUGUGAAAAAAUAAUUAAAUUAGGUGGCACCAGGAAGACAUAUCUGGCUCUUAUGUUCUUCCUACGGCCAAGUUUGUUAGAAAAAGAUGCCUAGCUUCAAGUAAGGCAACACAACAUGCUGAAUAGACAUGAAAGAGUUUAGCCUGGAUUAUACAGUUCAAGAAAUUUGUUUCCUCCAUGGGAUUGUAUUUGGACAUCAUACUUCCUGAUAGUACACUCUUCUUGUUUAUCUUGUUUUUUUCCUUUCCUGUUAAUGAGCGGGAAGGGUUAUGGUAAAGAAAUAUUGAGCAUUAUUGUUAUUGUUGUACAGGGGUAUUCGUCUUCCAUGUAUGACUGCGGUGUUUCAUAUCAAUAUGUAAUGAUAAUGGCAGUCACCUCAGUUGUGCCAAUUAAUAGUUCACUUAUAUGAUAAUUUUUCUCCUUUAUUAAAUUCCCACAUCAUGUCUGGACCAAAAUGUCGGGUUUUUGGAUACACUGAUAUAUAAGCAAUUGUAGAAGAUCAGCUCCCUACAACUACAAUGCUGGUCCAGAAUUACAAAGCUUGUUCAUUUGUCUCACGAACAAGGUACCCAGGUCCAUGUCCCCACUGUCACUUACCAUUGUGACCCGUAGUACACCAUGCAUUAGGUGUGUGAUUAACUCAUAUAAAGACCUACACCAACAACUCUGGACCUAUAUCUAUGUAUAUCCCAAUGCUAUCAUGCAAUAGCUCAAGAUGCUCUUCCGAGUUCUCAUGUUUCUGGAGUUAGUUGUGGAGUGUGGGCAAAUAAGAGGAAGAAUGAGAGGGUCCAAGAGUAGUAUGAAUGGGCACAUCGAGGAAAGCAUGAGAUUUCUAGAUUUCCUCUCCUAACAAAGGAGAAAUCUUGUUUUGUGUUUUUCCGAUGUCUCCCAUUCCUAUCGCUCUUGGGUGCUCCUUCCCCUUCCUUUUGGCUUGCAAAUUUUUCUUAAUACAAGGGAAGCAAACAAUCCAUGUAUAAAUUAGAUGGCAAGACCUUGACAGUAAGCUAGGAAGAGGAAGAAAAGAGUGUAUAAGAUCUGUAGGAGUGGAAUCAUGGAGGAACACACAAGAAAUUUAGUUCUUCUCUCUUAACACCCAGUGGAAACUUGGCUUCAAAAUUUCCCAAUGUCCCCCAUUCCUUUUCAUUUUUAGGCGCUCCUUCCUUUCACUUUUGCUUCAAAGUUCAAACUGUUGUGAUGUAUGCUGCAUCAUGCGUGUGCGAUAUGCAUUUUGCACUUCCCUCAAAGAGAACUGCAUCAAUUGUAGGUUUAUACACCAGAACAUUGCACCGCAGGUGUGUGUGUGUGUGUGUGUGUGUGUGUGUGUGUGUGUGUGCGUGCGUGCGUGUGCGUGGUUUUCUCAUAAACUAACAUAAAGGAACUCCCAGCUCUAAUUUCCCCUGUAGCGUUAGAAGUGGAGAUGGCUUGAUGUUUUCCUGCUGCUUCUCAUUCCUUGGAUUCUUAGAUGCUCCUUCAUCUUACUCUUGUCUUGCGCUAUACACAACUAAGAGCAUGCUUAUCAUUAUUUAGGUUCACUUUAAUUCAACGAGACACAAAUGAUGAGAUCCCGUUGAUAUAUAUUAAAAACAGAUUAGUUGUGUACAAUUAGUUUGGAAAAAGGAUGACAAUAGAACACAAUCGCACUGCCAUUGGGAAGUGUCCAAACUGAAAUUCAGUGAACGGUGCCUAUUAUGAAAUACUAGAUGACCUUGUUGCGCUAGUUGGCAUAGAGACCAACUGGAGNNNNNNNNNNNNNNNNNNNNNNNNNNNNNNNNNNNNNNNNNNNNNNNNNNNNNNNNNNNNNNNNNNNNNNNNNNNNNNNNNNNNNNNNNNNNNNNNNNNNNNNNNNNNNNNNNNNNNNNNNNNNNNNNNNNNNNNNNNNNNNNNNNNNNNNNNNNNNNNNNNNNNNNNNNNNNNNNNNNNNNNNNNNNNNNNNNNNNNNNNNNNNNNNNNNNNNNNNNNNNNNNNNNNNNNNNNNNNNNNNNNNNNNNNNNNNNNNNNNNNNNNNNNNNNNNNNNNNNNNNNNNNNNNNNNNNNNNNCUAAGUGUGUAGUUUCCUUGAUGAUGAUCAUUACCCAUAGCAGCUUUCUUUGGCGAUGCAUAGGCCAUUUGCUUGGGCAUGUGAUUGGACUAAGAUUUUUUUGUGAACCAGCCUUUCCCGGUCUCGUAAUUCUGAUGGAAAACAACCAAGAAAUUAGGUUAACCAUUUGAAGAAUGCAUGUAGUGAAUUGCUCGCAAGUGAUUAUAUUCCUAGAUUAUUUGUAAUUGUCUCACCAAAUGAAAUGCAAUGAUGAUCUUUUCCCAUGUGCUUCCUUGUUCGGCCAGAGGAACCCAACAACUGGUUCAAUACAAAGCCCGAACUCACCCUGACAAUAAAUGACCUAAACCAUCGGAACCGUGCACCCCCAGCAUAAACCACACAUGCAAAAGGAAGCCAAGCGAACCGACCAGAUGAUUCAAAUGCUAGGGUAGAGUGUGAUCAAUGAGAAUGCAUAGCCGUGUAUGCCAAUAGCAAGGCAGCAACGACCAAAGAUUCCAAAAACGCCAAUUGGGCCGACCACAACAUCCAAAAGUUGUUAUCGAUCUUUCUAUCUAGCAGCCAGUCAUCCUCCCCCCCUCUCUCUCUCUCUCCCACACUCAAACACCGACCCAUUCUCCCUCUCUUUUGUGUGGUUCAUCCUUCCAUACAGGACAGCUCUAGCCCCCUCUUUCACACACAGGAGUUGUGGGUAAUGUUGGGGAACGCAGUAAUUUCAAAAAAUUUCCUACGAUCAUGCAAGAUCUAUCUAGGUGAUGCAUAACAAUGAGAGGGGAGAGUGUGUCCACGUAGCCUCGUAGACCGAAAGUGGAAGCAUUUAGUUAACGCGGUUGAUGUAGUCGAACGUCUUCGCGAUCCAACCGAUCCAAGCACCGAACAUACGACACCUCCGCUUUCAGCACACGUUCAGCUCGAUGAUGUCCCUCGUACUCUUGAUCCAGUUGAGGCCGAGGGAGAGUUUCGUCAGCACGACAACGUGGUGAUGGUGAUGAUGAAGUUACCGGCGCAGGGCUUCGCCUUAGCACUAUGACGAUAUGAUCGAGGUGUGUAACUGUGGAGGGGGGCACCGCACAUGGCUAAAACAAUUGUCAACUUGUGUGUUCUAGGGUGCCCCCUGCCCUCGUAUAUAAAGGAGCAAGGGGGGAGGCCGGACGGCCCCUAUAGGGCACGCCCCAAGUAUGAUUCCUACUAGGAAUCCUAUUCCUAGUAGGUUUCCAACAAGGGGAAGAGAGGGGGAAGGAAGGAGAGGGAGAGAGGGAAGGCAAGGGGGGCACCGCCCCCCUUCCUUGUCCUAUUUGGACUCAGGGGAGGGGGCGUGAAGCCUGCCCUGGCCGUCCCCUCUCUCUCUCCACUAGGGCCCAUCGGGGCCCAUUAGUUCCUCGGGGGGUUCCGGUUACCCUCCGGCACUUCGUUUUAUUCAAAACUUCUCCGGAACACUUUCGGUGUCCGAAUAUAGUCGUCCAAUAUAUCAAUAUUUAUGUCUCGACCAUUUCGAGACUCCUCGUCAUUUCCGUGAUCACAUCCGGGACUCCGAACAAUCUUCGGUACAACAUAUCACAUAAACUCAUAAUACCAAUCGUCAUCGAACGUUAAGCGUGCGGACCCUACGGGUUCGAGAACUAUGUAGACAUGACUGAGACACGUCUCCGGUCAAUAACCAAUAGCUGAACCUGGAUGCUCAUAUUGGUUCCUACAUAUUCUACGAAUAUCUUUAUCGGUCAAACCGCAUAACAACAUACGUUGUUCCCUUUUUCAUCGGUAUGUUACUUGCUCGAGAUUCGAUCAUCGGUAUCUCAAUACCUAGUUCAAUCUAGUUACCGGCAAGUCUCUUUACUUGUUUCGUAAUACUUCAUCCUGCAACUAACUUAUUAGUCACAAUGCUUGCAAGGCUGAUAAUGAUGAGUAUUACCGAGAGGGACCAGAGAUACCUUUCCAAAACACGGAGUGACAAAUCCUAAUCUCGAUCUAUGCCAACCCAACAAACACCUUCGGAGACACCUGUAGAGCACCUUUAUAAUCACCCAUUUACGUUGUGACGUUUGGUAGCACACAAAGUGUUGUGUUCCUCCGAUAUUCGGGAUUUGCAUAAUCUCAUAGUCUGAGGAACUUGUAUAAGUCAUGAAGAAAGUAGUAGCAAUGAAACUAACACGAUCAUAAUGCUAAGCUAACAGAUGGGUCAUGUCCAUCACAUCAUUCUCCUAAUGAUGUGAUCCCGUUCAUCAAAUGAUAACACAUGUCUAUGGUUAGGAAAGAUAAUCAUCUUUGAUUAACGAGCUAGUCAAGUAGAGGCAUACUAGGGACUAUAUGUUUUGUCUAUGUAUUCGGACAUGUACUAAGUUUCCGGUUAAUACAAUUCUAGCAUGAAUAAUAAACAUUUAUCAUGAAUUAAGGAAAUAAAUAAUAACUUUAUUAUUGCCUCUAGGGCAUAUUUCCUUCAGUCUCCCACCUGCACUAGAGUCAAUAAUCUAGAUUACAUAGUAAUGAUUCUAACACCCAUGGAGUUUUGGUGCUGAUCAUGUUUUGCUCGUGGAAGAGGCUUAGUCAACGGGUCUGCAACAUUCAGAUCUGUGACUAUCUUGCAAAUCUCUAUGUCCCCUUUCGGCACUUGAUAACGGGUGGAAUUGAAGCGUCUCUUGAUGUGCUUGGUUCUCUUGUGAAAUCUGGAUUCCUUUGCCAAGGCAAUUUGAAAGCACAAGUGCUCCCUGGGUGAUUUUGGUAAUUAAUGUCAACAUAUCUCUUGUUGGACUAAUACUUUUAUCUAGUACUCCCUCCGUCCGGAAAUACUCGUUGAAGAAAUGCAUAAAAAUGAAUGUAUUUAGAACUAAAAUGCAUCUAGAUACAUUCAUUCCUCCAACGAGUAUUUCCGGACGGAGGGAGUAUAUUUCAGAUAAGUCCAACAGUGGAGUGGCAUGGACAAGAGGAUGUGGAACCCCUUCUAGAUGCUAAGGACAAAGGAUUGGCUCAAGCUCAAAGCUCGGGACUCUACAUUUUCUAUUUCAGUGAUCCAAGAUCACAUUGAGUCCAUAGGAAAGCCAAUACUAUUAAAAGGGGAUGAGGUGUUGCUUAAUGUCUUGCUUGCUCAAAGCUCUUAGUGAUAUGCUCCAAAAACCCUCAACCACUUUCUCAUAUCCACAUAUGUCCCAAUAAAACUCAAACUCGGCCCCACCGAUUUGAUCUAUCCGGCGCCACCGAGUUCAUUGGACAUAGCCACUGCCAGAAACCCUAAUCAAUUCGGACUCACCGAUGGGAUCUUGGUCUCACCGAUAUGGGCUUGCAAACUCCCUGUUGCCUAUUGCAAUAAUUUCGGUCUCACCGAGAAGAUGUAAUCGGUCCCACCGAGUUUGCUUGACCAACUCUCUAUUUUUCUUAUUACCAAAGUCGGUCCCAUCGAGUUUGUGUAAUCGGUCAGACCGAGAUGAGGAUUUACCCUAACCCUUGCACAUCGGUCCCACCGAGUUGAUCAUAUCAGUCCCACUGAAAUGCCUAACGGUCACAUUAUGAACUAAUUCGGUCUCACCGAGUUUUAUGUUUCAGUCCCACCGAGUUCGGUAAAUUGUGUGUAACGGUUAGAUUUUGUGUGGAGGCUAUAUAUACCCCUCAACCCUCUCCUCAUUCCCGGGGAAAGCCAUCAGAACAUGCCUACACUUCCAGCAUUCAUUUUCUGAGAGAGAACCACCUACUCAUGUGUUGAGGCCAAGAUAUUCCAAUCCAACCAUAUGAAUCUUGAUCGCCAGCCUUCCCCAAGUUGCUUUCCACUCAAAUCAUCUUUCCACCAAAUUCAAUCCUAUGAGAGAGAGUUGAUUGUUGGGGAGACUAUCAUUUGAAGCACAAGAGCAAGGAGUUCAUUAACAACACACCAUCUAUUACCUUUUGGAGAGUGGUGUCUCCUAGAUUGGUUAGGUGUCACUUGGGAGCCUCCGUCAAGAUUGUGGAGUUGAACCAAGGAGUUUGUACGAGCAAGGAGAUCGCCUACUUUGUGAAGAUCUACCCUACUGAGGCAAGUCCUUCGUGGGAGAUGGCCAUAGUGGGAUAGACAAGGUUGCUUCUUUGUGGACCCUUCGUGGGUGGAGCCCUCCGUGGACUCGCGCAACCGUUACCCUUUGUGGGUUGAAGUCUCCAUCAACGUGGAUGUAUGAUAGCACCACCUAUCGGAACCACGCCAAAAAUCUCCGUGUCUCCAAUUGCGUUUGCACACUCCAAUCCCAUCCCUUUACUUUCUUGCAAGUUGCAUGCUUUACUUUCCGCUGCUCAUAUAAUCUUUGCAUGCUUGCUCGAAUUGUAUUGUGUAUGCUUAAAAUUGUGUUAAUCUACCACCUCAACUUGAAAAACUUAAAAACUGCCAACUUUGUGUGUUGAGGGUCUAUUCACCCCCUCUAGACACCUCCUCUCGAUCCUUUCAAUUGGUAUCAGAGCUUUGGUCUCUAUUGCUUUGGUUUAAUCACCAUUGGAGGAAGAUGGAUGAGUCUACGUUGGGGAGUCUUAGACAUAGAGUGCCUAGACUUGAUGGAGAGUACUUUCAUGAGUGGAAAAAUGAGAUGCUUGAGAUUUUCAAUGAAUAUGAUUUGAGCAAGUACAUUACCAACCCUUGUGCGCCCAUUAUUGAUCCCUUGCAUCCCCCUCCCGAUGAGGAUCUUGACAUGAUUCGCAAUCUUAGAACUAUCAAUCUUAUCAUUAGAGGAUUGCUUAGAAAUUUGAUUGGUCACUUGCCUACUCUUGAUUGUGCUUAUACCAUAUGGAGAUUUCUUGAGGAGAGAUUUCCAAACUAUUCCUUGCAAAAUCUAGAUGAGAUUCUUCAUAAGUCAAUUGCCUUGAAUAAAAGUGAUCCUAGGUUUGAUGUUUGUUUGUUUGAGCUUCGUUACCUUAUGCGUGCCAAAGGAGAUGUUGGAAUCAUUAGCAAUAUUAUCUCCGAAGCCAUUAGAUUUCAUAAAGAUGAUUAUUGUCAUGAUCAUUUAUCUAAUGAAUCACCCUCUCUAGGAAUUGAUCCAUCACAUGACGAUGUUGAACAUGGAUACUGUGAUGAGGAUGAUGAUAGUGACUAUGAUCUUGAUGAUGCAAUGAGACACUUUGGUCUUAUGGCUAAUCUUCACAGCUACAUGGCAGGAGGAAAGGAAUGGGUCGUUGAUAGUGGAUGUACUGAUCACAUGACCGGAGAUAAAGAUAUGUUUCAUGAGCUUGCUGAAAACGACGGCCCUCGAAAGUAUGUCACUUUUGGUGACAACUCAAAGGGUAAGGUGGUUGGCCUCGGUAAGGUGGCCAUCUCACAUGAUAGCACCAUACAAAAUGUUAUGCUCUUUGAAUCUCUUGGCUAUAAUUUGCUUUCUGUAUGUAGACUUGCUGAUUUCGGUUUCAAUGUCCUAUUUACUAAAGUAGAUUGCCAAGUGUUUCAUAGAGAUAAUCAUAAAAUGGUCUUUACCAGUAUACGUAGAGGUGAUCUAUACAUUGUUGAUUUCACUAAAAAGGCUCAACCUAGAACUUGCUUCAUUGCUAAAUCUUCUAAAGGCUGGUUGUGGCAUAGACGGUUAGGUCAUGUGGGCAUGCGAAACCUUGACAAGCUUAUUAAAGGUGAUCAUAUCCUUGGUGUUAAAGAUGUCAUAUUUGAUAAGGAUAGACUUUGCAGCGCUUGCCAAGUAGGAAAACAGGUUGGAGGAAGCCACCCCGUGAAGAACAUCAUGAUCACGAGAAGACCGCUCGAGCUACUUCAUAUGGAUCUCUUUGGUCCCAAUGCCUACAAAAGUCUUGGUGGAAACUCAUUUGGUCUAGUUAUAGUCGAUGAUUUUUCAAUAUUUACGUGGGUGUUCUUUCUCGAUGAUAAAUCGUAGGUCGAAAAGAUCUUCAAGAACUUUGCUAGGAAGGCCCAAAAUCAAUUUGAAGUGAAGAUCAAGAAGGUUCGCAACGACAAUGGAACAGAGUUCAAGAACGCCAAUGUGGACACCUUUCUUGACGAAGAAGGUAUCUCACAUGAGUUCUCGGCUACGUACACACCUCAACAAAAUGGAGUUGUUGAGAGGAAGAAUCGGACACUCAUCGAAAUGGCUAGAAUGAUGCUUGACGAAUAGAAGACGCCAAAACACUUCUGGGCAGAAGCGGUUCAGAUAGCUUGUCAUGCAACAAAUCACUUGUAUCUUCACAAGCUACUCGGCAAGACGGCAUACGAGCUGCUCACUGAUAACAAACCCCAAGUUGGAUAGUGUUGAGUAUUCGGCUCAAAGUUCUACAUUCUUGAUAAGCAUCGUCGUUCUAAAUUUGCUCCCAAAUCUCAUGAAGGUUUCCUACUUGGUUAUGGCUCAAAUUCUCACACUUACCGUGUCUACAACAAUUUCACCCAAAAGGUUGAAGAGACGGUAGAUGUGAAGUUUGAUGAAUCUAACGGCUCGCAAGUAGAGCAAUUGCCAAUUGAUGUAGGAGAUAAAGACCCUUCGGAAGCAAUCCAAAAUUUGUCCAUUGGCAAGAUCCGUCCAACGGAGGUGAAGGAGAGUACCUCAUCUGUCCAAGUGGAAGCUUCUACCUCACGUCAAGGUGAACCAAGAGUUGAUAUGGAAGCAUCCACAAGUGGGACACACCAAGAUGAAGAAAAUGAGGAAGUACACCAAGAUGAACCUCAUCAACCUCCUUCACCACCACGACAAGAGGACGACAACAUCAACAAUGAAGAAGGCCAAGAAGAAGAACAAGAUUAUGAAGAAGAUGUUCCACCCCGACCAAAACAAAAGCUCUCACGAGUUCGAGCAAGAUUCGCCAAAGACCAUCCCGUCGAGCAAAUCUACAAUGAUAUCCAAACCGGGAGAAUCACUCGCUCUAAAACUCGUUUGGCUAACUUUUGUGAACAUUAUUCAUUCAUCUCUAGCAUUGAACCCAUGAACGUUGAAGAAGCAUUGGAAGAUCCGGAUUGGAUAAAUGCCAUGCAUGAAGAGCUACCCAACUUUGAGAGAAAUCAAGUGUGGACAUUGGUCGAGAAGCCCGACAACAAGCACAACAUCAUCGGUACCAAAUGGGUGUUUCGCAACAAGCAAGAUGAAGAUGGACAAGUAGUUCGCAUAAGAGCACGUCUCGUCGCCCAAGGCUACACUCAAGUCGAAGGUAUGGACUAUGGUGAGACAUAUGCCCCCGUUGCUAGACUUGAGUCCAUUCGCAUAUUGCUUGCCUAUGCUAAUCACCAUGAUAUCACCUUGUACCAAAUGGACAUUGAAAGUGCUUUUCUAAAUGGUGAAAUUGAGGAGGAAGUUUAUGUUAAACAACCUCCCGGCUUUGUUAAUCCUAAGAAACCCAAUCAUGUUUACAAACUUCACAAAGCUCUUUAUGGUCUUAAACAAGCUCCUAGAGCAUGGUAUAAAUGCUUGACCAAGUUCCUUAUCGAGAAAGGCUUUGAGAUUGGAAAAAUUGAUUCUACUCUUUUCACUAAAAGGGUUAAUGGAGAAUUAUUUGUGUGCCAAAUUUAUGUUGAUGAUAUUAUAUUUGGUUCAACUAACCCUCAUUUUAGUGAGAAGUUUGGGAAGCUUAUGUCGGAGAAGUUUGAGAUGUCUAUGAUGAGUGAACUCAAGUUCUUUCUUGGUUUGCAAAUCAAGCAAACUAAGGAGGGAACCUUUGUCUCUCAAACGAAGUAUACCAAGGACUUAUUCAAGAAGUUCAAUAUGCAAGAAUGCAAAGGUAUGAGUACACCCAUGCCUACUAGUGGACAUCUUGACUUGACUAAAGAUGGUGAACCCGUUGAUAAAAAAGUUUCCCGCUCUAUGAUUGGUUCAUUGUUAUAUCUAUGUGCCUCCCGUCCCGAUAUCAUGCUAAGUGUGCGCAUGUGUGCACGAUAUCAAGUAGCCCCCAAAGAGUGUCAUCUUAAGGAUGUGAAAAGGAUAGUGAGAUACUUAAUACAUACACCAAAUUUUGGCAUUUGGUAUCCAAAGAGGUCUUCUUUUGAUCUUGUUGGCUACUCCAACUUGGACUAUGCCGGUGACAAGGUUGAUAGAAAGUCCACUUCGGGUACUUGUAAAUUUCUUGGUAGAUCUCUUGUGUCUUGGUCCUCCAAGAAAUAAAACUCGGUAUACUUAUCCACCACCGAAGCGGAAUACAUUGCCGCCGGUUCAUGUUGUGCUCAAUUACUUUGGAUGACCCAAACUCUUAAAGAUUAUGGGAUAUAUGUGAAACAUGUUCCAUUGCUUUGUGACAAUGAAAGUGCUAUUAAGAUUGUUCACAAUCCCGUGCAACAUUCUCGAACUAAGCAUAUUGAGGUUCAUCAUCAUUUCAUUCGAGAUCAUGUUGCUAAAGGGGACAUUAAUCUUAAGCAUGUUCGUACCGAUAAGCAAUUGGCGGAUAUAUUCACCAAACCGCUUGAUGAGAAAGUAUUUUGCCGAUUGAGAGGUGAAUUGAAAAUCAUUGAUGCUUCAAACUUGGAGUAGGAACUCCAUUUGGAUACAUGCAAGGCAUGAGGCUAUGAAUAAUCCUUGAUAUUUCUCUUAUGAUGAUAAUCAUAUGUCUUGGAUAUAUUUGCACCCUUGCAUGUUAUCUAACCCUUGUAGGUACUUGGAUGGAUAUAAAUCUAUGAGAUUGCAACUCCCUCAUAUCUUGAGCAAUCUCUACAUCACAAAGUCUCUACAAAACAGUGGUUGACGAUAAGGAAGCAUGAAACCCUUCAAACAUAUCCUUUAACAAUUUAUAAAUAUCAAAUUCAUGAUUGUCACUUUGGAUACACAAGUGCUCCUCCUUGCAAAACUAAUUCAUGUAGUGCUACGUCUUGAGCUUGCGUUGGUUUUCCUUGAAGAGGAAAGGGUGAUGCAGCAAUAGUAGCGUAAGUAUUUCCCCUAGUUUUGAGAACCAAGGUAUCAAUCGAGUAGGAGGCUCCUCAAAAGUCCCACGCACCUACACAAACAAACAAAGAACUCGCAACCAACGCAAUAAAGGGGUUGUCAAUCCCUUCACGGCCACUUGCGAUAGUGAGAUCUAAUAGAGAUAGUAUGAUAAGAUAAAUAUAUUUUUGGUAUUUUAUAAGAUAGAUGCAAAAAUUAAAGAUGCAAAUAAAAGUAGAUUGGAAGCAAAUAUGAUAAGAGAUAGACCCGGGGGCCAUAGGUUUCACUAGUGGCUUCUCUCAAGAUAGCAUAAGUAUUACGGUGGGUGAACAAAUUACUGUCGAGCAAUUGAUAGAAAAGCGAAUAAUUAUGAGAUUAUCUAGGCAUGAUCAUGUAUAUAGGAAUCACGUCCGCAACAAGUAGACCGACUCCUGCCGGCAUCUACUACUAUUACUCCACACAUCGACCGACUCCUGCCUGCAUCUAGAGUAUUAAGUUCAUAAGAACAGAGUAACACAUUAAGCAAGAUGACAUGAUGUAGAGGGAUAAACUCAUGUAAUAUGAUAUAAACCCCAUCUUUUUAUCCUCGAUGGCAACAAUACAAUACGUGCCUUGCAACCCUUUUUGUCACUGGGUAAGGACACCGCAAGAUUGAACCCAAAGUUAAGCACUUCUCCCAUGGCAAGAAAGAUCAAUCUAGUAGGCCAAACCAAACUGAUAAUUCGAAGAGACUUGCAAAGACAACUCAAUCUUACAUAAAAGAAUUCAGAGGAGAUUCAAAUAUUUCUCAUAGAUAAACUUGAUCAUAAACUCACAAUUCGUCGGAUAUCGACAAACACACUGCAAAAAGAGUUUACAUCGAAUAGAUCUCCACAAGAGAGGGGGAGAACAUUGUAUUGAGAUCCAAAAAGAGAGAAGAAGCCAUCUAGCUAAUAACUAUGGACCCAAAGGUCUGUGGUAAACUACUCACAACUCAUCGGAGGGGCAAGGAUGUUGAUGUAGAAGCCUCCAUGGUUGAUCCCCCCUCCGAUCAAGCACCGACGAAGGCUCCAAGAUGGGAUGUCGUGGAUACAGAAGGUUACAGCGGUGGAAAUUGUGUUUCGUUGGCUCCCUGGAUGUUUUCGGGGUACAUAGGCUUAUAUAGGAGGAAGAAGUACGUCGGUGGCCGCUCGAUGGGCCCACAAGACAGGGGGGCGCGCCCUAUGGGGGGGGGCAUAAACAUCCAAAAGGGGUAAUAUAAUAGCAUGGAACAAUCAAAAAUUAUAGAUACGUUUGAGACGUAUCAUGUAGGUAGAUGAACUUCAAUUACAAGUGGUGCUCCAAAUGAACUACAUCAACCUUGAGCAUCCCACAAAAGUUCAACUACAUGAUCAAGAUCAACACCACCACCCAAGGUAUGUUAUUCCAUCUUAGAGAAGCUUUACCCCAAGUCAUGGGUGAAAGCAGCUCCACAAGAUGUGAACACAUCAAAAUGCUUAAACGAAAAAUGGCAACCCCACUUUGAGCUUAAAUGAUGAGUAUGACCUAUGAUCAAGUGAGACUUCACUUGACUCCUAAGUCAAUAUACUCUAACAUAGGUGACUUUGUCGCCGACCAAUUCUAGAUGAGUUUCUCUAGUGUUUCUCCUUGUUCUUGCAUUUGACUCAUGCAUAUUUGUUUCCCUUUUUCAAAAAAAAACUUCAUCUAGAUUUCUUUUCUUUUAUUUCUCUUCUGCAUUUCCUGCAUCCAAUUCAUUGCAAAUCCUUUAGUUAAUUCCCUGCAAAUCUUUGUGAGAUCUUAUUUUCUUAGUGAGCUGAGGUGACAAGUCCUUUAUCUCUGUAUCGAACUCGGACACACCGGUUUGUCUCCUUCGGUCAAACCGAAUUACCUUGGUGCCACCGAAGACAACAACUCGGUGUUACCAAUUUCAAAUGUAGAGGAGACACUUUGUCGUUUGCAUCCUGCUCAGUUUGUUCCAGCUCCACUCGAUGAUUCUAAUCCUCUACCAGCACCCUAUUCCCCCCUGCUAUUUUGCUAUGUGACCCAAGGACCAAACCUAUUUUGACUCAGACUCCAGAAGACCCUUCUUGGAAAUUGAUGUCAAAGGGGGAGAGAGAGUUCACAUCAAAGCUUAAUCAUAUCAAAAUGGGGAAAGAGAGAUAAAUAAUCACAUCAAAGAGAGACCCCAGUUGCUUGGUAUUCAAAGAGGAUAGAAGUCACAUGUCUUUAGAGGGGAAAGACAUGUUCAUGUUGUUUUUGUGUUUGCUUUGCUCUGAUUUUCUCUUCCCUAUCUUCUCCCAAUAUCCCAUAUAAGAUUCAGGGGGAGCAAGACAUCUAAGGGAAGGAAAUCUUCAAAUUCAUUGCAUAUCUUUACCUUUGGGGACAUGUCUAUACUCAAAUAGAGUACCCAAUACUCUCUCUCUACAUGUCAUCCCAAUCUUGGUACUUUUGUGGUUUGUUGCUUGCUCUUAUUAAGAUGUUUUUGUGUUGUCUAACCUUGUUUACUCAGGUUCAUCUCUUCCAAAGCUAGCUCAAGACCACAAGGUAAGUACAUGCAUCACACUCAUGUGCAUGAGGAUCUCUUGCUGACGUACAUAUUGUUUUCAAGAUGGACCCAUGAGCAUGAAGGUACAUUUCCUAUGUUCACAUCAUUUGCUCUGAUGCAUAUAGCCAAGAUACAUAUAACUCAUUCCUUGCUCUAUCAUGAUUAUGCACUCACAUGAUCUUAUGUUCCAUAUUUACACGAUUGCAUACAUGUAGGGGGGAGGGGGCUAUGCAUGUUACAUGCCCUUCCAAAGCUUUACCUACCUUUCUCUAUAUGUUUAUCUAAAGCUUUGAUGGAUGUUAUCAUCAAUUACCAAAAAGGGGGAGAUUGAAAGCACAAGAGCUCCCUGGGUGAUUUUGGUAAUUAAUGUCAACAUAUCUCUUGUUGGACUAAUACUUUUAUCUAGUAUAUUUUAGAUAAGUCCAACAGUGGAGUGGCAUGGACAAGAGGAUGUGGAACCCCUUCUAGAUGCUUAGGACAAAGGAUUGGCUGAAGCUCAAAGCUCGAGACUCUACAUUUUCUAUUUCAGUGAUCCAAGAUCACAUUGAGUCCAUAGGAAAGCCAAUAAUAUUAAAAGGGGAUGAGGUGUUGCUUAAUGGCUUGCUUGCUCAAAGUGCUUAGUGAUAUGCUCCAAAAACCCUCAACCACUUUCUCAUAUCCACAUAUGUCCCAAACCAAAAGUCAAACUCGGCCCCACCGAUUUGACCUAUCUGACGCCACCGAGUUCAUUUGACAUAGCCACUACCAGAAACCCUAAUCAAUUAGGUCUCACUAAUGGGAUCUCGGUCUCACCGAGAUGGGCUUGCAAACUCCCUGUUGCCUAUUGCAAUAACUUCAAUCUCACCGAGAACAUGUAAUCGGUCCCACCGAGUUUGCUUGACCAACUCUCUGUUUUGCUUAUUACCAAACUUGGUCCCACCGAGUUUGUGUAAUCGGUCAGACCGAGAUGAUGCUUUACCCUAACCCUUGCACAUCGGUCCCACCGAGUUGAUCAUAUCGGUCCCACCGAAAUGCCUAAUGGUCACAUUAUGAACUAAAUCGGUCUGACCGAGUUUUAUGAUUCGGUCCCAUCGAGUUUGGUAAAUUGUGUGUAACGGUUAGAUUUUGUGUGGAGGCUAUAUAUACCCUUCCACUGUCUCCUCAUUCGUGGGGAAAGCCACCAGAACAUGCCUACACUUUCAGCAUUCAUUUUCUGAGAGAGAACCACCUACUCAUGUGUUGACGCCAAGAUAUUCCAAUCCAACCAUAUGAAUCUUGAUCUCUAGCCUUCCCCAAGUUGCUUUCCACUCAAAUCAUCUUUCCACCAAAUCCAAUCCUAUGAGAGAGAGAGUUGGGUGUUGGGGAGACUAUCAUUUGAAGCACAAGAGCAAGGAGUUCAUCAACAACACACCAUUUAUUACCUUUUGGAGAGUGGUGUCUCCUAGAUUUGUUAGGUGUCACUUGGGAGCCUUUGUCAAGAUUGUGGAGUUGAACCAAGGAGUUUGUAUGGGCAAGGAGAUCGCCUACUUCGUGAAGAUCUACCCUAGUGAGGCAAGUCCUUCGUGGGCGAUGGCCAUGGUGGGAUUAGUCCUGACCAUGGGCAGCCUAGCCCGACCCAGCCCGGCCCAACGCUGCUCCUGGGCCGGGCCCGGGCCUAGAUUUUGAGCCCGAAGGCCAAGCCGGGCUGGGCCCCGAUCCAUCGUUUUCAUGUUUUCCUGAAGGAUGGGCCGGGCCGACCUGAAGCCCGAUGGGCUUUUACAUGUUCGGGCUGGGCUCGGGCCUAGAAAACAGGCCCGAUGGCCGGGCCGGGCCGGGCUCGGGCCUGGGUUUUUUGUGUUGGGCUUGGCUAGGCCCGGCCAGGCCCGAGGUAUGGCCAGGUAUAGGUGGGAUAGACAAGGUUGCUUCUUCGCGGACCCUUCGUGGGUGGAGCCCUCCGUGGACUCACGCAACCAUUACCCUUCGUGGGUUGAAGUCUCCAUCAACAUGGAUGUACGAUAGCACCACCUAUCGGAACCACGCCAAAAAUCUCCGUGUCUCCAAUUGUGUUUGCACACUCCAAUCCCAUCCCUUUACUUUCUUGCAAGUUGCAUGCUUUACUUUCUGCUGCUCAUAUACUCUUUGCAUGCUUGCUUGAAUUGUAUUGUGUAUGCUUGAAAUUGUGUUAAUCUACCACCUCAACUUGAAAAACUUAAAACUGCCAACUUUGUGUGUUGAUGGUCUAUUCACCCCCUCUAGACACCUCUUCUCGAUCCUUUCAAAAUUGCACCAGUAUUGUCACAAAAGAUUUUCAUUGGACCCGAUGCACUAGGUAUGACACCUAGAUCGGAUAUGAACUCCUUCAUCCAAACUCCUUCAUUUGCUGCUUCCCAAGCAGCAAUGUACUCCGCUUCACACGUAGAUCCCACCAUGAUGCUCUGCUUGGAACUGUACCAACUGACAGCUCCUCCAUUCAAUAAAAAUACAUAUCCGGUUUGCGACUUAGAGUCAUCCAGAUCAAUGUCAAGGCUUGCAUCGACGUAACCGUUUAUGACGAGCUCUUUUUCACCUUCAUAAACGAGGAACGUAUCCUUAGUCCUUUUCAGGUAUUUCAGGAUGUUCUUGACUGCUGUCCAGUGCUCCACUCCGGGAUUACUUUGGUACCUCCCUGUUAUGCUUAUAGCAAGACAUACAUCAGGUAUGGUACACAACAUUACAUACAUGAUAGAACCUAUGGGUGAAGCAUAGGGAAUGACUUUCAUUUUCUCUCUAUCUUCUGAAGUGGUCGAGCAUUGAGUCUGACUCAACUUCACACCUUGUAACACAUGCAAGAACCCUUUCUUUGACUGAUCCAUUUGAACUUCUUCAAAACUUUAUCAAGGCAUGUGCUUUGUGAAAGUCCAAUUAAGCGUCUUGAUCUAUCUCUAUAGAUCUUGAUGCCCAAUAUGUAAGCAGCUUCACUGAGGUCUUGCAUUGAAAAACUUUUAUUCAAAGAUCCCUUUGUGCUAUCUAGAAAUUCUAUAUCAUUUCCAAUCAACAAUAUGUCAUCUACAUAUAAUAUUAGAAAUGCUACAAAGCUUCCACUCACUUUCUUGUAAAUACAGGCUUCUCCAAAAGUCUGUAUAAAACCAUAUGCUUUGAUCACACUAUCAAAGCCUUUAUUCCAACUCCGAGAGGCUUGCACCAGUCCAUAAAUGGAUCACUGGAGCUUGCACACUUUGUAGCACCCUUUGGAUCGACAAAACCUUCCGAUUGCAUCAUAUACAAUUCUUCUUCUAGAAAUCCAUUCAGGAAUGCAGUUUCGACAUCCAUUUGCCAAAUUUCAUAAUCAUAAAAUGCAGCAAUUGAUAACAUGAUUCAGACAGACUUAAGCAUCGCUAUGGGUGAGAAAGUCUCAUCGUGGUCCACUCCUUGAACUUGUCGAAAACCUUUUGCAACAAGUCGAGCUUUGUAAACAGUAACAUUACGGUCUGCGUCGGUCUUCUUCUUAAAGAUCCAUUUAUUUUUUAUGGCUUGCUGAUCAUCAGGCAAGUCCACCAAAGUCCACACUUUGUUCUCAUACAUGGAUCCCAUCUCAGAUUUCAUGGCCUCAAGCCAUUUCACGGAAUCUGGGCUCAUCAUCGCUUCCGCAUAGUUCGUACAUUCAUCAUGGUCUAGUAACAUGACUUCCAGAACAGGAUUACCGUACCACUCUGGUGUGGAUCUUACUCUGGAAGACCUACGAGGUUCGGUAGUAACUUGAUCUGAAGCUUCAUGAUCAUCAUCAUUAGCUUCCUCACUAAUUGGUGUAGGAAUCACUGGAACUGAUUUCUGUGAUGAACUACUUUCCAAUAAGGGAGAAGGUACAGUUACUUCAUCAAGUUCUACUUUCCUCCCACUCACUUCUUUCGAGAGAAACUCCUUCUCUAGAAAGGAUCCAUUCUUAUUAGCAACAAAGAUUUUGCCUUCGGAUCUGUGAUAGAAGGUGUACCCAACAGUUUCCUUUGGGUAUCCUAUGAAGACGCACUUCUCCGAUUUGGGUUCGAGCUUAUCAGGUUGAAGCUUUUUCACAUAAGCAUCGCAGCCCCAAACUUUAAGAAACGACAACUUUGGUUUGUUGCCAAACCAUAGUUCAUAAGGCGUCGUCUCAACGGAUUUUGAUGGUGCCCUAUUUAAAGUGAAUGCAGCCGUCUCUAGAGCAUAACCCCAAAACGAUAGCGGUAAGUUAGUAAGAGACAUCAUAGAUCUCACCAUAUCUAAUAAAGUAUGGUUAUGACGUUCAGACACACCAUUUCGCUGUGGUGUUCCAGGUGGCGUUAAUUGCGAAACUAUCCCAUGUUGUUUCAAAUGAAGACCAAACUCGUAACUCAAAUAUUCUCCUCCACGAUCAGAUCGUAGAAACUUUAUUUUCUUGUUACGAUGAUUUUCCACCUCACUCUAAAAUUCUUUGAAUUUUCAAAUGUUUCAGACUUAUGCUUCAUUAAGUAGAUAUAACCAUAUCUGCUCAAAUCAUCUGUGAAGGUGAGAAAAUAACGAUACCCACCACAAGCAUCAAUACUCAUUGGACUGCACACAUCGAUAUGUAUUAUUUCCAAUAAGUCAGUAGCUCGUUCCAUUGUUACGGAGAAUGGAGUUUUUGUCAUCUUGCCCAUAAGGCACGAUUCGCAAGCACCAAGUGAUUCAUAAUCAAGUGAUUCCUAAAUUCCAUCAGCAUGGAGUUUCUUUAUGCACUUUAUACCGAUAUGACCCAAACGGUAGUGCCACAAAUAAGUUGCACUAUCAUUAUUAAACUUCAAUCUUUUGGCUUCAACACUAUGAAUAUGUGUAUCACUACUAUCGAGAUUCAAUAAAAAUAGACCACUCAGCAGGGGUGCAUGACCAUAAAAGAUAUUACUCAUAUAAAUAGAACAAUCAUUAUUCUUUGAUUUGAAUGAAUAACCUUCUUGCAUCAAACAAAAUCCAUAUAUAAUGUUCAUGCUCAACGCUGGCACCAAAUAACAAUUAUUCAGGUCUAAAACUAAUCCCGACAGUAGAUGUAGAGGUAGCGUGCCGACCGCGAUCACAUCGACUUUGGAACCAUUUCCCACGCGCAUCGUCACCUCGUCCUUAGCCAAUCUUCGCUUAAUCCGUAGCCCUUGUUUCGAGUUGCAAAUAUGAGCAAUAGAACCAGGAUCAAAUACCCAGGCGCUACUGCGAGCAUUAUUUAAGUACACAUCAAUAACAUGUAUAUAAAAUAUACCUUUCACUUUGCCAUCCUUCUUAUCCGUCAAAUACUUGGGGCAGUUCCGCUUCCGGUGACCAGUCCCUUUGCAGUAGAAGCACUCAGUUUCAGGCUUAGGUCUAGACUUGGGUUUCUUCUCUUGAGCAACAACCUUUUUGCCAUUCUUCUUGAAGUUCCCUUUCUUCCCUUUACCCUUUUUCUUGAAACUACUGGUCUUAUUGACCAUCAACACUUGAUGCUCCUUUUUGAUUUCUACCUCCGCGGCCUUUAGCAUCGCGAAGAGCUCAGGAAUCACUACAAAAAAAUACACUUCCGUGAUGAUACGUGUUUGUCACAGUAGGUCGCGUUUUUUGUCAUGCAUGUACAUCCAUGACGAUUUUAUGACAGAAUCAAGAUAGUCAUACCUGUGUUGUCGUAGAAGUGUUCCAUGACAUUACCAAAAUUAUCAUCACAGAAGUGUCCACUUCCAUGACGAUAAAUCGCGCGUCACAUAAGUGCUUUUGUCAAGGGUGACGGACACGUGGCAUCCACCGUAAUGGAACGCCGUUAAGCUAUCGGGUCGGGUUUUGGAUCCGAUAACCCGUUAACAGCCCCGACUAAUAGGGAUUUUCCACGUGUAAAAUCAUCAUUGGCUGGAGGAAACACGUGUCGGCUCAUCAUUGGGACAGAUGUCAUCCACUCAUUGGAUAGAAGGCGCCUAUGAUACGUCGACACGUGGCACGGCCCAACAGAGGCCCAUUCCUGUGAAAAGGCCGGCCCGUUUGACUUGGUCAAAAGGUGGCGGGCCGGCCCAUGGAAAGCCUGUUAACGGCCUGUUCGCAUAUAGCCCAUUUACAGCCCGCUAACCCAAGGCCCGUUACACACUAUCCGAAUUAGGCCCAGUAGCAUCAUCUGGGCUAUCCAAUAUGAUUCCAGCCUGUUUUCACUUCUGGCCCAUGUAUGGCCCAUGACGCCUUUCGGCCCAUAUGAGACCCUAUGCAACUCUUGGCCUAUUAACGGCCCGUGGUGAAACUGGCCCGCAAUGAACAGUGUAUCACUUUACACCCAUUAACAGCCCGUGGUGAAACUGGCCCGUAAUGAAAAGUGUAUCACUUUAUACCCAUUAACGGCCCGUUAUUUCGUUGGGCCGUUUCCAACCCAUGUUAUCUUUCGGCCUUCUCAGAGCCCAUUUAUUCUUGGGCUCAUUUCAAGCAUUCAUUUACUUACGACCUGUUACUGUCAUUUUCUGCUUGUGGGCCAAAUUCAGCCCGUGGUUACAGUCGGCCCGUUUGUGGUCCGUUAAUACGUCGGGCCGUUUUCAUAGUAUCAUCAAAUACGGCCUAUUAACGAUGGCCCGUUAUGGUCGGCCCAUGAACGGACGAUUCCAACUCUAGCCCGUUUACGGCCAUAAUGCGGCCUGUUAUUGGCCCAUGUUUGGCCAAUCGAUCAUACGGCCUGUAUAAGGCCCAUUGAUGAUACGGCUCGUAGAAGGCCCAAUGUUUCUACGGCCCGUAGAAGGCCCAAUGUUUCUACGGCCCGUAGAAGGCCCACUGUUUCUACGGCCCGUAGGAGGCCCGGUGUCACUACAGUAAAUAUUAGCCCAUGGUUAUUGUGGCCUAGUUUUAAAAAAUAGGUUAUUGCAGCCACUAGCAAACCGCAGAAAAAUAACUGCACUGACUACAAGCAAACAAAUAAACAAGACAACAAGGAAAUAAAUAAGCAAGCAACUGGCACUAGGCUAUCACGGCUAUUACACAUAUUACAUCCACUGGGCAUCAAAGUUCGCCACCAGUGCAAAUAUAGGGAACACAGUAGCAUAUAAACGCUGCAGCAAAACAAGUCCAGAACUGAAACCACUUCAGAAGAGCUCAAGAAACAAUAUCCUGGGUACCCAUAAUGCUGGCAAGAUGCUUAGCAAGCUUAUUAACUUUCUCUUGUUUGGCGCUUAAGUCCUCCAGCGCUUGCUGUUGCACCAGAAAGUAUGCAUCUAAAUUCUGCAGGGACUUCCUCAGUCCUUCGGCUUCCUGUCGCAUAACAUCUGAUCGAUGUCUUUCAAGUUAAAGUUGAGACUCAAGAAGCCGAACUGAUUCAGGCAACGAGUUCGAAGAGCUGGUGCCAGCAGUGGUAGCUAGUAACUCGAACACUACAUCAAGACAGGACUUUGGGGUUGUGUCAGUGUCCUCAAUAUAGUUUUUAUCAGCUUUCUUGGAGACCAACAGGGAUGUCUCACUAUCUUGAACCUUAUCUGCAUUACUUCCUUUACCAUUGCAUAACAGGGUACUCUUCUUCAAUAUUUUAUCCGCAUUCUAAAAGAGAAACAAACAAACACAUCUCAGGUUUACAAUGUAGUAUAUGAAACUCAUUUUGGUAAACCAGUUCAGUAGUAAGGUCUAUAUCAUUCUAGUUUAUGUUGCCAAAUCAAGAUAGAUACAGUUCGAAUCAUAUCUGUUUAAGACAAAGCAGCAUAGACAGAAUGUAAGAGUGGGAAACUACACAACAAUAACAACACUUUUAAUGUGCAUGGCAUGAGAACAUAACUGUUUAUUCAAUAGAAACUGAAAUCAACAUAGAGCAAGUUACAACAGCAAACAGCCAGGUUUAAAACAUACCAGUUGCACCAUUGGAGUUUCAAUUGCAUCCUUCAAAUUUGAAAUUGGUUGGUAUCAGUAAAUAGAGUGAUGCAAGAGCAAAGUAGUAUGAACCAUAGCUACGGAACCUGACCUGAGAACAAUUCUUCUUCUGCUUUAAGCGUUGACUUCGGGUUUGAAGUGGUGGUCCUCAUGAUUUAGGCACUGCAGUUGCCUUACUAACUGCUCAUGUUUGGGUGCUCUGUGGUGGAGACGGUGCUGUGUCAACGGGAACUAGGUGUCUAUCUGCUGGGGUUGGGGUUAGAAGGGGUGUAGCUGGUUGGUGUAUUGAAGACUUAUAGGUUAAGGGACUAAUGCAUUUGUGAGUGUACACAGGUCUAUAAGUCUAUGAGGAGUUUGAUAUUUACAGAGAAAGUCAACCCCUAAAAAUGAAGUUCUUCAACUGAAGACUUUGAUAUUCUGAAGACUUUCUGAAGACUUUGAAAGUGAAGAAAUUGGUGUGACCUUGAAGACUUGGUAUUCAUUUGUGGAACAUGAAGCGUGAAGACUUUUGUUUUCAUAGUUUCAUUUUCUCUUUCUUGAGUCAUAGGAAACACCGUACUAUUAAAGGGGGUCGAGGAAAUACUAAGGAAAAAUUUCCAUGUGAUGCUCAACUCAAAAUCCUACACCUACCAAUCCCUUCGAGUGAAGCCUUUGGAAAUCUCGUACAGUUCAGUCACUUUCUUCAGUGACAGAGACGAAGUUCUUCUGGUCGCUGAUGAAUUUGUUCUGACUGAGGAGUUAGGAAUUCGUCAGUGCGAAUUACCUACACAGUGAGGAACAUGAUAGCCCUGAGGAAUUUAAGAGUCAAAUUUCUGACCGUUGCUGUGCUGCGCGCCAGCUGUCCCAAAAUAUCUUAUCCACCUAACGGUCAUAUCAUUGAAGGGCAUUUAUGUCUUAUCAUGUCGGGCUGGUCCGUAGGCUAUAAAUAGCCGCCCCCUACAACCACUAGCUGGUUGGCUGCUCCGAGAGAAACUGACACUUGUCAUUUGAGAGCAACCCAUCCUCCGAGGACUUUGAGCGAAAAUCAUCGAGUGAGGAAAACCCAAAACCAAACCUCUACAAACCCAAAGUGAUUGAGCAUCACUGAAGAAAUUGAUCAUGCGUGGAUCCGACGCUUGUUACCUUUGAAGACCGUGCUUCUUCCAAACGGUUAGGCGUCAAGGUCUAGAGCAUCUAAGAGGAAUUGUGGAUCGCCGAGUGACCAAGUCUGUGAAGGUUUGGAAGUUGCCUGAAGACUUACCACGAGUGAUUGGACGAGGUCUGUGUGACCUUAGUUCAAGGAGAAUACGGUGAGGACUGGGUGUCCUGAGCUGCGUGCUCAGCGACUGGGUGUCCGGGACUGUGUGUCCUCGAGUUUAAAUACUCAGCCGCUCCAACCAGACGUACAACUGAGACGGCAGUUGGAACUGGUCUACCAAAUCAUUGUCUUCACCAACCUAACUGGUUCUAUUUCCUCAACCCUUUCAUUUCCUCAUUACUGUGUUGAGUGUUUGUUCAUAUCUGUGUUUGAAGACUUUGACUGAAGACUUUCUCAAUUUCCUCAGUUCAAUUUCUUCAGUCUGUUUGUCUUCAUCUUGUGUUAUCCUGUGAUUACGCUUUCUGUACUCUGUGCUAGUCUUCAUUUCAUCAUGAUGACCAUGCUUGUAUUCUGUUAUGCUUACUUCUGAGUACUUAUUCCGCUGCUAAUAGUUCUUUGCUAAGGAAUUUCCUCACCGGCAAAUUCCUCAGUGAAGAAUUCAUAAAAAUUGCCUAUUCACCCCCCUCUAGUCGACAUAACACACUUUCAAUUGGUAUCAGAGCAAGGUACUCCCUUGUUCUGUGUGAUUUUGGUUUAACCACCUAGAGUUUAGUUAUGUCAACCGCAAGUAUGAUCAAGGUCUUGGCUGGGUGUCCUACCUUUGAUGGGACGGACUACCCCUACUGGAAAAACAAGAUGCGAAUGCAUCUCGAGGCAAUUGACAACGAUCUCUGGUAUGUUGUGGAAAAUGGUGUUCCCUCUGUCUCACCCUCACUGAACGCUACCGAUGUGAAGAGAUUCAAGCAACUCGAUUCUCAAGCGAAGAAUAUCAUAUGUGGCCAUCUGAGUAAAGGACAGUAUGGAAGAGUGAGUGCUUUGGAAACUGCUAAGCUUAUCUGGGAUAGGCUGUCCAAAGUGAAUGAAGGAGUCUCAACUCAGCGUGACUCUCGAGUUGAUGUUCUUCGGAAUCUCUUCAACCACUUCAAAAGACUCGACAAUGAAAAUGUCCAACAAACCUUUGAUCGCCUCACUGACAUCUCAAAUGAGCUUCAAGCCCUCGGUGCCACUGACAUCACUGACCAUGAGGUGGUGAAGAAACUGUUGAGAUCACUUGAUUCCUCAUUUGAUACUCUGGGUCUGAUGAUACAAGAACGGGCUGACUACAAGUCUCUUGAUCCUGCCGAUAUCCUCGAAAGGCUAAAUACUCACGAGUUCUAGCUUGCUGAAAAGAGAGAUCUCUAUGGUUCGAGCUAUGGCAAACCACGUGCCCUGAAGGCCAAGGUUGUGUCUGAGUCUGAAUGUGAGGAUUCUGGUAGUAGCCUUGGUGAUCCUGAAGAAUUGAGCCAGGAGCUAGCACUGCUCGUGAAGAAAUUCCAGAAGUUCUCAAGACGUGGUCGCUUUGGAAAAUCCUCAAGAAGCAGUGAUUCCUCAUCAAGUGACUAUAAGAGAAGGCUGUGCCACAAAUGCAAGAAACCUGGUCAUUAUAUUCAAGAUUGUCCUUAGUGGGAAAAGGAAUUGAAGAAUAAGAAAUACAAGGAUUACAGUUCUGAUGAUGCGAAGAAGAAGAGGAAAUCGUCAAAAUCUUCGUCAUCAAAAUCCUUGAAGUCUUCAUCUCACAAGAAGAGCAGCUCCAAGAAGGCUCGGGCAUUCAUUGGCAAGGAAAUGGACUCUGAAGCUGAAUCUGAGGAACAUGAGGAAGAGGAGGCGUCUGAAGAAUCCGAAUCUGGUGUGGCGAGUCUGGCCUUUGCUACUGCUUUCGUUAGCAAGUCCAUCUUCAACACUGAAGAAAUUGACCCCACCGACAAGCCUGAUGAAGAUAAUGAUGACUAUGCUCCCACCUAUUGCUUCAUGGCAAAAGGUGCAAAGUUACUCAAAUACACCUCCUCUGAAUCUAGUGAAAAUGAAUCUGAUGAGGAUCUCAAGCCCAGCUACUCUAAACUUGCUAAGACUGCUGUAAAACAACAAAGGGCUUUUGAAAAGGUUCAAAACAUGCUAGACAAAAGUGAUGAUAUGUUAGGUGAAGAAAUGGAUCGCACUAAAGCCCUGACUGAAAAUCUUCAGAGACUUCAGUCUAGGUUUGAUAACCUUCAAAGUCAUCAUAACACUCUCUUAUCUGAUCAUGAGAAACUUUCUUAUGAAUUUCUUCAAAGAAAGCAAGAUCUUGAGAAGCUAAGAGUGAGUUAUGAAGAUCUUUAGAAGGAGCGCGAUUCAUUACUAGCUCAACAAAUCAGCGCUUCUCAGGAAGAAUUUGUUCCUCCAUGCUUAAAGUGCAUUGAACGUGAAUCUACUUAUUCUUCACCUGAAUGUUCAAAUGCUUCAACUGUUACAAAUUCUUCUCCUGCCUCUGCUAUCACUAAUUCCUCAUCUGAGGACAUUGCUAGUAUCAGUGACGAUGCAGGGCUGAAGGAAUUGUACAUGACAGGCAUGUACAAAAGCCUCAAAGGGCAUCAGACUCUUUGUGAUGUGCUUAAAAAGCAGAUCCUCAACAGAAACCCUAGGAAAGAGGGUAUCGCCUUUGAGAGGAAACUUAAUGCUGAUGGAACAUAUUGGAAGCCUGAGCAGUACCCCAAAACCUCAUGGGUUGCUGCAAAGGGACCUCCAGUUGAUCCAUCUAACUUAUCUGGCUUUACAUGUGAAUCUCCUCAUCCUUCUGAUGAGUCAUUUGACUCCAACUAUAAACUGUUCAAAAAUCAGAAUGGUGAAGUAUUUGCUAGAUAUGUUGGCACUAACUGCAGGAAUGGUUCUCCUAUGAAGAAAAUAUGGGUUCCCAAGAAGUGCCUUGAAAGUCUUCAGGUGAAUGUCCUCAUGACACCACCAGUGAAGAACAGGAACCCCAGAUCAAAUUCUUCAUAUGGAUCAAAUUCCUCAAAUGGAUCAAAGUCCUCAUAUGAUUAUCAUCGUGCUAACAACUCUGUUUCGCAGGGCAGAGCUAAGGGCUAUGAAUAUGUGCAUUAUUCUUCAAACCAUUAUGUUCAUAAGUCCUCGAAGAAUUUCUCUGCUUAUUCAUAUGCUUACACUAACCCCUCUUAUGUGAAACGAAAUGGUUUGGCUUCUAUGCCACCAUUCUCAUGUGGUGCUCGCAGAGUGAUGAACUCUUUACCACCCCUUCAGAUGUGGGUGGUGAAGAAAAAGAACUAAUCUCUUCUGCAGGGUCAGGUCUCCAGACGCGCCUUAACGUCUGAAGAAUUUGCUGGGGACCUGACAAAAUUGCCUGAAAGGACGCAGGCGAAUCAUGAUGAAAUAAACUUUCACACGUCCUCCUACUGCUAUAUCUGUUUACUGCUUGAUGAAACUCAUCUGAUGAACUUGAUAUCAUAUUCUUCAUUGAUGAAGCAUAUGAGAUUGUAAGUUACACUAAUUCAUCUGCAGGAUGAUCAACCCAAAACCACUGAAUGGGUCCUUGAUAGUGGAUGUACAAAUCACAUGACUGGUGACAAGAAUCUUUUGAUGGAUGCUCCCUUAUCACCAUCACAUCUGAAGCAUAUCAUCUUUGCUGACAAAGGCAAAAGUCAGGUAUUGGGUCUUGGUAAGGUUGCGAUCUCUAAGGAUAAACACAUGGACAAAGUCAUGCUUGUUGAGUCCUUGGGAUACAACCUCAUGUCAGUCUCAAUGCUUUGUGAUCUUGAUAUGGUUGUUGUCUUUGGCAAGUAUCGCUGUGUUGUGAUUAUGGAAGCUGACAAUUCCAAAGUCUUCGAAGGCUUUAGGAGAGGAGAUUUGUAUAUUGUUGAUUUCUCUACAGGACCACAACCAGCCGUGUGUCUACUUGCAAAAGCUUCAGAAGGCUGGCUAUGGCAUCAACAACUUGGUCACGCAGGCGUGAGGAAUUUGCACACGCUUGCGAAGAAGAAGCAUGUCAUUGGUAUUGAGAAUGUCAAAUUCCUCAAGGAUCACUUAUGCGGAGCCUGUGAAGCUGGAAAAAUGACCAAGGCCAAGCAUCCAGCGAAGACUAUCUUGACCACUACUCGUCCAUUCGAAUUGCUUCACAUGGACCUCUUCGGACCUAAUCAUUACUCAACAAUCACUAAUGAUGCAUCUCUAUAUGGUUUUGUCAUUGUUGAUGAUUACUCUCGAUAUACAUGGGUACACAUUGUUACUUACAAACAUGAAGUGCAGGAAGUCUUCAAACGUUUUUCCUCGAGGGCUUCAACCAACUUUGGUGUGAAGAUCAAGCACAUCAGAAGUGACAAUGGAACUGAGUUCAAGAAUUCCGGUCUUGAUGACUAUCUUGAUGAACUUGGUAUUACUCAUGAGUUAUCUGCUCCCUAUACUCCUCAGCAAAAUGGCGUCGUGGAGCGCAAGAACGGAACUCUUGUUGAGAUGGCUCGCACUAUGCUUGAUGAAUACAAAAUACCUCAUCGUUUUUGGAUUGAUGCAAUUGAUACUGCGUACCACAUCAUCAACAGAGUAUAUCUUCACAAAUUCUUCAAGAAGACGGCCUAUGAACUCCUCACUGACAAGAAACCCAAUGUGAGUUAUUUCAAAGUCUUCGAUGCUAAAUGUUGGAUUAGAGAUCCUCACCACAAUUCUAAAUUUGCACCGAAAGCACAUGAAGGUUUUAUGCUUGGUUACGGAAAGGACUCGCACACCUACAAAGUCUUCAACAUUGUUCUUCACAAGAUUGUUGACACUGUAGAUGUGCGGUUCGAUGAAACUAGUGGCUCGCAAAGAGAGCACCUACCUUCUGUGUUAGAUGAACCAGCACCUGAGGAUUCUAUCAAGUUCAAGGCAACUGAGGAUGUCAUUCCUACUGAAGAAUUUGCUGAAGAAUUCAUUCCAGUUCAUGAAGAACAUCAAGCUGAUACACCUGAAGAAAAUGCUGAGGAAAAUGGUGUUGAAGAAAAUGCUGAUCAAACUCCUCAGCGACAACCAGCUCAUCCUCGCGUUGCAAAAGAAGUGCAAGUGGAGAAGAUCAUCGAUGACAUUAGAGCACCAGGUCCUCUCACAUGCUCAAAAGCUUCACAUUUAUCUAACUUUUGUGGGCACUAUGCUUUUGUCUCUAUCACAGAGCCCACUAAGGUAGAUGAAGCAUUUCUGGAGCCGGAGUGGAUUCAGGCUAUGCAAGAAGAAUUACAUCAGUUCGAGUUCAACAAUGUCUGGGAACUGGUCAGACGUCCAGAUCCUUGCAAGCAUAAUAUCAUUGGCACAAAGUGGAUCUACCGCAACAAGCAAGAUGAAAAUGGCCUUGUGGUGAGGAAUAAGGCACGACUGGUAGCUCAAGGCUACACACAGGUUGAAGGAAUUGAUUUCGAUGAAACUUUUGCACCUGUUGCUAGACUUGAGGCUAUUUGCAUAUUACUUGCUUAUGCUAACCAUCAUGAUAUCAUCUUAUAUCAAAUGGAUGUGAAAAGUGCAUUCCUCAAUGGUAAGCUUGAGGAAGAAGUAUAUGUUGCUCAACCCCCAGGUUUUGAAGAUCCAAAGAAUCUUGACAAAGUCUCUAGACUUAAUAAGGCCCUCUAUGGCCUCAAGCAAGCCCCUCGAGCGUGGUAUGAUACAUUGAAGGAAUUCUUCGUGAAGAAUGGAUUCACACCCGGUUCACUCGACCCUACUCUCUUUACUAAAUCUUAUGAUGGUGAACUGUUUGUGUGCCAAAUAUAUGUUGAUGAUAUUAUCUUUGGCUGUACUGACCAACGUUAUAGUGAUGAAUUUGCCUAUAUGAUGAGUGAAGAAUAUCAAAUGUCUAUGAUGGGAGAGUUGAAAUUCUUCUUAGGUCUUCAAAUUCGUCAACAGCGCAAUGGCAUAUUCAUAUCUCAGGAGAAAUACCUCAAAGAUGUACUGAGGAAAUUCGGCAUGCAAGAUUGCAAAGGCGUCAAAAUUCCUAUGCCCACAAAUGGCCAUCUAUGCACUGAUGAAAAUGGUAUUGACUUUGAUCACAAGGUAUACCGCUCCAUGUUUGGUUCUUUAUUGUACUUAUGUGCAUCUAGGCCAGAUAUAAUGCUUAGUGUUUGCAUGUGUGCCCGAUUUCAAGCUGCACCGAAGGAAUCACACCAUAAGGCUGUGAAGCAUAUUCUUAGAUAUCUAGCUCACACACCAACACUAGGAUUAUGGUACCCCAAGGGCUCUACUUUUGAUCUCAUUGGAUAUUCUGACUCUGACUAUGCUGGUGAUUGUGUGGACCGCAAGUCAACUUCUGGCACUUGUCAUUUCCUCGGACGAUCUUCGGUCUGUUGGUCCUCGAAGAAACAGAACUGCGUAUCACUGUCCACUGCGGAAGCUGAAUACAUUGCUGCUGGCUCUUGCUGUGCUCAACUGCUUUGGAUGAAGCAAACACUCAAGGACUAUGGCGUCAACGUGAAGAAUGUGCCUCUCCUCUGCGAUAAUGAGAGUGCCAUCAAGAUUGCUCACAACCCAGUUCAGCACUCGAAGACAGAGCACAUUCAGAUUCGUCAUCAUUUUCUUCAUGAUCAUGUGUUGAAGGGCGACAUCUCCAUCGAGCACGUGAAGACUGAAGAACAGCUAGCUGAUAUCUUCACUAAGCCCUUGGAUGAGAAGAGAUUUAGCAAGUUGCGGUGUGAGCUAAAUAUCUUAGAAUCUUCGAAUGUUAUUUGAAAAGGACACACAUCCUAACACUUAUGCAAAAUUGAUGACUUAGUUGUGCAACACAUGAAGAAACGUUUUUCUUCAAUCAAUGAAGAAUAACACUCUAAGUGUGAAGAAAUUAAUGAAGAAUUUGAUUCUCAGAACCCUACGACAAUUGUACGCGGUGUCUGAAAUCAUCAUUCUUAUACGGUGGGUCACGCCACCACAAAAAGUUGAAAAUCUUCAAUUUGAGUUUUUCCUCAGUUUUGAAAUUCUUCAGUUUUUCAAAUUCUUCAACUUUUCAAAAUCUUCACUAUUUCCUUCGUUUUUCUUCAUUGGCUAUAUAUAUAUGAGUUUAUGUCCUCUACAACAUUCACUUAUAGCUAUUUCUUCAAGUUGCUUUUUCUGCUAAGUGAAUGUGAUCGGACCCUUCCCCCUCUAUGCUAUACUCAACCCAAUCUAUUCACAAAUUCUUCAUAUGCGUUCUAUUUGAAACUCGUUCAAAAUCUUCACUGUGUCCUUGUCAGCUGAAGAAAUUGCGAACGAAACUUUAAAACAAAUCUUAUCCAAAUUUUCGGUUUUGCCGCUCAAACCGUUCCGCAUCCCAUGAUGCAUUAUUUUACUCACCCACGAUCGUACACGAUCUCCACUACACAGUACGUGGGUGACACAUGUCGUGAGAAGGAGAAUGGUCAGGGGCACGUUCAUCCCAAAUCUUCGGGCGAACAGUUUUUCACCAUGUCUAUAAAUACCCCUCUCCCCUUCCUCACUUCAUUUACUCCGCUCGAUCGCUACUCUCUCACUCGAGCUCCUCAAACCCUAGCGCCGCCGCUACUCCAUCGUCGCCGGUGAGGAAGAGCUUCGCUGCCUCGACCUCGUCGUCAUCGUACUCACGCCGACCGCGGAAAUCUUCACUCCGCCGCCGCCGUAGCUGUCUUCCUCUGCCAAGUUAGGGCGUGGGAGAUCUAACCUGACGAGCUUCACAUCUGUUCUUCUUAGUUCGUCGUGUUCUUCACUUCGAGUAAUUAAAAGUUACUUUUAUUACUCACUUUGAUUCUCAAACUUUCUUGAAAAUCUUCAAAGGUGUUUAUUCUUCAAAUCUUCACACAUAUGAACACCUCACAUCAUAUGAUCUUGAACUGUUUCUCUAAGCAAUCAGUUUCUUCAAGAUUCCCUAAUUGUGUGGAUCUUCGAUCUGUACAACUCUGGAACCUAAGACAAGAACGCUUAGUGAAAUUCCUCAAGGUUCAUCUGGUCAAAUUCCUCAAAACUUGUUCUUUUCGAAAAACCUCCUCAGAACGCAUAUGACCUCUCCGAAUUCCUCGCACCUGUACUCUAUUCAUAGGUACUCAUGUCUGCUGCUGAAUCACUAGGUUCUCAUCAACUUAACUCAUUUGCAGCAUUCCUCAAAGAAAAACUGCAUACUUCUUCAGAGAACUCGAUAGUUCAAAAUUCCUCAACUGAAGAAUAUGGCAGACGGUAAGAAGCCGCAGAAAGGAGGAAAGAAACCUGAGGUUAUGACUACGUUUGAAAUCCCUGAGGAAAUUUAUGCUGACUAUCGCACACCUGAUGAAGCAAAAUUUGGCAAAGAAAACAAAAAUCAGCGCAAGGUGCGCAUUCAGAGGAUUGAACGGAGAUGGGCAAUGGAAUGGAGGGAAUACAGAUAUGUGACUCCAAAGUACAUGAGGAAAUUUUCCCUCAAUCCUCCAUGCCCAAGAGCUCCAUUGGCACCUGGCCAAGUAGCUGACCCCACAAGCAUCAAACGUGGUGAGGACUUUCCUGAAGAAUGGGCUAAGCGCCAAGCUAAAUUGGCAAGACAAGCCAAGGAGGCAGUGAAGAAAUUCAAUGAGGAUUCUGCCACUGCUACUGCUACUGAGGCCUCGGUGAAACCGAGGAAAUCCAUGCCAAAGAAGCCUACUCGUAAGCCAAGUGCUUCACCAACAGUGCCCUCACGGCAAAUUCCUCACACUGCUACAGCUCCACCAAAGUCCUCAACAGCUCCUUCAAAGUCCUCAGCUCCUGUGCAUCUGGAUACAUGUCAAAGGACUGCUGGUUUCUCGAUUGCCUCUGGUGUUUCAGCAAGUUCCUCAGCUGCACAAAUUUCCUCAUCAGGCCCCAUACUAUUGAAGACCAAAGCAACAGUUGGACGAGGUCCUCGGCAAAGUCCAAAGAAGAAACAGGUCGCAUUCCAUGUGCCCUCUGAUGAUGAAGCUUCUGAUGAUGAACUUGCAGAAAUCAUUAGAGACAGACAGGUGAAGGCCGCUAGAGCCAAAGGCACAUCUGUGCCACUGCUUUUGGAUCCAAGAAAAAUCCUCGAUUACAUUGAUCUCUGGCACAAGGAUCCUAACACCCCUAUGCCUGAUUUUCAUCUGACCCCUGGGCAAAGUCAUAUGUUGACCCAUUUCAUCACUGAAGAGAAAUGGAAGUUUGAAAAGGCAAGAGAGAUCAGGAAAGCUCAAUACAGAAAGGAGAAGCUCCUGAAGAAAAACAUUGUCAGAAUGACACCUGAGGAACUUCUCCAGCCUCAGUCUGAAAUUCAAGCCCUCAGCAAAGACUUUGAUGCCUACUAUGCUGAUUGGCAAGGAGCUAAAGUAAGAUUCGUCAAUCUGACGAAGAAAUUCACAAAUGUUGCAGCCCCAUCGCAACAAGAAAAUCUUCAGGUUGCAGACUCUUCUCAGGCUGCUGAAGAACAUGCCAGCACCGUUGAUGACUUUCAGCCUGCUGAAGAAAAUGCUCGUUCCAGGGCUGGUGAAGAAAUUCCAGCCACUGAAGAAAUUGCCAGGCCAUCCACUAGUGGCGCGCCUGAAGAAACUGAAGAGAUCGGAGCAACUGCAUCAGUUGCACCUGAAGAAAAUGAACCAGAUUCCUCAGCUCCUCCCGCACCCACACCAACUCCAAUUCUUCCAUCUGCUUCUGAUGUGAAGAAGACCAAGGCUGCAGAGCGAGCUGCAGUGAAGAAAAGGAAGGCAUCAGCUGCGUCAAACUCUUCGGCUGCAAAGAAAAUGAUUCCAAUGACCAGCUCACUCGAAAAUCCAAUUGACGCUGUUCCGAUUUCCUCCAUGCCAUCAAAGGACCUUGUUCCUUUUGGAGAAGACUAUGAGAUCCCAAGUGGAUCUGAUGAAGAAAAUCAUUCUGCUGCUUCGUCAGAGCAGAUUGAUGAAGAAAUUGAAGUGGAAGCAAUCCCUUCAACCCCAAUCAUUUCCUCACCUAUGCCUCAGUUCACAGCUGAAGAGGCCGGUGUUGAGGAACUUGAAGAAGAUGUGGAUAUUGGAAGGACAACGCCAGUGAUGAACGAUGACUUUUGGGAAAGUCAGCAUCCAAAUUCUCCACUCUUCACCCCAAUCCAACAGAUACCUCAGUCCCUUGCUCCAACUGUUCAAAUGGGCUCUGAAGAAACUCAUCCCACUUCAUCUGUCCAUGAAGAAAUUCCAGCCACUAGUGCUGAUGAACCUGCUGCUGCUGAUUCUCAGACUGCACCUGUUGAGGAACAAGAAAUUCCUCAGCCUGAAGAACCUGAGCUCGCGAUUCCUGAGGUGGUGAUGCAACUCACUAACACCCCUCUGCCAAAGCCAAAGAAUCCGUUCUCAAGCAUACAGAAGUUCAAGGCUGAAGAUUUCUUUGCCGAGCACGUAUUCUUCACUGAUUAUAAUCCAUAUGAUUCUGCUCGCAUAAGGAAGAGGCGUUUCUGGACUGCCAGCCAAGCCAAUUUCUAUUCCUCAGUGCUCUUCAACAAAGACAAAGUCUUCGAUCAUGCACAUAUUCCUCAUGUGGACAUGUAGUCUCUGCCCGGCUUUGAGCCAGUCCUCAGUGUUCUUCACGACGCAGGACUUCUGAAUUUCUGCAUUGAUAUCUGUGAGUGGAAUGAAGAACUCAUUCUUCAAUUCUAUGCAACUCGGCACAUCACCGGAGAUGCUGAAGACGUGAACUCAUGGGUAUUAGACUGGAUGUCUGAAAAUACUCACUACAAGGCACCAGCAACUGAAUUGCUUCGUGCUCUACCACUCAGUCCUCCACUUGAUGAUGCUCAUUGUAUCUACAAUGAACCAGAACUUUCAAAUCACUAUAUGCAAGUGCUGAUGAAGCCUUUGAAGCCAAGGCAGGCCCCACGAACCAAAUUCCUCGUCAAGAAAUUACUCUAUGUGCCUCGGACUGUCUAUCGAAUUCUGACGAAGACAAUGAGUCCCAUCAAAGGCCACGACUCAAAUGAUGAAGAAGUCGUUGGCAUCAUGAAGAAUAUGCUUUUCAACAUCAUUCAUGGCGUUCCCGUCAACUUCCAUGAUUUCUUCAUGAGGACUCUGGCAAAUAUUGCUAUGUCACCAUUCGAGCUGAAGCCCUAUGCUCCUUGGAUUAUGAGAUUCAUCAGGGCAAGAUCUUCACUGAAUUACAAAGCUGACACUCUAAACCACGGUAGCUACUUGCCUCCCAUUGAAGUCCUCAAACGGACAGUUUCAUCAGCUGAUGAUAAAGGCAAGGCCGCUGCUGUGAUCGAUGAAGGCAUUCGUCCAUUGGAUGGUCAAUUUUGCAAGGCUGCAUCUUACUCUACCAAUGACGAUUCUGCCACAUAUGACUCUGCCAAAAAUACCUCAGCCAAGCAAAAUCCUCAAGCCACAGCACCCAGGGUGAUGACUGACCGUGAGUUACUCCUCAGUCUUCAUCAGAAGGUUGAUCACAAUCACAAAUGGGUAAAGCGUCAGUUUGGUGCACUUCUUCACAAUAUGACCUCAACACCCAAUGCAGUGAAGAAGAACCAAUACUACCUUCAUGAAACAUUCAACCGCACCUGGGCUGUCCUCACUCAUGUCUAUAGCACUGAAGAACUGAAGACUAUGGGUCUCAAAGAAGAAUUUGACUGGUCUGCACCUCCUCCGAAGAAAUUCAAGAGGGUCAAAAUUCUUCCACUGGUGGCCAGCUCUUAUUCUUCAUCGCGUGACACUGAUGAGUAUGAAGAUUUGGACGACACUGCGGCAGGCCCUGCUACAACAAACAACCUCAACAAUGCUGGCGCUCCUCCAUCGACUUGAAAUUCUUCAGGGCGUUAGUCCUCAGUUUCACUCCUUUUGGUCAUUUGAUGACAAAGGGGGAGAAAUCUGAGUUAGUCUUCAAGCGGGUCUAUAUUAAGGGCAUUUUUUAAGUUACAACUCUCGUUCUUCUGAAACUUUUAUUUGGAUCGAGUUGUAAUCUUAAACCCGAUGGUGCGCUGAUACUUUUGUUGCAUUAUGCUUUGCAUGCUUAUUCCUCGUUAAUGACAUUGCACGCAUGCUGAAUCUCAUCAGGCACCAUAUUUCAUCAUGCAUUUCAAAUUCUUCAUAUUAUAUAUAUCAAAUGCGUGUAUGAAUUACAAGAUAUAGGGGGAGAUCUCCAUUAUUCAACUCUUCAAAUGUGCAUUGCCUCGAAAGCAAAUUCCUCACUAUGCACAUCUUCAGGGGGAGUUCUUCUAUAUCUUGUAAUCAAAUUCCUCAAUAUCAGUGUAUACACUUCAUAUGUUUAUCCCCAUUGAAAACUUAACCUAUGUUGUCAUCAAUCACCAAAAAGGGGGAGAUUGUAAGUGCAUCUAGUGCCCCUUAGUGAUUUUGGUGUAUUGAAGACUUAUAGGUUAAGGGACUAAUGCGUUUGUGAGUGUACACAGGUCUAUAAGUCUAUGAGGAGUUUGAUAUUUACAGAGAAAGUCAACCCCUAAAAAUGAAGUUCUUCAACUGAAGACUUUGAUAUUCUGAAGACUUUCUGAAGACUUUGAAAGUGAAGAAAUUGGUGUGACCUUGAAGACUUGGUAUUCAUUUGUGGAACAUGAGGCGUGAAGACUUUUGUUUUCAUAGUUUCAUUUUCUCUUUCUUGAGUCAUAGGAAACACCGUACUGUUAAAGGGGGUCGAGGAAAUACUAAGGAAAAAUUUCCAUGUGAUGCUCAACUCAAAAUCCUACACCUACCAAUCCCUUCGAGUGAAGCCUUUGGAAAUCUCAUACAGUUUAGUCACUUUCUUCAGUGAUAGAGACGAAGUUCUUCUGGUCGCUGAUGAAUUUGUUCUGACUGAGGAGUUAGGAAUUCGUCAGUGCGAAUUACCUACACAGUGAGGAACAUGAUAGCCCUGAGGAAUUUGAGAGUCAAAUUUCCGACCGUUGCUGUGCUACGCGCCAGCUGUCCCAAAAUAUCUUAUCCACCUAACGGUCAUAUCAUUGAAGGGCAUUUAUGUCUUAUCAUGUCGGGCUGCUCCCUAGGCUAUAAAUAGCCGCCCCCUACAACCACUAGCUGGUUGGCUGCUCCGAGAGAAACUAACACUUGUCAUUUGAGAGCAACCCAUCCUCCGAGGACUUUGAGAGAAAAUCAUCGAGUGAGGAAAACCCAAAACCAAACCUCUACAAACCCAAAGUGAUUGAGCAUCACUGAAGAAAUUGAUCCUGCGUGGAUCCGACGCUUGUUACCUUUGAAGACUGUGCUUCUUCCAGACGGUUAGGCGUCAAGGUCUAGAGCAUCCAAGAGGAAUUGUGGAUCGCCGAGUGACCAAGUCUGUGAAGGUUUGGAAGUCGCCUGAAGACUUACCACGAGUGAUUGGACGAGGUCUGUGUGACCUUAGUUCAAGGAGAAUACGGUGAGGACUGGGUGUCCUGAGCUGCAUGCUCAGCGACUAGGUGUCCGGGACUGUGUGUCCUCGAGUUUAAAUACUCGGCCGCUCCAACCAGACGUACAACUGAGACAUCAGUUGGAACUGGUCUACCAAAUCAUUGUCUUCACCAACCUAACUGGUUCUAUUUCCUCAACCCUUUCAUUUCCUCAUUACUGUGUUGAGUGUUUGUUCAUAUCUAUGUUUGAAGACUUUGACUGAAGACUUUCUCAAUUUCCUCAGUUCAAUUUCUUCAGUCUGUUUGUCUUCAUCUUGUGUUAUCCUGUGAUUACGCUUUCUGUACUCUGUGCUAGUCUUCAUUUCAUCAUGAUGACCAUGCUUGUAUUCUGUUAUGCUUACUUCUGAGUACUUAUUCCGCUGCUAAUAGUUCUUCGCUAAGGAAUUUCCUCACCGGCAAAUUCCUCAGUGAAGAAUUCAUAAAAAUCGCCUAUUCACCCCCCCUCUAGUCGACAUAACGCACUUUCAAUCUCUUAGUCUUGUGCUUGAUGAAUAGGAAUAUGAAAAGGAGGAGAAGUGGAAAUUAGAAUUCCUACGGUGUUUCUUUCAAGGAGACACUAAAGGAACAAAUCCUAUAGUUUUCCUUUGCUCCAUUCCUUUGCACCAAAUUCAUGAAAAGUAGUACCAUAGGAAAAUUUCCAAUUCCUAUGUUUUUCAUUCACUUUUCCUUUCAAGCACUGGCGAUUCUAGUAGGCAGUCUUGAGAAAGGAAAAUCCUACACUAAAAAAAUGUUUUUGUGCUACUUCUAUUACUUUGGACCCAGGCCACUGCCAUACUAGCUCAACUCCCAGGCCCAUCGACAAAUGCACAGCUCAAACGCGCAAAGAUAAAUAAUGAUGGCGUUCAAGAGAGUCCAUCACGGAUAGCUAAGUUGCCUGGUACCUCACUGCUUGUCAUAUAGUAGGAUAAAAUAAUCGUAUUUCCCGUUACUACGAGUGCUCAGUGGACAAUAUAUAUAGCAUGUAGAGUAAAAAAGAGAUGCAACAAGUGUACAACCUCUUUGGCGAAGCCAUGUCGAUCUCAGCGUGAUUGGGUUGGCCGCUGAGGAUGCUCCGGCUGAGUUUGCUGUCGGAGGAGGGGAAGAAGAUCUUAGGCGUCUGGAGAUGGAGCCCGAGGUACUGCUCCGCUGUGAUGGAGGGUUUCGUCGUUGGAGCAGCUCCGGUGAGUUGUACGACGCCGAGGCUGAAGCAUGACAAGAGAGACAACAAACAACGUUAACUUGAGUGGAAUUCUAAUAGCAUCUCCAAUACAUGACGUAAAAUACAUAACCACAAAGUGCUAGAUGUAAAAUACAUCAGCCGCUCAUCUCUGAACUUAAUUAUCGAAACUGAACUUAGCUGUCGAAACUAAACUUAACUGUCGAAACUGAACCUAACUGUCGAAAUUGAAUUUUGCUGUCGAAACUGAAUUUUGCUGUCGAAACUGAACGCACUAGCAAGGUGAGGCUACACGUCGGUCGACUGACUUUUUGAUCUCUGGUCAGUCAAUCUUGCAGCCGUUGGAUACGAAAUCAAGGGUCUGUAGUUCAUCUUCAACCUCCACCCCCCUGAGCCGCCAGCCACCACCGGCCAAACAGCAGCCCCCCGCCGCCCGCGGCUGGCGGUGCGCCACCCCGCCCACCCCAAAAACACUCCCCACUGCUGGUCCGCCGCCGCCCCGUCCAUCCCUCUAGGCCCCCCCGUGCCGAGCUUUUUCUCCGGCGAUCCCCACGCCACCGCCCCGCCACCGCCGGUGACCACGCCCCAUCUUGAACCCUAAGAUAGAUAGUGGGGUACCUCUCCUGCGAGCCCCCCUCCCCGCUGUGGCUGGUUCUUCCUUCACCCCGGCGAGCCCAACCCUUGAAAAUCGACUGACCGAAAAGUUGAUUCAGUCGACUGAAGAGUAGCCAAAUCGGAGCAGCAUCGCAAGCAAGAGCAAGAGCGAGAGCAGCAGCGCGAGCAAGAGCAAUAGCAAGAGCAGACCAGACAGGGGACCAAGAGCAAGAGCAGAGCAGCAGCGCGAGCGAGAGCUAAACCAGCAGCAGCUCCUACUGAUGUGGACGUCACCGCUGAGGGAGCGACCCCGUGGAGGAAGUGGCCGGCGAUGCCGCCGUGGAUGGAGCCCCGCCGUGUCGGCUUGGUACCGAGCGUCGGCAGCACCGUGAGAUCGAAUCAAGAAGAAAAUACAGCGAUUAGUGUACAAGCUCUUUGGUGGCACCGAUUAGGCCGCAACUUCAUCCGAGGAAACGGUGAUGAUGCUCUUUCGGUGGUGCAGGUGAAGACGGCGGUGUGGGAAUGGAGGUGGCGCGAAAGACGAGGGGAACGUCGGGGCAGCUCUUUGGAGGUGGAGGACGGGGUGGCUGAACCGGCGGGACGAUGAGAUCGAUGACGGAUCCUCAUCCGGUAUGGUGGAUGAGGGACGUUGAGGUGUUGCUGUGGACGACGUCGUCAGGGAAGAGGCUCCGGCUGGGUGGCGGAUGAUACGUCUCCAACAUAUCUAUAAUUUAUGAAGCAUUCAUGCUAUUUUAUUAUCUGUUUAGAAUGAUUACGGGCUUUAUUAUACACUUUUAUAUUACUUUUGGGACUAAACUAUUAACCGGAGGCCCAGCCCAUAUUGUUGUUUUAUUGCCUGUUUCAGUAUUUCGAAGAAAAGGAAUAUCAAAUGAAGUCCAAACAGAAUGAAACCUUCGACAACGUGAUUUUUUUGGAAGAAUAUGAUCCUGGAGACUUGGAGUUCAUGUCAGAAGAUCCUUGAGGCAGCCAUGAGAUAGGAGGGCGCCCCCCCUAUAGGGCGCGCCCCCUGUCUCGUGGGCCCCGCGAGCACCUCCCGACCGACUUCUUUCGCCUAUAUAAGCCUACGUACCCUAAAAACAUCGAAAAUCAAGAUAGAUCAAGGGUUCCGCUGCCGCAAGCCUCUGUAGCCACCAAAAACCUCUCGGGAGCCCGUUCCGGCACCCCGUCGGAGGGGGAACCCAUCACCGGUGGCCAUCUUUAUCAUCCCGGUGCUAUCCAUGACGAGUAGGGAGUAGUUCACCCUCGGGGCUGAGGGUAUGUACCAGUAGCUAUGUGUUUGAUCUCUCUCUCUCUCUCUCUCGUGUUCUCUCUAUGGCAUGAUCUUGAUGUAUCGCGAGCUUUGCUAUUAUAGUUGGAUCUUAUGAUGUUUCUCCCCCCUCUACUCUCUUGUGAUGAAUUGAGUUUCCCUCUUGAAGUUAUCUUAUCGGAUUGAGUCUUUGAUUUGAGAACACUUGAUGUAUGUCUUGCCGUGUUUAUCUAUGGUGACAAUGGGAUAUCACGUGCCACUUGAUGUAUGUUUUGGUGACCAACUUGCGGGUUUCGCCCAUGAACCUAUGCAUAGGGGUUGGCACACGUUUUCUUGACUCUCUAGUAGAAACUUUGGGGCACUCUUGGAAGUACUUUGUGUUGGUUGGAUGAAUCUGAGAUUGUAUGAUGCAUAUCGUAUAAUCAUGCCCACGGAUACUUGAGGUGACAAUGGAGUAUCUAGGUGACAUUAGGGUUUUGGUUGAUUUGUGUCUUAAGGUGUUAUUCUAGUACGAACUCUUGAAUAGAUUGAACGGAAAGGAUAACUUUGAGGUGGUUUCGUAACCUACCAUAAUCUCUUCGUUUGUUCUCUGCUAUUAGUGGCUUUGGAGUGACUCUGUGUUGCAUGUUGAGGGAUUGUCAUAUGAUCUAUCUAUGUUAUUAUUGUUGAGAGAACUUGCACUAGCGAAAGUAUGAACCCUAGGCCUUGUUUCCUAUCAUUGCAAUACCGUUUACGCUCACUUUUAUCGCUUGCUACCUUGCUGUUUUUAUAAUUUCAAUUUACAAUUACCUUUAUCUACUAUCUAUUUUGCACUUGUAUCACCAUCUCUUCGCCGAACUAGUGCACCUAUACAAUUUAGCAUUGUAAUGGGUGUGUUGGGGACACAAGAGACUCUUUGUUAUUUGGUUGCAGGGUUUUUUGAGAGAGACCAUCUUCAUCCUACGGCUCCUACGGAUUGAUAAACCUUAGGUCAUCUUCUUGAGGGAAAUUUCCUACUGUCCUACAAACCUGUCCACUUGCAGGCCCAACAACAUCUACAAGAAGAAGGUUGUGUAAGGACAAAGAGGAUGUGGAACCCCUUCUAGAUGCUAAGGACAAAAGGAUUUGCUGAAGCUCACAGCUCGGGACUCUACAUUUUCUAUUUCAUUGAUCCAAGAUCACAUUGAGUCCAUAGGAAAGCCAAUAUUAUUAAAAGGGGAUGAAGUGUUGCUUAAUGGCUUGCUUGCUCAAGGUGCUUAGUGAUAUGCUCCAAAAACCCUCAACCACUUUCUCAUAUCCACAUAUGUCCCAAACCAAAAGUCAAACUCGGCCCCACCGAUUUGAUCUAUCCGGCGCCAUCGAGUUCAUUUGACAUAGCCACUGCCAGAAACCCUAAUCAAUUAGGUCUCACUGAUGGGAUCUCGGUCUCACCGAGAUGGUCUUGCAAACUCCCUGUUGCCUAUUGCAAUAACUUCAAUCUCAGCGAGAAGAUGUAAUCGGUCCCACCGAGUUUGCUUGACCAACUCUCUGUUUUGCUUAUUACCAAACUUGGUCCCACCGAGUUUGUGUAAUCGGUCAGACUGAGAUGAGGUUUUACCCUAAUCCUUGCACAUCGGUCCCACCGAGUUGAUCAUAUCGGUCCCACCAAAAUGCCUAACGGUCACAUUAUGAACUAAAUUGGUCUGACCGAGUUUUAUGAUUCGGUCCCAUCAAGUUUGGUAAAUUGUGUGUAACGGUUAGAUUUUGUGUGGAGGCUAUAUAUACCCUUCCACCGUCUCCUCAUUCAUGGGGAAAUCCACCAGAACAUGCCUACACUUUCAGCAUUCAUUUUUUGAGAGAGAACCACCUACUCAUGUGUUGACGCCAAGAUAUUCCAAUCCAACCAUAUGAAUCUUGAUCUCUAGCCUUCCCCAAGUUGCUUUCCACUCAAAUCAUCCUUCCACCAAAUCCAAUCCUAUGAGAGAGAGUUGGGUGUUGGGGAGACUAUCAUUUGAAGCACAAGAGCAAGGAGUUCAUCAACAACACACCAUUUAUUACCUUUUGGAGAGUGGUGUCUCCUAGAUUGGUUAGGUGUCACUUGGGAGCCUUUGUCAAGAUUGUGGAGUUGAACCAAGGAGUUUGUAUGGGCAAGUAGAUUGCAUACUUCGUGAAGAUCUACCCUAGUGAGGAAAGUCCUUCGUGGGCGAUGGCCAUGGUGGGAUUAGUCCUGGCCAUGAGCAGCCUAGCCCGACCCAGCCCGGCCCAACGCUGCUCCUGGGCCGGGCCCGGGCCUAGAUUUUGAGCCCGAAGGCCGAGCCGGGCUGGGCCCCGGCCCAUCGUUUUCACGCUUUCCUGAAGGAUGGGCCGGUCCGACCUGAAGCCCUAUGGGCUUUUACAUGUUCGGGCCGGGCUCGGGCCCAGAAAACAGGCCCGAUGGCCGGGCCGGGCCGGGCUCGGGCCUGGGUUUUUUGUGUUGGGCUUGGCUAGGCCCGGCCCGGCCGGCCAGGUAUAGGUGGGAUAGACAAGGUUGCUUCUUCACGGACCCUUCGUGGGUGGAGCCCUCCGUGGACUCACGCAACCAUUACCCUUCGUGGGUUGAAGUCUCCAUCAACAUGGAUGUACAAUAGCACCACCUAUCGGAACCACGCCAAAAAUCUCCGUGUCUCCAAUUGUGUUUGCACACUCCAAUCCCAUCCCUUUACUUUCUAGCAAGUUGCAUGCUUUACUUUCUGCUGCUCAUAUACUCUUUGCAUGCUUGCUUGAAUUCUAUUGUGUAUGCUUGAAAUUGUGUUAAUCUACCACCGCAACUUGAAAAACUUAAAACUGCCAACUUUGUGUGUUGAUGGUCUAUUCACCCCCUCUAGACACCUCUUCUCGAUCCUUUCACAAUUGCACCAGUAUUGUCACAACAGAUUUUCAUUGGACCCGAUGCACUAGGUAUGACACCUAGAUCGGAUAUGAACUCCUUCAUCCAAACUCCUUCAUUUGCUGCUUCCCAAGCAGCAAUGUACUCCGCUUCACACGUAGAUCCCACCACGACGCUCUGCUUGGAACUGUACCAACUGACAGCUCCUCCAUUCAAUAAAAAUACAUAUCCGGUUUGCGACUUAGAGUCAUCCAGAUCAAUGUCAAGGCUUGCAUCGACGUAACCGUUUAUGACGAGCUCUUUUUCACCUUCAUAAACGAGGAACAUAUCCUUAGUCCUUUUCAGGUAUUUCAGGAUGUUCUUGACUGCUGUCCAGUGCUCCACUCCGGGAUUACUUUGGUACCUCCCUGUUAUGCUUAUAGCAAGACAUACAUCAGGUCUGGUACACAACAUUGCAUACAUGAUAGAACCUAUGGCUGAAGCAUAGGGAAUGACUUUCAUUUUCUCUCUAUCUUCUAAAGUGGUCGAGCAUUGAGUCUGACUCAACUUCACACCUUGUAACACAGGCAAGAACCCUUUCUUUGACUGAUCCAUUUGAACUUCUUCAAAACUUUAUCAAGGUAUGUGUUUUGUGAAAGUCCAAUUAAGCGUCUUGAUCUAUCUCUAUAGAUCUUGAUGCCCAAUAUGUAAGCAGCUUCACUGAGGUCUUGCAUUGAAAAACUUUUAUUCAAAGAUCCCUUUGUGCUAUCCAGAAAUUCUAUAUCAUUUCCAAUCAAAAAUAUGUCAUCUACAUAUAAUAUUAGAAAUGCUACAAAGCUCCCACUCACUUUCUUGUAAAUACAUGCUUCUCCAAAAGUCUGUAUAAAACCAUAUGCUUUGAUCACACUAUCAAAGCGUUUAUUCCAACUCCGAGAGGCUUGCACUAGUCCAUAAAUGGAUCGCUGGAGCUUGCACACUUUGUUAGCACCCUUUGGAUCGACAAAACCUUCCGAUUGCAUCAUAUACAAUUCUUCUUCUAGAAAUCCAUUCAGGAAUGCAGUUUCGACAUCCAUUUGCCAAAUUUCAUAAUCAUAAAAUGCAGCAAUUGAUAACAUGAUUCAGACAGACUUAAGCAUUGCUAUGGGUGAGAAAGUCUCAUCGUGGUCAACUCCUUGAACUUGUCGAAAACCUUUUGCAACAAGUCAAGCUUUGUAAACAGUAACAUUACCAUCUGCGUCGGUCUUCUUCUUAAAGAUCCAUUUAUUUUUUAUGGCUUGCUGAUCAUCGGGCAAGUCCACCAAAGUCCACACUUUGUUCUCAUACAUGGAUCCCAUCUCAUAUUUCAUGGCCUCAAGCCAUUUCAAGAAUCUGGGCUCAUCAUCGCUUCCGCAUAGUUCGUACGUUCAUCAUGGUCUAGUAACAUGACUUCCAGAACAGGAUUACCGUACCACUCUAGUGCGGAUCUUACUCUGGAAGACCUACGAGGUUCGGUAGUAACUUGAUCUGAAGCUUCAUGAUCAUCAUCAUUAGCUUCCUCACUAGUUGGUGUAGGAAUCACUGGAAUUGAUUUCUGUGAUGAAGUACUUUCCAAUAAGGGAGAAGGUACAGUUACUUCAUCAAGUUGUACUUUCCUCCCACUCACUUCUUUCGAGAGAAACUCCUUCUCGAGAAAGGAUCCAUUCUUAGCAACAAAGAUUUUGCCUUCGGCUCUGUGAUAGAAGGUGUACCCAACAGUUUCCUUUGGGUAUCCUAUGAAGACGCACUUCUCCGAUUUGGGUUCGAGCUUAUCAGGUUGAAGCUUUUCCACAUAAGCAUCGCAACCCCAAACUUUAAGAAACGACAACUUUGGUUUCUUGCCAAACCAUAGUUCAUAAGGCGUCGUCUCAAUGGAUUUUGAUGGUGCCCUAUUUAAAGUGAAUGCAGCCGUCUCUAGAGCAUAACCCCAAAACGAUAGCGGUAAGUUAGUAAGAGACAUCAUAGAUCGCACCAUAUCUAAUAAAGUACGGUGAUGACGUUCAGACACACCAUUUCACUGUGGUGUUCGAGGUGGCGUUAAUUGCGAAACUAUCCCAUGUUGUUUCAAAUGAAGACCAAACUCGUAACUCAAAUAUUCUCCUCCACGAUCAGAUCGUAGAAACUUUAUUUUCUUGUUACGAUGAUUUUCCACUUCACUCUGAAAUUCUUUGAAUUUUCAAAUGUUUCAGACUUAUGCUUCAUUAAGUAGAUAUAACCAUAUCUGCUCAAAUCAUCUGUGAAGGUGAGAAAAUAACGAUACCCACCACAAGCAUCAAUACUCAUUGGACUGCACACAUCGAUAUGUAUUAUUUCCAAUAAGUCAGUAGCUCGUUCCAUUGUUCCGGAGAACGGAUUUUUUGUCAUCUUUCCCAUAAGGCACGGUUCGCAAGCACCAAGUGAUUCAUAAUCAAGUGAUUCCUAAAGUCCAUCAGCAUGGAGUUUCUUUAUGCGAUUUAUACCGAUAUGACCCAAAUGGUAGUGCCACAAAUAAGUUGCACUAUCAUUAUUAAACUUCAAUCUUUUGGCUUCAACACUAUGAAUACGUGUAUCACUAAUAUCGAGAUUCAAUAAAAAUAGACCACUCAGCAGGGGUGCAUGACCAUAAAAGAUAUUACUCAUAUAAAUAGAACAACCAUUAUUCUUUGAUUUGAAUGAAUAACCGUCUUGCAUCAAACAAGAUCCAUAUAUAAUGUUCAUGCUCAACGCUGGCACCAAAUAACAAUUAUUCAGGUCUAAAGCUAAUCCCGACGGUAGAUGUAGAGGCAGCGUGCCGACCGCGAUCACAUCGACUUUGGAACCAUUUCCCACGCGCAUCGUCACCUCAUCCUUAGCCAAUCUUUGCUUAAUCCGUAGCCCUUGUUUCGAGUUGCAAAUAUGAGCAAUAGAACCAGGAUCAAAUACCCAGGCGCUACUGCGAGCAUUAUUUAAGUACACAUCAAUAACAUGUAUAUCAAAUAUACCUUUCACUUUGCCAUCCUUCUUAUCCGCCAAAUACUUGGGGCAGUUCCGCUUCUGGUGACCAGUCCCUUUGCAGUAGAAGCACUCAGUUUCAGGCUUAGGUCUAGACUUGGGUUUCUUCUCUUGAGCAGCAACCUUUUUGCCGUUCUUCUUGAAGUACCCUUUCUUCCGUUUACCCUUUUUCUUGAAACUACUGGUCUUAUUGACCAUCAACACUUGAUGCUCCUUUUUGAUUUCUACCUCCGCGGCCUUUAGCAUCGCGAAGAGCUCAUGAAUCACUACAAAAAAAUACACUUCCGUGAUGAUAUGUGUUUGUCACAGUAGGUCGCGUUUUUUGUCAUGCAUGUACAUCCAUGACGAUUUUAUGACAGAAUCAAGAUAGUCAUACCUGUGCUGUCGUAGAAGUGUUCCAUGACAUUACCAAAAUUAUCAUCACGGAAGUGUCCACUUCCAUGACGAUAAAUCACGCGUCACAGAAGUGCUUUCGUCAAGGGAGACGGACACAUGGCAUCCACCGUAACGGAACGCCGUUAAGCUAUCAGGUCGGGUUUUGGAUCCGAUAACCCGUUAACAGCCCCGACCAAUGGGGAUUUUCCACGUGUAAAAUCAUCAUGGGCUGGAGGAAACACGUGUCAGCUCAUCGUUGGGACAGAUGUCAUCCACUCAUUGGACAGAAGGCGCCUAUGAUACGUCGACACGUGGCACGACCCAACAGAGGCCCAUUCCUGUGAAAAUGCCGGCCCGUUUGACUUGGUCAAAAGGUGGCGGGCCGGCCCAUGGAAAGCAUGCUAACGGCCUAUUCGCAUAUAGCCCAUUUACAACCCGCUAACCCAAGGCCCGUUACGCACUAUCCGAAUUAGGCCCAGUAGUGUCAUCUGGGCCAUCUAAUAUGAUUCCAGCCUGUUUUCACUUCUGGCGCAUGUAUGGCCCAUGACGCCUUUCGGCCCAUAUGAGGCCCUAUGCAACUCUUGGUCUAUUAACGGCCCGUGGUGAAACUGGCCCGCAAUGAACAGUGUAUCACUUUACACCCAUUAACGGCCCGUGGUGAAACUGGCCCGUAAUGAAAAGUGUAUCACUUUAUACCCAUUAACGGCCUGUUAUUCCAUUGGGCCGUUUCCAGCCCAUGUUAUCUUUCGGCCUUCUGAGAGCCCAUUUAUUCUUGGGCUCAUUUCAAGCAUUCGUUUACUUACGGCCCGUUACUGUCAUUUUCUGCUUGUGGGCCAAAUUCAGCCCGUGGUUACAGUCGGCCCGUUUGUGGUCCGUUAAUACAUUGGGCCGUUUUCAUAGUAUCAUCAAAUACGGCCUAUUAACGAUGGCCCGUUAUGGUCGGCCCAUGAACGGACGAUUCCAACUCUAGCCCGUUUAUGGCCAUAAUGCGGCUUGUUAUUGGCCCAUGUUUGGCCAAUCGAUCAUACGACCCGUAUAAGGCCCAUUGAUGAUACGGCUUGUAGAAGGCCCAAUGUUUCUACGGCCCGUAGAAGGCCCAAUGUUUCUACGGCCCGUAGAAGGCCUACUGUUUCUACGGCCCGUAGAAGGCCCACUGUUUCUACGGCCCGUAGGAGGCCCAGUGUCACUACAGUAAAUAUUAGCCCAUGGUUAUUGUGGCCUAGCUUUAAAAAAUAGGUUAUUGCAGCCACUAGCAAACCGCAGAAAAAUAACUGCACUGACUACAAGCAAACAAAUAAACAAGACAACAAGGAAAUAAAUAAGCAAGCAACUGGCACUAGGCUAUCAUGGCUAUUACACAUAUUACAUCCACUGGGCAUCAAAGUUCGCCACCAGUGCAAAUGUAGGGAACACAACAACAUAUAAACGCUGCAGCAAAACAAGUCCAGAACUGAAACCACUUUAGAAGAGCUCAAGAAACUAUAUCCUGGGUACCCAUAAUGCUGGCAAGAUGCUUAGCAAGCUUAUUAACUUUCUCUUGUUUGGCGCUUAAGUCCUCCAUCGCUUGCUGUUGCACCAGAAAGUAUGCAUCUGAAUUCUGCAAGGACUUCCUCAGUCCUUCGGCUUCCUGUCGCAUAACAUCUGAUCGAUGUUUUUCAACUUGAAGUUGAGACUCAAGAAGCCGAACUGAUUCAGGCAACGAGUUCGAAGAGUUGGUGCCAGCAAUCAUAGCCAGUAACUCGAACACUACAUCAAGACAGGGCUUUGGGGUUGUCUCAGUGUCCUAAAAAUAGUUUUUAUCAGCUUUCUUGGAGACCAACAGGGAUGUCUCACUAUCUUGAACCUUAUCUACAUUACUUCCUUUACCAUUGCAUAACAGGGUACUCUUCUUCAAUAUUUUAUCCGCAUUCUAAAAGAGAAACAAACAAAGACAUCUCAGGUUUACAAUGUAGUAUAUGAAACUCAUUUUGGUAAACUAGUUCAGUAGUAAGGGGACAUGAUAACAGCAUGAAACAAACAUAUAUCUAUGUAGUAUGGUCACUGUAUGGUCUAUAUCAUUCUAGUUUAUGUUGCCAAAUCAAGAUAGAUACAGUUCGAAUCAUAUCUGUUUAAGACAAAGCAGCAUAGACAGAAUAUAAGAGUGGGAAACUACACAGCAAUAACAACACUUGUAAUGUGCAUGGCAUGAGAACAUAACUGUUAUUCAAUAGAAACUGAAAUCAACAUAGAGCAAGUUACAACAGCAAACAGCCAAACACGUUGAAGAAAUAGGUUUAAAACAUACCCGUUGCGCCAUUGGAGUUUCAAUUGCAUCCUACAAAUUUGAAAUUGGUUGGUAUCAGUAAAUAGAGUGAUGCAAGAGCAAAGUAGUAUGAACCAUAGCUACGGAACCUGACCUGAGAACAAUUCUUCUUCUGCUUUAAGCGUUGACUUCGGGUUUGAAGUGGUGGUCCUCAUUAUUUGGGCACUGCAGUUGCCUUACUAACUGCUCAUGUUUGGGUGCUCUGUGGUGGAGAUGGUGCUGUGUCAACGGGAACUAGGUGUCUAUCUGCUGGGGUUGGGGUUAGAAGGGGUGUAGCUGGUUCUCUGUCCAAUUGGGUAGGGGUACAAUCUGCAUGAGUGCGGGUUAUGUGUGGUGGGGCUAAUUCUUGGGCAAGUACAACCGUGGUUCUAUCUGCAUCGACAGGUAGCACGAUCUUUUCUGAAGACCGUGUUUUUACUCCCACAGAUACUGCCAUCACUCCCUCCAAUUGAAAUGGCUGAUAAACAAGAAAAAUAAUUGAAUGUACAGACAUUGUAAGAUAGACAGGUGCAAUGGAUAGUAGGGAAGAAAACAGGGCAUGAAAUAAUUCACAUUUAUGUUGUCUAAUCAAACGGAAUAGCAGGACAUAAUUUCAUAUAUAUGAUGGCUAAUUAAAUAGGAUAGCAUGACACAAUUUCACAUGUAUGAUGGCUAACUAAAUAGGAUAGAAUGACAUACUUCAAAAUAUGAUGACUAUGUAAACAGGAUGACAUGAUAUAACUAUACGAUGUGUCUAUUAAAGUGGUUGGCAUGCCAUAAAUCACAAACAUGCCGUCGAUGGAAACAUGAUGGCAUGAUAUAAUUCACGGAUAGAAUGACAUAAUUUAAAAUAUGAUGACUAUGUAAACAGGAUGAGAUGAUAUAACUAUAUUAUGUCUUUAGAAAAUGGGUUGGCAUGCCAUAAUUCAGAUACAUGUUGUCUAUGUAAACAUCAUGGCAUGACAUAAUUCAAAUAUAUGAUAUAUAUACUAAGGAAGUGAGCAGAGGGCAAUCACAUAUAUGAUGUGUCAACUAAGGAGAUGGCAUUCAAUAUUGUGUAUAUGAUGUAAAAACUAAGCAUUGCAAUACAACAUAUGCAUUAUAUGAGUAAUAUAACCCUGCCAAGUUUGAGCAUACACCUUAGGGGGAUAAUAGGACUGGUCAUCUGCCUAUGAAUCCUCCUCUGAAGAGCUAUCUGUAACCAGCAAGAUAUUUGCUUCAUCAGGUAGCAUUGUCUGCUCUGAAGACCUUGUUUUCACUCCAGAUUUCUCCAUCACCAAUUCAAAUGGCUGAUGCACAGGAAGAGCAGUUGAAUAUACAAACAUUGUCGACAAAAGCAAUGAGAAAUACAAAAAAAGGAUGGCAUGAUAUAAUUCACAUAUAUGACGCUUGCCUAAACAGGGCAUUGCAUAAUUCACAUACAUAAUGCCUUGCAACAAGAUAACAUUGCAUAAUUCACAUAUAUAAUGUCUUGCAACAAGAUGGCAUUGCAUAAUUCACAUAUAUGGUAAUUAGACACUAAACAGGUGGCAUUCACACAAAGCAUGUCUAAACUAAGCAAAUGACAUAGCAAUGCAAGAUACCAUACGCAUGAUAUGAGUAACAUAACCCUGCCAAGUUAGGGAAUGCACCUCGGGGUGCGGGGAAUAUGACUGGUCAUCUGUCACUGAAUCCUCCUCUGAGGAGCUAUCGUAACCAGCAAGACAUGCACUUCGUCAGAUAUCAUUGUCUGCUCUGAAGACCUUGUUUGCACUCCAGAUUUUUCCAUGACCGUGCCGAAUGGCUGAUGCACAGGAAGAGUAAUUGAAUGUACUAAAAUUGUUGACAAAUUUAACACAUAAUAAAAAAAUGAUGGCAUGAUAUAAUUCACAUAUAAGAUGACUGGCUAACCAGGGUGGCAUUGCAAAAUUCACAUAUAUGAUGCCUGGCUAGACAAGAUGGCAUUGCAUGAUUCACAUAUACAAUAAAGAAACUAAACAGAUGGCAUUGACACAAAGCAUGUCUAAACUAAGCAGAUGACAUCUUUAAUGUAUACAGUAAGCAAUGCAAGGCACCAUAUGCAUGAUAUUACCAACAUCAGCAUGCCAAGUUAGAGCAAAGACCUCAUGGGGUAAAUAGGAGUGGUCUUCUCCUUCUGAACCCCCCUCAAAACAGUUAUCUUCCUCUUGAUUACGAUCCGAAAUGGGUGGAGGGGGGGGGGCUGCCUUUGCGCCCACCAUGGAACAACGUCUGCAUGAAAUUUUAUUGCCACACAAGGCUCGUCUCUUUUGCUCUACAUGAUCAGUUCCAUUGUGUACAAUAACUGGCAUGCAUAGGAAUAAAACAUAGUGAGAUUAUGUAAGGAGUGCAUGCACAAAUCCAGAGUGAUGGUAGCAAACUGUGGAUAGACCCAAAACCAAUGAUAGCAGGCAGAUAAUAGCUUUAGUUAAAAAAUACAGAUGAUGGCUCCUUUAAUGUUUGUUUGCACCCAACAUGAAACUCAUAGUAGACACCGGAGAUUAACCAGAUAGUAGACAUAUAGUACUGAUUGCUGCCCCAAUAUGUACCCCACAACCAUUUAAAAACUCAAGUUUCAGCAUUAGUUUGGACCUGACUUGGAGUCUAAUAGGUGAACACGACGAUAAUGUAGCAUGUCAUCAUAUUAAGCGACGCAUAACGUAAGCAGACAUGGAAGAGUGCGACCUCUCUUGUGUACCCGUGUAGUCCUCAAGGUCAUCUGUUCAGUUGAUGAUGGUAAUGCAGUUGUCGUGGCUGCCGACUGCGGGGAAGAAUAUCUGAGGUGGCGAAAGGCAGUCUGGAGAGCGGACCCCUGCUGUGGUGAACCCUUCCGUCGUUGAAGCAGCUGAGUCGGGGUGGAACACAAUGCCGCGGGAGCAGGACAAACCACACAAGGUUUUCUUUGACACAUAUCUGUAACAGAAGUAAUUGAGUACUUGUUGGAAUUUGAGGAUUCUAACAAUGCAGGGAUAGGAAAUAGACAGGAACAGGAUAGGAAUGCACGUGCAAAACAGAGAAUUUAAAAACACAGGAUUUCUGCCAAUCUGGGUGUUUGAUUCACAACAAUUGGAAGAUCACAGGAUGCAAAAAAGCAUGGUGAGAUUAAGUCAAACCACAAGAAAGUGUGCGGUUAUAAUGCUAUUAUGCUACUAUCUCUUAGUCUUGUGCUUGAUGAAUAGGAAUAUGAAAAGGAGGAGAAGUGGAAAUUACAAUUCCUACGGUUUUUCUUUCAAGGAGACACUAAAGGAACAAAUCCUACAGUUUUCCUUUGCUCCAAAAUCUUGAAAAGUAGUACCAUAGGAAACUUUCCAAUUGCUAUGUUUUUCAUUCACUUUUCCUUUCAAGCACUGACGAUUCUAGUAGGCAGGCUUGAGCAAGGAAAAUCCUACACUAAAAAAAUGUUUUUGUGCUACUUCUAUUACUUUGGACCCAGGCCACUGCCAUACUAGCUCAACUCCCAGGCCCAUCGACAAAUGCACAGCUCAAACGCGCAAAGAUAAAUAAUGAUGGCGUUCAAGAGAGUCCAUCACGGAUAGCUAAGUUGCCUGGUACCUCACUGCUUGUCAUAUAGUAGGAUAAAAUAAUCGUAUUUCCCGUUACUACGAGUGCUCAGUGGACAAUAUAUAUAGCAUGUAGAGUAAAAAAGAGAUGCAACAAGUGUACAACCUCUUUGGCGAAGCCAUGUCGAUCUCAGCGUGAUUGGGUUGGCCGCUGAGGAUGCUCCGGCUGAGUUUGCUGUCGGAGGAGGGGAAGAAGAUCUUAGGCGUCUGGAGAUGGAGCCCGAGGUACUGCUCCGCUGUGAUGGAGGGUUUCGUCGUUGGAGCAGCUCCGGUGAGUUGUACGACGCCGAGGCUGAAGCAUGACAAGAGAGACAAUGAACAACGCUAACCUGAGUGGAAUUCUAAUAGCAUCUCCAAUACAUGACGUAAAAUACAUAACCACAAAGCGCUAGAUGUAAAAUACAUCAGCCGCUCAUCUCUGAACUUAACUAUCCAAACUGAACUUAACUGUUGAAACUGAACUUAACUGUCGAAACUAAACCUAGCUGUCAAAACUGAAUUUUGCUGUCGAAACUGAAUUUUGCUGUCGAAAGUGAACGCACUAGCAGGGUGAGGCUAGACGUCGGUCCACUGACUUUUUCAUCUCUGGUCAGUCAAUUUUGCAGCCGUUGGAUACAAAAUCAAGGGCAUGCAGUUCAUCUUCAACCUCCACCUUGCUGAGCCGCCAGCCACCACCGGCCAACAGCAGCNNNNNNNNNNNNNNNNNNNNNNNNNNNNNNNNNNNNNNNNNNNNNNNNNNNNNNNNNNNNNNNNNNNNNNNNNNNNNNNNNNNNNNNNNNNNNNNNNNNNNNNNNNNNNNNNNNNNNNNNNNNNNNNNNNNNNNNNNNNNNNNNNNNNNNNNNNNNNNNNNNNNNNNNNNNNNNNNNNNNNNNNNNNNNNNNNNNNNNNNNNNNNNNNNNNNNNNNNNNNNNNNNNNNNNNNNNNNNNNNNNNNNNNNNNNNNNNNNNNNNNNNNNNNNNNNNNNNNNNNNNNNNNNNNNNNNNNNNNNNNNNNNNNNNNNNNNNNNNNNNNNNNNNNNNNNNNNNNNNNNNNNNNNNNNNNNNNNNNNNNNNNNNNNNNNNNNNNNNNNNNNNNNNNNNNNNNNNNNNNNNNNNCCCGCCAACGCCUCGCCACCGCCGGCGACCACCGCCCCCAUCCUGAACCCUAAGAUAGAUAGUGGGGUACCUCUCCUGCGAGCCCCCCUCCCCGCUGCGGCUGGUUCUUCCGUCACCCCGGCGAGCCCACCCCUUGAAAAUCGACUGACCCAAAAGUUGAUUCAGUCGACUGAAGUGUAGCCAAAUCGGAGCAGCAUCACAAGCAAGAGCAAGAGUGAGAGCAGUAGCGCGAGCAAGAGCAAUAGCAAGAGCAGACCAGGCAGGGGACCGAGAGCAAGAGCAGAGCAGCAGCGCGAGCGAGAGCUAAACCAGCAGCAGCUGCUACUGAUGUGGACGUCGCCGCCGAGGGAGCGACGCCGUGGAGGAAGUGGCCGGCGAUGCCGCCGUGGAUGGAGCCCCGCCGUGUCGGCUCGGGACCGAGCGUCGGCAGCACCGUGAGAUCGAAUCAAGAAGAAAAUACAGCGAUUAGUGUACAAGCUCUUUGGUGGCACCGAUUAGGCCGCAACUUCAUCCGAGGAAACGGUGAUGAUGCUCUUUCGGUGGUGCAGGUGAAGACGGCGGUGUGGGAAUGGAGGUGGCGCGAAAGACGAGGGGAACGUCGGGGCAGCUCUUUGGAGGUGGAGGACGGGGUGGCUGAACUGGCGGGACGAUGAGAUCGAUGACGGAUCCUCAUCCGGUAUGGUGGAUGAGGGACGUUGAGGUGUUGCUGUGGAUGACGUCGUCAGGGAAGAGGCUCCGGCUGGGUGGCGGAUGAUACGUCUCCAACAUAUCUAUAAUUUAUGAAGCAUUCAUGCUAUUUUAUUAUCUGUUUAGAAUGAUUACGGGCUUUAUUAUACACUUUUAUAUUACUUUUGGGACUAAACUAUUAACCGGAGGCCCAGCCCAUAUUGUUGUUUUAUUGCGUGUUUCAGUAUUUCGAAGAAAAGGAAUAUCAAACGGAGUCCAAAUGGAAUGAAACCUUCGGCAGCGUGAUUUUUUGGAAGAAUAUGAUCCUGGAGACUUGGAGUUCACGUCAGAAGAUCCUUGAGGCAGCCACGAGAUAGCAGGGCGCCCCCCUGUAGGGCGCGCCCCUGUCUCGUGGGCCCCUCGAGCACCUCCCGACCGACUUCUUUCGCCUAUAUAAGCCUACGUACCCUAAAAACAUCGAAAAUCAAGAUAGAUCAAGGGUUCCGCUGCCGCAAGCCUUUGUAGCCACCAAAAACCUCUCGGGAGCCCGUUCCGGCAUCCUGUCAGAGCGGGAACCCAUCACCGCUGGCCAUCUUUAUCAUCCCUGCGCUAUCCAUGACGAGGAGGGAAUAGUUCACCAUCGGGGCUGAGGGUAUGAACCAGUAGCUAUGUGUUUGAUCUCUCUCUCUCUCGUGUUCUCUCUAUGGCACGAUCUUGAUGUAUCGUGAGCUUUGCUAUUAUAGUUGGAUCUUAUGAUGUUUCUCCCUCCUCUACUCUCUUGUGAUGAAUUGAGUUUCCCUCUUGAAGUUAUCUUAUCAGAUUGAGUCUUUGAUUUGAGAACACUUGAUGUAUGUCUUGCCGUGUUUAUCUAUGGUGACAAUGGGAUAUCACGUGCCACUUGAUGUAUGUUUUGGUGACCAACUUGCGGGUUCCGCCCAUGAACCUAUGCAUAGGGGUUGGCACACGUUUUCUUGACUCUCCAGUAGAAACUUUGGGGAACUCUUGGAAGUACUUUGUGUUGGUUGGAUGAAUCUAAGAUUGUGUGAGGCAUAUCGUAUAAUCAUGCCCACGGAUACUUGAGGUGACAAUGGAGUAUCUAGGUGACAUUAGGGUUUUGGUUGAUUUGUGUCUUAAGGUGUUAUUCUAGUACGAACUCUUGAAUAGAUUGAAAGGAAAGGAUAACUUUGAGGUGGUUUCGUACCCUACCAUAAUCUCUUCAUUUGUUCUCCACUAUUAGUGGCUUUGGAGUGACUCUUUGUUGCAUGUUGAGGGAUUGUUAUAUGAUCUAUCUAUGUUAUUAUUGUUGAGAGAACUUGCACUAGUGAAAGUAUGAACCCUAUGCCUUGUUUCCUAUCAUUGCAAUACCGUUUGUGCUCACUUUUAUCAUUAGUUACCUUGCUGUUUUAGUAAUUUCAGAUUACAAAAACAUUUAUCUACUAUCCAUAUUGCACUUGUAUCACCAUCUCUUCGCCGAACUAGUGCACCUAUACAACUUACCAUUGUAUUGGGUGUGUUGGGGACACAAGAGACUCUUUGUUAUUUGGUUGCAGGGUUGUUUGAGAGAGACCAUCUUCAUCCUACACCUCCUACGGAUUGAUAAACCUUAGGUCAUCCACUUGAGGGAAAUUUGCUACUGUCCUACAAACCUGUCCACUUGCAGGCCCAACAACAUCUACAAGAAGAAGGUUGUGUAGUAGACAUCAAGCUCUUUUCUGGUGCCGUUGCCGGGGAGGUUAGCGUUUGAAGGUAUAUCUUUAGAUCUUGCAAUCGAAUCUUUUUGUUUCUUGUUUUAUCACUAGUUUAGUUUAUAAAAAGAAAACUACACAAAAAAUGGAGUUAAGUUUGUCUCACACGCUUCACCUUUUUAAUAUCUUUCGUGAGUAUGAUGGAAAAGAAAAUUGUGCUCAAGUGCUAGAAGAAGAAUGCAUUAAAAUGCUUGGUACUAAAUCUUUGAAUGAUGAGCAUGAUUGCAAUGUUGUUAGUAUGAACUCCUUGAAUAUCCAUGAUGCUAAUGAAAUGCAAAGCCACAAGCUUGGGGAAGCUAUGUUUGAUGAAUAUGAUAUAUUUUGUCCCCCAAGCUUUGAUGAGCAAAUUUAUUUUGAUGAUAGCAUGCCUCCUAUUUAUGAUGAUUAUAUUGAUGAAAGUGGAUUUGGAAGAGUGUCAACUUUAUUUAGUGAUGAUUCCACUAUUUCGGAAGAGGUUCCAAUUGAUUAUGAGAACAAAGUUGCUAUCUAUGAUGAUUAUUGUGAUGACUUGUAUGCUAUUAAGAAUAAUGAUAAGCAUGAAACUUGUCAUCAUGAUUUUAGUUUUCAAUUGGAUUAUGCCUCACAUGAUAAUUAUUUGUUGAGUUUGCUCCCACUACUAUUCAUGAGAAGAAUUUUGCUUACGUGGAGAGUAGUGAUUUUUUAUGCUUGUAGAUCAUGAAAAGAAUGCUUUAGGUGCUGGUUAUAUUGUUGAAUUCAUUCAUGAUGCUACUGAAAAUUAUUAUGAGGGAGGAAUAUAUGCUUGUAGGAAUUGCAAUAAUAUCAAGUUUCCUCUCUAUGUGCUUAAAAUCUUGAAGCUAUGCUUGUUUUGCCUUCCUAUGCUUGUUGAUUAUUGUUCCCAUAAGUUGUUUGCUCACAAAAUCCCUAUGCAUAGGAAGUGGGUUAGACUUAAAAGUGCUAGUCAUAUGCUUCAUGAUGCUCCCGUUAUGUUUCAAUUCUUAACUUGUACCUGAGCAUCAUUGCCAUCAUCAUGCCUAGCUAGAAAGGCAUUAAAGAAAAGCGCUUGUUGGGAGACAACCCAAUAUUUAUCCUUACUGUUUUUGUGUGUCCACAUGAUUAUGCUACUGUAUUAAUCAUGUUUUAUAUCUUUUGUUUCAAUAAAGUGCCAAGUAAGACCUUUAGGAUAGCUUACGGUGAUAGUUGUGUUGAUCCUGCUGAAAAUCAGAAACUUUUGCACCCAGUAAAUUAGUUUUGUUAUGGAUUUGCAUACGAAUUUCUUAGGACUUCCUAAUUUGGUAGGAAUUUUGGAGUUCCAUAAGUAUACGCUUGGUACAGAUUACUACAGACUGUUCUGUUUUUGACAGAUUCUGUUUUCUAUGUGUUGUUUGCUUAUUUUGAUGAAUCUAUGAGCAGUAUCGGAGGGUAUGAACUAUAGAUAAGUUGAAAUACAGUAGAUAUUACACCAUUAUGAAUUUAGAAUUAGUUCGUUACAGUACCUAAGUGGUGGUUUUAUUUUCUUAUACUAACCGAGCUUACGAGUUUUUUGUUGAGUUUUGUGUUGUGGAGUUUUCAAGUUUUGGGUAAAGAUUCGAUGGACUAUGGAAUAAGGAGUGGAAAAAGCCUAAGCUUGGGCAUGCCAAAGGCACACCAAGGUAAUAUUCAAGGACAACCAAGAGCCUAAGCUUGGGGAUGCCCCGGAUGGCAUCCCCUCUUUCGUCUUCGUUCAUCGGUAACUUUACUUGGACUAUAUUUUUAUUCACCACAUGAUAUGUGUUUUUCUUGGAGCGUCAUUUUAUCUUGUUAGUAUUUGCUUACUGUUAGUUAGAAUAAUGUUUUGCAUCUUUAGUUUCAAUAAAAAAGUCAAGGAUAGCCUUUGCCAUGCUUAUUUUGCUAGUAUACUUGUUGCUGUUUGAAAACAGAAAUUUUACCUUUGUUGCAAAAAUUCUCUAGAAAAGUCAGAGGACGAUAUAAUGUUGAAACUUUUUGCAUAAUGAGCUAUGAUAAAUUUAAUACAGUGGUAAUUUUCUUUCAUAAUUUUUGGAGUUAGGGAAGUAUUGAUACUAUUGCAUUCUUUACAGACUGUACUGUUUUGACAGAUUGCUGUUAUGGUUGCAUUGUUUGCAUAUGUUUGCUUGUUUAAUGAUUCUAUUUGAGGAUAGGAGUAUUAAAUAUGCAGAGGCAUUUAGUAUGCAAUGUUGAAUAAUAAUUUUAGUGAUUUUUUACAGUAGAAAAUGAUAAGGUUUUGCAUUGGUUUAUACUAACCUAUCUCACGAGUUCUUGUUGAGUUUGGUGUGGAUGAAGCUUUUGAUAAAAAGAAGAAACCAUGAUAUGAGAGGAAUUAAGGAGACACAAAAGUUCAAUCUUGGGGAUGUCCAAGGCACCCCAAGAUAAUAUUUCAAGAAGUCUCAAGCAUCUAAGCUUGGGGAUGCCCCGUUAGGCAUCCCACCUUUCUUCUUCAACAACUAUCGGUUAGUAUUGUGUUGAACCUAAGUUUUUGCUUCUUCACAUGAGUUGUGCUAUCCUUGCAAUGUCAUUUUAUUUUGUUUUGCUUGCUGUUUGAAUAAGAUACCAAGAUCUGAAUUUCUUAAAUGAGAGAGAGUCUUCACGUAGUUACAUAAUUAUUUAGCUACUCAUUGAUCUUCACUUAUAUGUUUUUGGAGUAGUUUGUCAUUUACUCGUGUGCUUCACUUAUAUCCUAUGAGUAAAUGGUUGAAUGAGUUGAAUGUCAUAAAUCUGAAAUUUAUAUAUGUUUCAUUUUCUUUUCCCAUGGGGAGUAAUGACUUCACAUCUAAGAAGUAGAGGUUGUAAAUUUAUUGAAGGUUAGCAAGCAUUGUAUUGGUCAUUUGAACAAUUUCAUGAAAGAAUAUUGAAGGAAGAGAGAUUUCACAUAUAAAAAUACACUAUCCUAGACAUCUUUUAUAAUUGGGAGCACUCAUUAAGUAUGACAUGCUAAAGAGUUGAUGUUGGACAAGGAAGACAACGUAAUGGUUUAUGUUUUCCGACAUCUCAGUUAAAGUAUAUUGUCAUGGAUCAUUCAAACAUGUUGAGCUUGCCUUUCCCCCUCAUGCUAGCCAAAAUUCCUUGCACCAAGUAGAGAUACUACUUGUGCUUCCAAAUAUCCUUAAACCCAGUUUUGCCAUGAGAGUCCACCAUACCUACCUAUGGAUUGAGUAAGAUCCUUCAAGUAAGUUGUCAUCGGUGCAAGCAAUAAAAAUGCUCUCUAAAUAUGCAUGACUUAUUAGUGCGGAGAAAAUAAGCUUUGUACAAUCUUGUUAUGGAAGCAAUAAAAGCGACGGACUACAUAUUAAAGGUCCAUAUACAAGGGGCAAUAUAAAGUGACGUUCUUUCGCAUUAGGAUUUUGUGUAUCCAACCCUAAAAGCGCAUGACAACCUCCGCUUCCCUCUGCGAAGGGCCUAUCUUUUACUUUAUGUCUUUCACUUUAUGCAAGAGUCAAGGUGAUCUUCACCUUUCCCUUUUUCAUUUAUCCUUUGGCAAGCACUUUGUGUUGGGGUGAUCCUGAUAUAUAUAUAUCCAACUGGAUGUAAGUUAGCAUGAACUAUUAUUGUUGACAUCACCCAAAGCUGAAUACGUUGGGAGGCAACACUAUAAGCCCCUAUCUUUCUCAGUGUUCGAUUGAAACUCCAUAACCAUUAGUAUUGCGUGAGUGUUAGCAAUUGUAGAAGACUACAUGAUAGUUGAGUAUGUGGAGUUUGUUAUUCCUGAAAAUAAGAUGAAUUGCAAUUGUUUGAUGACUGGGAAUGAAGUUUGCUAGUUUUCAAGACAGUUUAUGGUCUAUGCUUUGACAUGUGAAUUGCUUGUUACUUUAUCGUGAGAAGUUUUAUGAGAUGAACUACUGUUAUGACAUAUUAUCAUGCUAGAAAAGGUGAUUGAAAUUAUCAUUGAUCAAACUUGUGCACCUUCUAGCAUUCACACUUCAUAAAUUGUUUCUUUUAUCAUUUACCUACUCGAGGACGAGUAGGAAUUAAGCUUGGGGAUGCUGAUACGUCUCCAACGUAUCUAUAAUUUAUGAAGCAUUCACGCUAUUUUAUUAUCUGUUUUGAAUGAUUACAGGCUUUAUUAUACACUUUUAUAUUACUUUUGGGACUAACCCAUUAACCUGAGGCCCAACCCAUAUUGUUGUUUUAUUGCCUGUUUCAGUAUUUUGAAGAAAAGGAAUAUCAAACGGAGUCCAAACGGAAUGAAACCUUCGGCAGCGUGAUUUCUUGGAAGAAUAUGAUCCUGGAGACUUGGAGUUCACGUCAGAAGAUCCUCGAGGCAGCCACGAGAUAGGAGGGCGCGCCCCCCCUAUAGGGCACGCCCCCUGUUUCGUGGGCCCCUCGAGCACCUCCCGACCGACUUAUUUCGCCUAUAUAAGCCUACGUACCCUAAAAACAUCAAAAAUCAAGAUAGAUCGGGAGUUCCGCCGCCGCAAGCCUCUGUAGCCACCAAAAACCUCUCGAGAGCCUGUUCCGGCACCCUGCCGGAGGGGGAACCCAUCAUCGGUGGCCAUCUUCAUCAUCCCGGUGCUAUCCAUGACGAGGAGGGAGUAGUUCACCCUCGGGGCUGAGGGUAUGUACCAGUAGCUAUGUGUUUGAUCUCUCUCUCUCUCUCUCUCUCUCUCGUGUUCUCUCUAUGGCACGAUCUUGAUGUAUCACGAGCUUUGCUAUUAUAGUUGGAUCUUAUGAUGUUUCUCCCCCAUCUACUCUCUUGUGAUGAAUUGAGUUUCCCUCUUGAAGUUAUCUUAUCGGAUUGAGUCUUUGAUUUGAGAAUGCUUGAUGUAUGUCCUGUCGUGUUUAUCUGUGGUGACAAUGGGAUAUCACAUGCCACUUGAUGUAUGUUUUGGUGACCAACUUGCGGGUUCCACCCAUGAACCUAUGCAUAGGGGUUGGCACACGUUUUCUUGACUCUCCGGUAGAAACUUUGGGGCACUCUUGGAAGUACUUUGUGUUGGUUGGAUGAAUCCGAGAUUUUGUGUGAUGCAUAUCGUAUAAUCAUGCCCACGGAUACUUGAGGUGACAAUGGAGUAUCUAGGUGACAUUAGGGUUUUGGUUGAUUUGUGUCUUAAGGUGUUAUUCUAGUACAAACUCUUGAAUAGAUUGAACGGAAAGGAUAACUUUGAGGUGGUUUCGUACCCUACCAUAAUCUCUUCGUUUGUUCUCAGCUAUUAGUGGCUUUGGAGUGACUCUUUGUUGCAUGUUGAGGGAUUGUUAUAUGAUCUAUCUAUGUUAUUAUUGUUGAGAGAAUCUGCACUAGUGAAAGUAUGAACCCUAUGCCUUGUUUCCUAUCAUUGCAAUACCGUUUGUGCUCACUUUUAUCAUUAAUUACCUUGCUGUUUUUAUAAUUUCAGAUUACAAAAACAUUUAUCUACUAUCCAUAUUGCACCUGUAUCACCAUCUCUUUGCCGAACUAGUGCACCUAUACAACUUACCAUUGUAUUGGGUGUGUUGGGGAAACAAGAGACUCUUUGUUAUUUGGUUGCAGGGUUGUUUGAGAGAGACCAUCUUCAUCCUACGCCUCGUACGGAUUGAUAAACAUUAGGUCAUCCACUUGAGGGAAAUUUGCUACUGUCCUACAAACCUGUGCACUUGCAGGCCCAACAACGUCUACAAGAAGAAGGUUUUGUAGUAGACAUCAGCAGACGGAGCAGGGUGUGGGGUUUCGUCGUGGGUUUUCGCGGCCUUGGUGUAUGAAUGGGUGGGCGGAUGGGAUGGCAGUGGGGAACCAUGGCUUAGAGACGCACUUUUCCGAAAUGUGGGGUAAGUUACAAAAGUACCCCCCCCCACCGAUUUGAGGCGGUUCUUUCGGUUCAGGGGUACCACGGGCAUUUCGCGUGUCGGGAUUUCACAGGAGGUGGGAGUUUUCGCGCGCGUUGUAAUUUCGGAAUAGCAAGGCGUGGGUUGAGAUGGUGGGAGUUGUUGGAGCACAACGAGACAAAGAUAUAUCUUAAAUAUUUCGGGCUAACAAGGCGCGGGUUGAAGAGGUGGGAGUUUCGUAGCACGAUAGAUAGAGACGCUAGCUUCAAUUUGCGGCAUAACAAGGUGCGGCUUGAAAUUUCGGAAGAACAAGUUUAAUGUGUACCCAAAAAAAAGACAAUUUGCACCUCAACACACACAACACACACACAAACACCAUUUAGACUAGAGUAAGGUACAUGUGCAUUGCACGCAUGAGAUGUGGCAACCAAAUUAUGAAUAAAUACCACAUUAUAGCAUGCAAGCUUUGAGUCAUAUAUGCAUGAUGUAGAUGUUCGUUUAAUUCUUGUAGUCAUUUCAUUCAAAAUCAUCUAGUUUUUAUAAGAAAGCUAAUCUAUUUCAAGAUUCAUGGAAUUGUGCGUUGUAAGACAUAAAGUAAAAAAAUGGCAAAUCAUGUAGAAAAACAUUUGGGCAAUUCUGAUACGGAAGAUUCUAGAACAAAUAAGAAGUGCUUGUGUUUUGAUGUUUGUGUAUUAUGCUUAAGUUCAACCAUGGAGUCUUCUAGAUUAUACAUGUGGUGAAAUCUGGUGGAAUCUAAAUGAUAUCCAACGGCCAAUAGUGCUCAAAUUUGCCAUCUUUGGACCAUCGAUUCGCCUCAUCCAACGACCAUCUUUCAAAGUUAAAGUUACCUACACAAUAUAAAAAUAUAUAUAAUAUAAUAUAUAUAGGGGUAUAGAUAUAGAUAUGUGUUGCGAAAGCCGCCCAUCAUCUCCAAUUAGAAUAGUGUGUCCAUGCAUGGAUGUGACGUGGGCAAAUGAUGUUUGCCAUCGGUAUCUCAAAUUCAAAUCAGUCUGACCUUGUUCAAUGUGUAUACAUUACAACAUGCUCGUUUCCAAACCACACCGCGCAGAUCUCCGUUAUAUUCAUGCAUGCAUGGGUUUCAAACAUCGGGAUCUCUUAUUCAAAUAUUUAAAUUCAACUUUACAUUGAUUAUGACCUCACCUAUUCUUUUACACCCACACAGUAGUCUUCUCUUUAUAAUUGUACCACUAACUUUCUCUCGUGCAUGCAUGCACACACACUACCAGUCAGCAUUAUCCAUCGCACGCAUGCAAUCUUUUUCUUCAGGUCGGUCUCCCAUGAAGGCACACACCCACACACCCCCCUCUCCAUCAUAUCGGGCAUUCUUUAUCUCUCACGCAUGCAUGCACAAUGAUCGAUGUUCCUCUAUGUAUGUGUGUAUAUAGCUAGGUCUUUCAUAGUUUUCCACACAAACCGAUCAAUCGAUAUAUCCAGUGAGGUCUCACCCUCUUUCCCAUGUCCACAUCGAUCAAUCUAUACCUCUCUUUAUAGGAUUAACAUAUAUAGCUAAUACACGCACAUUAAUUAUAUAUCCAACGUCCCCCUCUCAUCAUCCAUGCCUUCGCUUCAUCUCUCAGACGCGUGCACAAUGGCGAAGACAGGGGGUAGUAAGGGCCCUGCCCCCCCUAACAUCACUAUAUAUCGAGGCUAAUAUGAAUGUGAUCAUUAGACAAUUGCUGCUAAAAGAGGUUUAAUUUCAUGAAUUGACCCUCCUCAUAAAGGAUUAGCAAUGCUUGGCCCCUAGCUCAUUUAUUUUUCAUGGCUCCGCCACUGCAUGCAACAGCGCACGUGUUUGCCCCCUCCCUCUAAAUAUUGAUCUCGCACUUGUGCAUUCCUUCAUAGUCUCCCUCCACUCGGCCCCUCGCACCAUCUUCUAGCCCCCACCAGAUUUUGCCACAUGUACAAUCUAGCAGACUCCAUGGUUGAACUUAAGCAUAAUGCACAAACCUCAAAACAACAGUGGUUCUCUUUUGUUCUAGAAUCUUUCGCAUCAUAACUGCCCAAACUUUUUUUCUAGUUGAAUUGCUAUUAUUUGUUUUUUACUUUAUGCUUUACAACGCACAAUUCCAUGAAUCAUAAAAUAGAUUAAGGGCUUCUUUGAUUCAAAGGAUUCUCAAAGGAAUUUUGGAGGAUUCUAAUCAUUAGGAAUUUUUCCUAUCUUGGUUGUUUGAUUCGUAGGAUUGUAAACCAUAGGAAUUUUUCCAUAUGAUUCAUUUGCACUAGAUUUCAUAGGAAACAUCCCAUCCACUCAAACCUCUUUGAAAGAAUUCUGCGUUUUUUCUAUGCACAAUCAAACACUCGUACAAUCCUGUAGGAUUCAAGACGACAUUCCACUAUAAUCCCAUGUUUUUCCUCUUCACGCGUUCUUAGCUUUUUUAUAAAAACUAAUUGAUUUUGAAUGAGAUCAACUAUAAGAAUUAAACGAAGGGCUACAUCAUGCAUAUAUGACUCAGAGCUUACAUGCUAUAGUGUGGUAUUUAUUCAUAAUUUGGUUGCAAAAUCUGAUGCAUGCAAUGCACAUGUACCUUACUAGUACUUCGAGUAUGUGCAAAACACGUAAAUUAGAAUACCAAUGGCACGCUACACAGUGUCUCUCUUAUAGUUCAUGAAGCCACGUGGCACAUGUGGAGGCGUUGUCGCGACCUCCUUGCGUGGAUUGACCACAGUGACGUGCUGCUCACUACAAGAAAUACAGUCAAUUAUGACUCCCCAUUUUGGUCGUUGAUUCGUCAUAUUUAUCGUUUAUUGACCUUUUUUUGACCAAAUUCAAAAGGUCAACAGUUGGCCGUCAAGAACGAACAAACUUGACCUUUUUGGAAUUUUGGUCGUAGCUAGACUAACGACCAAAAUUUCAGAAAGGUCACUACCCACUUGCUUUGAGCCACGUAGGAUUUGACAUGGCUGAGCUGACGUGGCAUUGUUAGUGACCAAAUGGAAUCAUCAUAAAUUUCAUAGCCCAGUCCACCAAUCUAGCCUACAUGGGCCUGGCCUAGUACCUAUUUUUUUAUUGAAAUGGUCUGAUUAUUUGGGCUGAUGCAUUUUUUUCAGAAGCAUGCAUAUCUCACGUAUGAAAACAAGUACAACCGAAUACAAUAUUGAAGAUAAAUUGUAUAUUUCAUUUCAGUAACACAUCACAUGAAAUCAAUACAUCAUCCAUUAACUCCUCUACACAUCAAGGUCCAUGGUCCAAUAAGUGCACAAGUGCACAGCAAAAUAAUGCUACAAGUGCAAGUGCACAGCAAAAAGACCCAACAAGUGCACAGGUGCACAAAAACAUAGUCCUACAAAGAUUGGACGAGAUGGGCAAAUUUUAGUUGGUCACACAUAACAUCAAUGAGAAACAAAGCUUCUUGUGCCAUUCACUUCUUUUGAGUGCUUCAGAUCAUACUGGUAAUUGGAACAAUCAAACAUAAGAAAGCACACAAAAUAUGAGCAAACAAAAUAUAAAUGGAGGUUUUACAUUCAGCAAUUAACACAAGGCUAAGACAUGCUCCCAUAGAAAUUUCAGGAAUUGCAAGAUUAUUCUUGUGUUAGCUCAACACUUUGUGCAAAAAAAGACUCACAUUAAUAAAUUCCAACAUGAAGAGAUGUGAAUCAUAUAUCUUUAACACAGUAAAAUAAACAACACCAACAUGAGCACCACAACACAACACAGCUCAUAUACCACCAAACCAAACUGAUCAUUGCAAACUAUAAGCUGACCUCAACACAAACAACACAUGCACACAAAGUAUGCAUGGCUGAAACAAAACCUCAUAUGUAGACUUUAACUUAAUUCAUGAGUUUGAAUCGAAGGAGUAACAAUCAGAACCAUUUCCUGUAGUGAUGUCAACCUUUAUUGUUGAACAGGAAAAUGCUAACAACUAGUUACAGAGAUAAACAUAAUCCUCCCAGAAGAGUCUUGGCAAUUUGCAUUAAAUAUUAACAUGGUUGCAAAACUUCAGUUUGAGGAUAGCAUGUUUCUUUAGCCUUUACUCGACUGGAAUUACAAAAUGAAGCACAUGAACAAAUCAUAUGAACAAGCAACCCCAUGAAGACCGCUCACUUGAAUCUUGUUUAUACUUUUCUUGAAGAUUAAGAUGUGGGGGAAGAACAUUACCUUGAUGGGAUCUCAGUAGUAGCAUACAACCUGGAUAGUGUAGACUAACUCCGGAGAAAAAAUAUUACAUUUUCUCAAAGGUGAGAUUGAGCUAGACAUUGCCAAAAAAUCCUUGCACUCAC
RNAcentral lists this long non-coding RNA (93307 nucleotides) under Triticum aestivum (bread wheat). RNAcentral describes it as "long non-coding RNA (TAES_LNC027980)". The stretch from base 30131 to 30300 matches the Rfam family "MIR2118 microRNA precursor family". Lineage: Eukaryota; Viridiplantae; Streptophyta; Magnoliopsida; Poales; Poaceae. The record is from RNAcentral.